CGGCCUUCAAGCAGUGCAGACACAAGCUCAGGUUCGUCAAUAUGUGCACCCCGUCCAAUGUUGAUGAUAAUGCCUUUUGGACCCAGUGCAUCAAUGACUUUGCGGUCAACAAUAUGGUGCGUUUCUUUGGUCAGAGCACAUGCCACAAAGAGGAUUUGACAGUUGGUGGCCAAGUCGAUUAUGUUAGAAUAAUAUUUGUAAUUCGAUUCUGGUUUCUCUGAUCUGGAGUGGUAACUAAUUGAGCUGCCAAAAGCUUCAGCUCUCUUUGCAAUUGCUGAACCUAUCCUGCCCAACCCAACAAUUCCAAUGGAUUUACCACUGAACUGAGAAAAAGAAGGAAAGAGCAAAACACAAGGGAAGAAAAAAGAGUGAAUUUAAUAUCCAAACAAAAGGGCCAUUUGAUGUGAUAACAAAGAAACACAAAAAUUAUGAUCUUUCUCAUUCCAUGACAAAUAAGUCGAAAAAAAAAAAAGUGCCGACUGUAAACUCUAACAAAAGAACAAAACAUGUUUAAACACAUGAAUCCCAUUACUCAAAUACCUUGCUUUCCCUGCCUCUGGCUGUGGGUAAGAAAACAGGAGUCACUUGGGUUGGAGGGUUAGUUCAUACCAGCAUUUAAAACUGAUACCUAAUUUCCAACUUAAUAUCCAUUUCUUGAAUUUCAUUUUUUUUAAAAUUUUUUUGUUCUAAUGCACUGACAGGUUACAAAAUGGGAUUUCCAUAUUGGGGUCAAAAAGCUAUCUCCAGUAUAAUUCAUAGAGUUCACCAACAGGCUACUUAAAACCUUCAGUGCAAAAAAGACUUCACCCACAGGCCAGCUAGCACUAUCAACACACAAUGGAUAGCCUAUGAAUCAACAGAAUGAUACCUAUCACAUUCUCAUUUCCCAACUUCCAUACGAAAACAACUCUUAAAUUCUAGAGUUCCAAACUUUCACUUAAAUUAUUGCUUUCUCCAUCAUAACAUCUGUCAAGAUCAAAAUCUUACAAACAAGACCCAUAAGCUGCUUGAAUAACGCAACUACCUAAAUUUGGAAUCACCAGGUACAAUGAAUUAAUACCCUUCAUUAUCACAAAAAUCAUUGAAAAUCAAGAAAGCCUCUGUUAGAUCACAGAAGAACAAGGAUAAGUAAAAAGGGAAGGAAAGAAAAAGCAAAGGGAAAAGAAACAAAAAUAGCUUGACCUUAAUAAUUCUGGUUUUGUUCUGAUUAAAAAAGAAAAAAAAGCAAAGGGAAAAGAAACAAAAAAUACGUUAGCUCUUAAAUAAUUCUCACUCAUGAUUAAUAAGAAUUUGAGAUUCUUUUUUUUCUUCUGAAAUCCAAAUGCAACAUAGAAGUCAUUGUAGGUCUGUGUAGUACUGAAGAUAUAGGUCAUAAUUUAGAGUAGGAAUAAGCUGAUAAAGAGUGAUUUGAGUCUGUUAGCGUAUGUUUAUUUAAGAAGUUGAUAAAUAAAGGGAAGAGUAGUUUUUACCCAAUUUUCUUUGUAUUUUCUGUGAAAGCAAGACUCUCCUCAAAGAGAGUCAGCAUCUGCUCUGUUUCUUAGGCAGCUCUAGAGAUGGCAGAGAAGGAACUCAAGGAGCAAAAAUGCAUGAAGCCAUUAAACAAUUUUAGGAGUCCACUGUCCACCUAACACCAAAGCUUGACUGACGAGUACAAUAGCAGGACUCCACUGUAAUGCUAACUGCUCUUGAUCUAAAAUAUGAUAAAAUUUCCAAGAAUACGAAUUGUGACCUAGAGAAGUUCUAGCAAGAGAAUGGAUCAUUAAUAGGAAGCAACCUGAAAGCACCCUUUGAAGUCUUAUGAAAGAAAAGAGAAAAAUACUCAUCAAGUGAUUUUAACAUGCCAUGGUUUUUAGCUAGACUUUUUUUAUUGUUAAUUUUUUUUUAAUUAGAAUCGACUUUGGUAGUUUAUUUUUAGUCAGAUUUUUAUUUGUCUAAGUUUCUAAUUUAAUAGGAAAAAGUAAGUCAUACUCCCCCUAGGAUAUAGUCUUAGUCUUAUCAGGAAAAAGAAUUUCAUGAGUCUAUAAGCCUGUAUUUACUGAAAAUUUAGUAGCUAUCUAGCUUCUUAAAGGUGCAAUUGCCCUUUUUUUCUUCUUUGAUCUCCAAUCAUAUAACAUUGAAAAUAUUUUUAUGAUUCUGCAUAAACUACUACUUGCCUAUUGAGUGUGCAGACCCAUAUAAACUCAAGCUUUAAGGUUUCCUACAUUUGAGGGAGGUGACCCAUUGGGUUAGCGAUACAAGCAGGCUUCAUUGCUUCAUUUCAUAUGAAAGGAAAAACUUCAUAUUGGUUUCAAUGUGAACAAAUCUGAUCUUGUAUGAAAUGGGAUGAGUUGGCAGCAGCUUUCACGGCAAGUUUUGGAAUUUUUUGCUUGGGCUCUUGCAAAGUAUGCAAAGCAACAUCUAUGCAAGAGUUCCAAAAUCAAUUUUAGAGGCUUACUAAUUGAACUAAAGGGUUCAUAAAGUUAUAUUUGAUUAGUUGCUUUCUUGUGGCUAAAAGACAAGAUAAGAGUUGGGGCAUAGUUGUUCCAACCUACCAGUAUGAAUCCUGCCAUUGAUUUGGCCAAGAGGAUAAACAAUUUCUUAAAUAAGGAUGAAUAAGCCUGAAAUAAACAAAGUGACAGCUGAUCAAGUUGUUAGGAUGUUGAAGCCAUCUUUUGUCACUAAAUGCUUGACAGUCAUGGAGAAUAAGGAAAGACAUUUUUUUUAUACAUAAAGAAGUAUAAAUAUAUCAAAAAGAGGCGCCAAAAACUAAGGAAAGACAUGCACAAGGCAUCCUAGAAGAUGUCAGAGACAAUCAGAGACAAAAAUUGUGAUAUGGAGAUAGCAGGAUCAAAGGAGCAGUAGCUAGAGAUCUCAAACCAUGCGGGUGGGUAGAUUAUUAUAUUGUCAGCUCAUCAAUAUGCUUAUUGACAAUGGAUCCACACAUCUUUUUAAAACCAAAAGAGGAAAAAAGGAUAAGUAUUAUAAUUCAAUCAGGAUCUAAUUUUGAACUAAUGGUGGUGAAUGGAGAUUGUUUAGUUGGAGGAACAUCACUCUGGGCCACUUCCAUAAUCCGAGGCACUCCCAUUAAGGCAGAAUUUUUCUUGCUCACUUCGGGAGGCUGUGAUACUAUAUUAGGUGCCUGAAGCCUUCAAAUCUUGGGCCAAUAGGUAGUGUUUUUCAUUGAUUACCAUGUCGUGCAAGGAUGUUAACAAGGGACAUUACAGGGCUUCAACCUGACCAAAUAGAUUUUACCAAGUAAGGCACAAUCGGGAAGGAAAUGUGAAAAGAAAAACAGACACUUGUGCUCUAACUGUGUAAUAUUCUUUUUUGAUGACCCAAAAAUGGACAUUUAGUGCCUAAGCAAAUGAGCACCAAAGUACAUACAAUGUAUACAAGAGGCACCAAAUAGGCAAGCGAAAAGAACAGAGAAAAACAAAAAGAUCAAUCUCCCUCUCUUUACUUAGAGAUAAGUCAAUUAACAAAGUCUAUCAUUGUCAAUAAAUGAUUACCUAUGUACGCUCUAACCUAUUUCAAAAAAGUAUUCAUAAAAGAAAAUUUAAUUAUUUGAUCCACUUUUCAUUAGCUUCAAAUGACCUCUGUCUCUUUCUUUUCACAACAUUCAAAAUAAACACAUAUAAGUGGCUUGUGGCCUCUAAAGCUUUUUUUAUUACUUUCCCAUGAAUGAUCCAUGCUAACUCAAAAGAGUUUCUCUUAUUGUAGAGUACAUUACCCAAGUCACACCAAAUAGAGAGAAAAUUGACUACCACAAGUUACUUCCUUUAGAGCAAUUAAGGAGCAAAUGAUCAAUUGAUUCUUCCUCAUCUUUUUGUAUAGAAAGCAUCUAUUCAGUGAAUCAGCAUAAUCCAUCCCCUCCUUUUGAGCCGAUCAAUCAUUAAACAUGUAGCUUCGCAUGCAAAGAAUCUCAACUUUAAAGCUACCUAGGAAUGUCAAACUAUACUUGUGGGAAAAGGCUCUCUUCUUCCCCAAACUAAGGAAGAGUAGCGGGAUUUAAUAGAGACCUUGCCACGCUUAGUUUCCUUCCAACCCACUCUAUCAUCCUCAUCUCAGCUUGUAUGCAAUCUCUAUAAAAUUGUCGUUACUCCUUCAAGCUCCCAAUCAUGGAACUAUCUUGUGAAGCAAGGACGCUAUCGACCAUCCUCCCUAACUUGCUCCCACACCUCUACUAUCUAUGAAUAACUUUUGGUAGGCUAUAGAAAAUAAUGUCGGGACCCCUUCCAAAGAUAAGUCUCCACAACAUCUAUCUUUCCAAAAUUUACACCGUCUUUCAUUGUCAAUUAUGAAGUGAGACAUAGCCAUCACUCAACCCCAUCCCCCUUAUUCUUCCCUAAACUUUUUUAAUAUAACGUGUUUCCAUAGGACUCUCAGUUGUAAAUCUCCAAUUCCACUUGCCAAGGAGAGUCAUGUUAAGAGCAGAGAGAUUUCUAAUAUUGAGACCUCCAUACUUUUUGAGUAGCCAAUAGACCAAUUUAUCAGACGGGUUUUUCACAAGUACGACCUUAUCCAAGAGGAAAAUCUGAAUCAGCUCCAAUCUUAAGAUCACCUUUUCGGGAUGAAGAACAGAAACAUGAAAUAAAUUGGUAGACUAGACAACUUACCUUUGAUCAAAGCAAGUCUCCCUCCUUUUGAGAGGUACUACCUCUUCAACACAUAAAAAACCUUCUUUGAAAUCUCUCCACCACAUCCAGACCCUUGCUGCCUUUAAUGGAGCUCCCAAAGGCAAGUCUAAUAUGCUGUGGGUAGAUUAUCAAACCCUUAAUCAAGUCACAAUAAAAUAUGUAUUUUUCAUUCCUAGUAUAAAUGAGCUAUUGGCUGAAUUGCACGGGGUUGUGUUCUUUUCAAAAUUAAAUAUUAAUUCCAAGUACGAUCAGAUUCAAGUGUACGAAGAAGAUACAUCUAAAACGACCUUUCAAGCAGUGCAUCAUGAAUUUUGAGUAAUGUCCUUUGGUCUUGCAACUCUUCGUUGGUGUUUCUUUAAUGGUAUAUUGGACUACAAUCAAACAAGGGAGGAGCACGAGAAUCAUCCAAAGAAGUGCUAAAAAUUUUAAGGCAACAUCAAUUAUUUGUUUAAGAAAUCUAAGUGGGGAUUUGCUAAUAAGUCUAAGAAGAGUAAAGGGUUCACUUUCAAUCACUACAUAAGUUGCAUGAUUACAACCUGAUCAGCAAGCCAUUCUUGACCACUGACUGCUAUGAAGGGAGAAUAAACACAACUACUGAAGUCUUGACAAGCAGUAAGGAGUUUUGGGUGGAGUAUAAAUCAAUAAUUGACCAUUAUCCAAACAACCACCUUUAGGAAAAUAAAAAUGGGUUUCAGGAGGGAGGAGCAAUAGAUAAAAAAAAAUAAAAAUAAAAAAAGAAAAAGAAAAAAAAAGGAAAAAGAGAAAAAAAGAAAUGAGUAUUAGAUUCUAUUGACACAAUAUCAAAUAUUAUAUAUAAAGAGAGAGAGAGAGAGUAUCAGAUUCUAUUGACACAAUAUCAAAUAUUAUAUAUAUAUAUAUAUAUAGAGAGAGAGAGAGAGAGAGAUUCCUGAGGUAAUUUAAAGUUUUAAAGUUGAGUGAUUUGAGGAAGAGUUGUUGGAGUCUUUCGACAAUUCCUGAGGUAAUUAAUUUUAUCUAUUUGCUAGGGAGAAAGCCGCAAUACCGAGAUUUGAAUUGAAAAGAUUGAGGAAGAGUUGUUGGCGUCUUUUGGCGAUUUCUGAAGUAAUUAAUUUUUUCUAUUUGCUAGGGAGAGAGCCGCUAUACCGAGAUUUGAAUUGAAAAGAUUGAAACCAAACGCAUAUUCCUGUUAUGUAUAUAUAUAUAUAUAUAUAUAUAGAGAGAGAGAGAGAGAGAGAGAGAGAAAUUUAAAGUUGAGUGAUUUGAGGAAGAGUUGUUGGAGUCUUUUGACGGUUUCUGAAGUAAUUUAAUUUUUUCUAUUUGCUAGGGAGAGAGCCACUAUACCGAGAUUUGAAUUUAAAAUUCAAAAGAAACGCAUACUCCUGUUUAACGUUACGCAAACGGAUUACAUACCUUCGUGGUCAAUUCAAAAUCGCCUUUCUUCCAUUUCCCGCUUCUCACAAACCGAUCACAGACGCACAUUCGCCUUAACGUUGCCAAAGCCAACCCGAUCGCCGAGUCCGCCACAUCGUCCGUAAGCACAUCGGGCGUGUUUGUAACGGUAAUGCCUCUCUCCUUGCACUUCACCAAAUCGAUCUUGUCGAAACCUACGCUGUAACUCGCCACAAUCUCCAACUUCGGCAAUGCAUCAAUGAGUCCGGCAUCGGCGCCGCAUACGGAGGUGCCGACGAUUGCUCUUAUUGAAUUUGAGAUUUCUCUUAGGAGCUGAGGGUUGGAAGCAACUUCACGGAACUUGAAGACUGUAAAUCGUUUUUCGAGUUUUUGUACAAGGUAUUCUGGAACUGGAUAGGUCAACAAAACGCAUAUGUUUUCCAUCGUUACAAUGAAUGCGAACACUAAUUAGGGUUAGGGUUCUUCACUGCGUCCUAACAAACGGCGUCGUUCCUGAACGAAAGAAUUGAAGUGCAUAUUUUAAACUUGGGAGAGGAGGCCAUGUUUAGAUCUAGGACGUUAGGUUAGGCUGGGAAGUUAAGUUGGAUUGGCGGGAUUUAAUAACAUAGGUAUUAACAUGUCUUUUUUUAUUUUAUAUAUAUAUAUAUAAUAUCUUUUUAUAUCUAAUCAUAUGUUAUAUUUGAUACUUAUAUUUAAUUUUUAAAAUUAAUAAAUAAUAAUAAUAUAUUUUAAUAUUUGAUAUUCAUUUAAAAUAAAAAUUAUAUUACAUUCCAAUAUUUGUUGAGAAAAAAUAUGAUUUUUUUUUUCUAGUUAAAAAUUGUUCAAUAAUUUAAAAUUCAGUAAAUGUUUAUUUAUUUAUUAAUUAAUAACAUUCAUGAUUAAAAAUUUAUUUUAUAAAUAUUUUUUUAGAUUUUUUUAACAUGAUUUAAAUUUUUAAUUGAAAUUUUUUAUGUUGUUGUGGACCCCGCAUUUCGAUCUAUCUCAAUGCGUUUCCCACUCGAUGGCGAGCUCGAUUUUUAUUUCAAAAAUUGGUUUUUAUUUAUUGUUUAGAAAAUUGACUUGGAGUCGCCACUUAUUUUUGUUUUAUUUUUUAAAGGGUAAACAAAAUAAGAAAGAAAAACCCUAAGUGUGACUCCUUAUUUUGGAAAAGGCGGUCUGUGAAAAACCGGAUCGGGUUCGGGGGUCAGGUUACUUAUCGGGAAGGUACGGUAAAAACCGUAGCACCCCUCUAAGUCCCUAAAGUCGGGUCUCUACUAAUAAAAUGAAGCUGAUGUGGCAAUGAAUGAGGAAAUCAGCAGAUACUCAAAUCAAACUUACACAUAUGAAAAUAAGAGCAUGCAUAUAGAAUAAUCAAAAUGAGAAUGAGUGCGUACCUGGACCUCCAGUGACAAAUGCGCUAUCAUGAAGCAGGAUCAGUGAACAAUGAAUAUGUACAUAUACUUGUACGCAUGUCAAAGAACAGAAUAAGUCAAACAUGCAUGACAAUUAAAUCAAUUAAUCAAUCAGUCAAUGAAUCAUGAAGUCUCAUAUGUGGGGCCCCCACCAAAGCCCGUUUAUUUUUGCAUGAAUUAAUUCCAUAAAUUUCAUUAUUCGGAAUUACGGAAUUUAAUUCGUACUUAUUUUAAAACAUUUUAAAAGUCCAAGAAGGAUUUAAAAAUUGCUUACCGAAUAGAAAAUGGAAGCAAAUUUGAUUAGAAAGGGGUUUAUUGUCGUUAAGAUUACUAAGGAAAAAUAAAAUAAAAUGGAAAAUAAAUAAAUAAAUAAAUGAAAUAAAUAAAUAAAUAAAUGAGAAAAUGAAAUAAUAAAAUGAAAAUAAUAGAAUAGAGUGAAAUAACGAAAACAUUAAGGAGUAAAAGAAAACUGUUUGAAAAACGAGUUUUUGAAAUCAAUUUUUGGAAGUAAAGAUGGAGAAAUAAAGAAAUAAAAAAAUGAAAUCCACUCAUUUUAAUAAUGGCUCACCCAAGGAGGCCAUGCGUGCCAUGCAUAAGUGGGUCUUAGGGAUUUGCGGGGCAGUGGGAAAUAAGAGAUUUUCAAUGCGUCAAACUGAUAACUCCACAAUGGUUGAAAUGUCAUUCGUUCAUGCUACCCGCCGUCUAUAGAAGAAUGGUCACGCCCGUUCGUUUUGAAUCACUUCAUGCUCAAUCGUACCCAUAGUACAGAGAGAUAGGAACUGGGAGAUAACACCAAUACCGAAUCUGAAGCAGAAGAAUAAACACCUUAUACAGAUGUUGGAGUCGUAUGAGAAGUUAAAUUAGAGCUUCCCUGCUUCACUCCAUCAACAGAUGCAAAAGAAUGCUUGGGCAUGAUACCAGGAGGGCCUUCUACACCACCAUUUAGCACAGGCGGUCCAUUGCCAGAUUUAUUAAUGAUCACAAAUGGAUCAUCUUUAGGGGUAGUGUUAACAUCACCAGCAGCCGAUCCAGGGACGAGUAUAUGAUUAGAACUUCCUUUAGAAACGCUUUUCCCAUUUAGACUCCUAAAUGAUCCCGGACCCUCAGGUGUUAAAGAAGGGUUGCUUCCAGAAAUCUCUUUGGAAGCUUCUUCAGGCUCCCAAGCAUCUCCAUCCUCAUCAUCUACUGCCACUUGGAACUUUGACCUCUGAUUUUGAGCCUUUGUUGGAUGGGUCUAUAGCAAUCCCCGUAUCUGAAAUCCUUGGAUCAAGACAAUCCAAUUGAUGAACAGCAUGCAAAACGCCUUCACUUGUAUUUUCAUCGGCGAGAGAGCUCAGGUUUUGAUGGAUAUGGGAGACAAAUUGAUGGUUCAGGGACAACUUCAUUAGAGGACGCUGUUGAUGCUGCUAACCACUGUGCUGAUAUUAAAGCAAACAGAAUUUCAGCAGAUUCUUCUCCAUUUGGCUCGUCAGAUGCCAGUUCCGUCUCAACAAUGGCUUCUGCUGCAACCCUUCUUCCCAUUGAUGGAGCCAUGGAUUCCCCUAUUUGCAUUGAGUAGGCUCAUGGCAUCCAAGUUACCAGGAUCACCAAUGGCUGAAGGAGGUAAGUUCUGGAUGGAACGACUUAGUGGUCUCAGAAACUCGAAUAAUUUCCAUCAGUUAUACUCCGUCAUAAGCAGUCCAUGAUACAAGGCAUUUGGAGCAGUGUGCCAUAUCAAAAGAUCUUGAUGGAUAUGGUAAUCUGUAAGUGUUUAGAAUACCAAACAUGGCUGAAAUCCUCCUUCGAAGGCGAACUGUGCUUGAGCUUCAUGCACGUGGACAUGGUGGGUAUGGGCAUGAAAGAUUUGAUGGGUAUGAAGUGUGGCAUAAUGAGAGAAAAGGUGGUGAGGGGUAUGGAAUAUGGCUGACAUGGGUAUGCAUGGAAAAAAUGAUGAACUGGAUGGGGUGAGGGAAAGAUAGGUUUAGUGGGUACUUUAAGGAAAAUAGUGAUAUGGGUGUAAUGGCAGUGGGUAAUUAAUGGAGAAAAAGGUAUGGUUGUGGGUGUAUUUGCAUUGGAACACUGGGCGUAAUGAUGAAACGACAUGCAUGAAGGGUGGAAGUAUGGGUAUGGUGACUUCUUGGCUACAGUGCAUGCGCUGAUUUCCAUUCAAAGAGUUUCAGUCGUAUAGUGACCCCUCGGUAUACAUAGCAGUUUCAAUAAGGAACACUCCCAGCAAUUUGAGGCACCACGCACGCAUCAAAUCUUUCAAUCAUGGCUUUUCUUGGUCCCGGAAACUUAGAUUUCGAUAUCAAAUGGCAUUCAACCCUCACAAUCAACCCAAAUGCCAAAUAAAUUGUAACAGAACCCAGUGGCUUUGACAAUCUCUUCACGGAUUUCUUCCCUCAUGAAAUUCUUUCAUGGAUCUUGAUAUUUCAAGUGAAUCCAGCUUUGGUCUGAAAGAAGGAUAAACGAGCCAUCUCUUGCUACAAUGAUUCCAUCAACGAUGCCAGCUACAUCAGAGGCCAUGAAAUGGGCCAGGAAUUGGAGACUCUCAACAACAAGAGCAUCUCAAGUCUGAAUGAACUCAGAAAAAUCCACUGAAAGCCCUUGUGUAGCUUCUUCAAGCGGAGGUGAGGGAGCAGAUAUAUGCCACGGAAGAAUACGAAGAAUACAUCCAAAACAGAGUAUAAUAAAUGGGAACUAAAUGAAUCCAUGCGAGCCUCAUUUCAUGUAUUUAUCAAUGGGCUCAGAUGCUAGAGUGGGUCAGAACAUUUUUUCCAAUGAGUUUUAAAACCACAUCAGGAUACAAACACCAAUAUUUCACAUAAAAUCUCAGAGGCAGGGGACACGAAACCGGUAAGAUGAUAAGGAUGAACCAAGUGAAAAACCUCACCAAAUGCAUCCAAAACACCAAGAUAGAAACUCAUUAAUAUUCAGAUAACCCAAACAAAAAAACAUGAAUGUGAAAGAGACCAAAACUUAUGGAAAUGAUACCUGAACCUUCUUCUUCUCAGUUUGCCUUUCUUCUCUCCAGAGCUAUUCUCUGUAUAGCUUGCAGAAAACUCUCCUUGAAAACGGCAAUGGAGACUUCCCCCUUUAUUGUAGCUUCUCCCAAAACUCUUAUAAAAAUUACCCUUCGUGUCCUCUUCUUCCUCUCAAAGAAUAUAUCUCCUCAUGGCAACAAAGAACAGCAAGCCCUAGAUCUCUCCCACUCUGCUCGCCCCUUUUGUAAAACUCCCCUCCGUUUUUCUAAAAAAAUCUCUAACGGCCUCCUCAGAGAGCUCCUGCAGCUGCCAGACGACCCCCCCUGCAUCUGGCAGCCUCUCUCCUCUAACGGCCAGCAGAUUCUCCUUCUAGAAAAUUCUUUCCCUUUCCAGUUGUCUUUCCCUAAUUGGCCCAUCAAUUCCACUAUAGUGAUUCUACAGUGACCAAUCCUAAGAAGGCAUGUGGCCUUAUGAGAUUGCGACACUUGGCAAACACAGGCUGCCAAAAAGUGAGCCCCCAAAUGGGGGUCUACAGUUGUAAAAUAAGUUUAUUAUAAAUUUAUGUCUCUAAUUAUAAUUAACAUAUUUCUUAUAAAAGAAAUAUGAAAAAAAAGUAAAUAAUAUAUUUCACCAUUUAUCUUUUUCUAUAUUUAAUUAUUUUAUUUUAUUAUAUAGACUAACUAAAUGUGAGAUAAGAAUAUUAUCCUUUUUUUCUCUAUCUUAUAUUAUAUAUUUCUUUCAAAUAUAACCUAAAUUUAAAAUUUAAACUUUUUUUAACUGUUAAAUAAUUUGAAAAUACAUUAGUUUUAAAUUAAAUUUAUUUAUAUUUGAUUUUUUUUUUCAUAUUUUCCAAUAAAAUUAAACAUGGAAAUUUCCUCAAUAUAUAUAUUUUUUCAUCAAAUUCUUUCAAUUUUUUUUAAAUGGGAAAGGGCAAAAAUAUUAUGAAAAUUAUAUUUGCACCAAAACUCUCUUUGCAUCCACCUUUUAAUGAUUUUUUUUGACAAAAAUGCCCUUUAAUGAAUCUUGAACCACCCGUUUCUUGUUCUUUCACUUCUUCUCCUUUAAAUUAUCGAGAAAGAUAUGUUUUGCAUGAAUGGAUAAACAAAUGAUCAUUUUAAAUGAUAAUACAAGUACAAAGAUACGUUUUUUAUAAUAUUUUUUGUAUUUCUUUUCAUAUUUUUGUAGUUGGAAGAAGGACGUGUUGUUAAUAAUAUUUCGUGUUGCUAGGUCAAAAGUUUUAUAAAUGUUUGAUAAUAUAUUUUUGAACAUACUUAGAAUGUUUAGAACACCAUUUGAAACCAUAUAUAUGGACGCUUUUUUUGUCAAACAAUUGAACUAUAUGUAACUUUAUACUUCUAGACAUUUUUAUUAGGGAGAAUUAUCUUUUGGGGGUAGAUGGACCCCCAAAUUAAUAAAAGGUCCAUAUAACUCUUCAAAUUGAGUUGAAGGAUAUGAAAUAGUAACGAACAAAUAUACCCUUUAAGAACACAUAUAAAAUAUUUUAUAAAAUUAAGUUAAAUAAUUUUUUUUCAAUAAAUUUUUUUUCAAAAAUACUAAAUUAAAUAAAAGUAGUUUUCAAAAAUAUUAAAUUAAAUAAUUUUUUUUCAAAAAUAUUAAAUUAAUUUUUUUUUUCAAAAAUAUUUUUUUAAAUAUUAAAUUAAAUAAAUUUAUUUUUAAAAAAUAUUAAAUUAAAUAAAAGUAUUUAAAAAAAUAUUAAAUUACAUAAAAGUAUUUUUAAAAAAUAUUAAAUUAAAUCAAAAAUAUUAAAUUAACUAAAAGUAUUUUUCAAAAAUAUUAAUUUUUUUUCUCAAAAUCAACAAAGGGCAUUUUUGGAAAUACUGAAGGAUGAUAUCCUUCAACUCAAUUUCCAUACUUUCAUUGGGUCUUGGGCUUAAUUUAAAGAGUUACAUGGACCUUUUGUUAAUUUGGGGGCUCAUCUACCCCCAAAACAUAAUUCUCCCUUUUUAUUAUGUCUAACCUUUCUGUUUCAAACAUUUCCUUAAUUCUAAGUUUGAACAUUUUCUUUUUCUUUUUUAUUACACUUUUUCAUAAUUUAUCACUUUUAAAUGUUUUCUACUUUUUUUUUUCAACAAUUUUUUUUUAAAAAAAAUAAAAAAUUACAUAAAGAAUAAGCUCUAAAAGAUAUUCAUAUGGUAUAUUGUAUGUAUUUAAACAUAAUGUAUAAAGCAAUUGCAAUUGACUAUGAACAUGUGAUUCAAAUACUCUUCUGUUAUCAAAUGAGCUUUAGAACUCUUUUGUUAUCAACUAAAUAAUAGAAAAGCUUAAGAACUCUUCUACUAAUAUGAUUCAAAAAAUGGUGAUUUUCUCUUAGACUAGGGUAGGAUAGGAUAGGAUAAAAUAUGAUAUAAUAUGAUAAGGGUCUCCAAAAAGCCCGCGGCCUACGGCCCGGCCCGGCCCAGCGGGCUAAAGCCUGGCCCGAGCCCAUUUUUGGAUGAGCCGGGUCAUGGGCCCCAAUUUAGGCCUGGCCCGACGGGCUGGCCCGCCACUUAAAAAAUAUAUAUAUAUAUAUAAAAUAUUCAAGAAAUAGAAAAGGCUACAUUAAUAAAAAUAUUCAUUGCUAACUAUUUUAUUCAUUGAAUGUAUACAUUACAUUUGAAAAUGUGGGAAAAGUUUACAUCACUACAAAAUAAAUACAUCCCAACUAGGUUGGCACCUACUUAUUUGUCAAUCAUUUGUACUUUUCCACCACAAAAAUAAAAAUAAAAAUAUGACAUACAUUUAGUAAAAUAUUUUAAUCAUUAUCUCUUGGCGGUGAUGACGAACUAUCGCAAAUCCAUGAAGAUCUUGAUGAUUUUAGUUUUUCCAUAUCGAUAAGCAUAUUUUCUUCUUGAAUAGAAUCAAAUAUCAUUUUAUUUGCUAUUGCCCAGUCUUUCACACAUAUAUUUGCUUCAAUAGAAUCCAGCGCUAAGCUGCAUCGUUUAUCACUAACUACUCUUCCACCUGCACUAAAAGCAGCUUUUGAUGCAACUGUACUCAUAGGAAUUGUUAGUACAUCACGAGCAAUGAUAGAAAGCACAUGAUAUUUGUGUUGUUGUGAUUUCCACCAUAUUAAAAUAUCAAAAUCUUCAUCAUCUUCAAAUGAAAUUAAAUCAAUAUUAACAUAUCUAUCUAAAUCAGUUGUGUUGUUUGGAGAACUAUUUGUUGUCUUCUUUCGACUUUUUAACAUUUCUAGAGCUCCAUUAUAAAAAGAUGAAGAGCUUGUAGAUGUAGGUGGUAAUUUAAUAGAACUAAUAUCAUCACCAUAUUUUUCUUUAUAAUAGUUAUAUAAAUUAUAUAAUAAUGAAUUUACUUCAUUUUUAAUUUCUUCAAUUUUUAUUUGGUCAUUAAAAUAAAUAAUUGUUAACCAUUCAUCCAAAGCUUCAAAUUUCAAUCUAGGGUCCACAAUUAAACCAAGAUAAAAAAUUAAAGGUAUUUCUCCCCAAUAUUUUUAAAAUUUUUCUAUCAUUGCAAAUAUUGCAUCAUUAAAUAUAUCCAAAUUUAAAUAUUUUUGAAGUACAAUAAAAAUAUUAGUUAUUUGCAUGACAACUCGGUUUGAAGAUGGAUAAUAUACACCACAAAUUUUUUUUGUUGAAGUAUCAAAUACUUCAAAAAGAUCUCUUAAAAGAUCUGCAAUAUGCCAAUCAUAAUCAUUUAAUACAUCAAUAUAUGCUUCACAAUCAUUGCUAAUUAAUUGUAUUUCAUAUGGUUCUACUAUUUUUCUAUAUUUUGUAAUAGUUUGUAAAAGUUUAUAAGUGGAAUUCCAUCUAGUGGGCAUAUCCAAAUUUAUAUUUCUUUUUUUCAUAUUUAACAUUUUGCAACAAUCAAAAAAUAAUUCAUGUUUUGCUUGAGAACUAUUAAGACCCGCAGCAAUGCCUCUAAUUUUUGAUAAUGUAUCAUCAACGUGUUUUAAUCCAUCUUUUACAAUUAAAUUUAAAAUAUGUGCACAACAACGUACAUGAAAUGUUUUACAUUGAUCUUUUUUUAUUUGCCAAUAUCGUUUUAAUCUAAAUACUACUACAUCAUUAUUAGAAGCAUUAUCUAAUGUUAUUGUAAAUAUUUUAUCACGAAUGCCAAAAUUUAUAAUUUCAUCAUUUAUUAAAGAUGCUAUAUUUUUACCAUUAUGUGGAGCAUUUAUUAUUUUAAAUGAAAUAAUUCUUUUAUUUAAUUUCCAUUCAUUAUCAAUAUAAUGAGCAGUUAUACAUAAAAAACCACUGUGAGUUAAAGAUGUCCAAAUAUCAGAUGUUAAACAAAUUUUUUCUUCAAAAUUUGCAAAAAAAAAAUUUAAAUUUUCUUUUUGUGUUUCAAAAUUUUUUAUAAGAAUUCUUUUAACUGUAUUUCCAGAGCAACCUUGAAACUAAGGAUUAACAACUCGUUGCAUUGUUCCCGUAUAAUCAUGAGUUUCCAUGAAAUUGAAAGGUUGUUUUGCUCUUAUUAUAUAACCAAUCAUUUCUUCACGACAAUAAGAUUCAUCAUAAGAAAAUGUUUUUAAAUUUCCACUUUCAUUUUUACCUAAUUGCAUAUAAUUUCUAAUAUCUACAUUAUUUUUAGUUUUAUAAUUUUCAUGAUGCCUUUUUAAAUGACUUGUACCUGCAUUUGAGCUAUCACUAAGAAGUUUGUUAUAAAUUUUACAUUUUGCUUUUAUUUCUUUUUUUAUUAUUUUUAAAAUUUAUUUCUAUUCUAUCAAAAAAAUUCCAUAUAUUUGAAGUAAAUUUUUUGCUAUCACAUGCAUUAGAUGAAGAACAAGAACCACUUGCCAUAAUUAUAAUUAUUGAUAAAAUAUUAUGCUAAAAAUAAUAAAUGUAAAAUUAAAAUGUAACAAAUAAAUAAAAGAAAAGGUGAAGUAUGUUACUAAAUUGGAGAACCAAAGUAGAAAUUCCUUCAAAUUUCAACUCUUUGAACCACCAAUGCUUGUUUUUCACCACCAAUAAUAUUGAAUAAUUUGAGACAAAAUGCAAUAAUUAGAAAUAUUGUGGAAUGGGAGAGAGCUUAAGAGUUGAGAGAAUAGAAAAAAAUUGAGGAUAUUUAAUAUAGGGAUUUAAAUAUUAUGAUUUAAUUUUUUUUUUUUUUUUUAAAUGUCAAGACCGUUCAACGGUCAUAUAUUUGAUAUUUAUGAACUAUGAGUGGCAUGUUCAACGGUCAUGUGACUGUUGAACAACCAACUCACUUUUAUUUUUUUUCAAAAAUCAUACAACAUUUCUAAUAUAUAUAUAACUAAUGCAAAAUAGUUACACAAAAGAGGGCCAGCUCAGAUCCUCUUCCCUUCAAAACUCAAAAGUAUUUUAAUUUUUACCCAAAGCCCACCCAAGGCCCGCCCGCCAAGCCCGCCCAACUUGAGGGCCCAUGAGUUGGGCCACGAGCCUUAGAUUUACCAAGGGCCCGGCCCGGCCGGCCCGUUGACUAGUUAACGGGCUCAGUGGCCCGCCCCAAGCUGGGCCAUGGGCCUUACUCAUCCGGGCCGGCUAGCCCAGCCCGGCCCGUUGGAGACCCUUAGAUAUGAUAUACUAAGAUAGGAUAUGAUAUGUACAUCCUAAAAUAUCGAUAGCAACGGUAUAUUCUAAAAUAUUAUAAAAUAGUUCAUGUAAGGGGAUAUGAUAUAUUUGGAUAUCAUAUAUAAUAUAUGUAGUGAGAUAUGUUGUAUUAUGUUUAUAUUUAGUUUGUAAAAUGAAUUUUGAAAAAUAAUAUAUAUUAUAUGUUCAAUAGUUGUUUAAAAUAAAAAUAAUAUUGAAUUCCAAUAUUUAUUAUUAAAAAAAUAAAAUCUCUCUUACAUUAAGCAAUAUUCAUGAUUAAAAUAUUUAAAAAUUUAUUAAUAAAAAAUCUUUAUAUGUAUAGAUAUAUAUGUUAUUUGACAUAUACAAAUGAUUUAAAUAUAUUAAAUAAUACAUAUAUUAGUAUUAUUUUAUAAUAUAUUUUAUAAAUAUUUCUUAGUUCUUAUUUUUAACCAUAAUUUAAUUUUGUAUUUUACAAAAUAAUUAGUAUAAAAAAUAAAAAUUUGACAAAAAUUAAAUUUAUGAUAUAUAUAUAGAUAUGUAUGUCCUAUAUAUUCACUUAAGAUUAACAUAAGGGAUAUAAAGAGGAUGGGUUAUAUAUAUAUAUCACUAUUUAUCUUGGUUGAACACAUGAUAUGAUAAGAAAUGAGAUAACUUAUAUAUUAUCCUCUCUCUUAUCCUAUUUCAUAUUAUACUUCAUCAACCAAACAUGAUCUUAGAGUUUGUAGUUGAAAAGAAACAGAUUGAGAGAAAGAGAAGAAGAAGAUGGGUUUAAGGAGAAAAGAAUGAGAUGGAGUUUUGAAUAUUUUUAAAUUUUUAGGGUGAAUGUAUUAAUAAGUUUUUACUUUUUAAGUGGAUGUGAAGAGAAGGGUCCUCGUCCUCUAAGAAAGAGUAGGCUGGAAUUCAAGUUCUGUGAUUGUUGACUCUGAUAUGGAUUAGCUUUGCCUUCAAGCAGAACGAGAGGUUGACUCAAUUGAUACUGCUCAAGUUGAAUUAGCUUCCAAUCCUAGCAUACCAAAAUCAACAUUCCCCAGGCACCAACAUAAUUCGAGUGCUUACUCUCCACUCGCUAAGCAAUGAGAUCUAUUUUUUAAGAGAUAAGGCUUAUUGCGUCUAAUGGAGGGAUUUGAAGCCAAAAGGGAGCAAAGGAAGAGAUCAAAGCUAAGCAGAUCGCUUACAGGCCUUUCUCCAUAGGAGCAUCAUCAAUCUUAGGGGUCACCCUCUUUGUAUUUGGAGCAUCCAGAUUCCAUACAAUAAGAAGUUACCUUAACAAAAAUUAGUCUAACCCAAUCUCCCAUAAUUUUGUACAAAGAAAAAAAAUUAUCAAAAAUUAUUUUUUUUCAUAGUUGAUUUUAUCACAAAACAUAAGAAAGAAAGUAAAAUAUAAUAUAAUUAAAAUAAAUAACAUAAAUAUAUAUUUUAAAUUAUUUAAUCCUUAUAUAUAAGAGUUAAAUAAAUCAUAUGAAUUUGAAAUAAUAUAUAAAAAUAAUUUAAUAACUUUAAAUCUAUUUUUUAUUUUUUUCACUUUUUCUUUCUCUCUAUUUUCUUUCCCUCGCACUUUCUGAAAACCAAGCACUUUCCACUCAUCAUAGAGUUUGUUUGGGAAUCAGUUUUUAGACUUAAAAAUUUGUUUGAUAAUUUGUUUUUUUUAUAAAAACCUUGUUUUAAAAUGGCAAUAUAUUUUAGUAUUUUAUUAUUGUUUUUACAAGAUUUUUUUUAAAAAAUAAUUGUAUAAAUAUAAAAAAUUAUUAAAAUAAAAUAUUAUAGAUAAAAAUUAUUUUUAAGAAAUAUAUGAAAAUACAAAAAUUGAGAACAUCCCAAAUUUCCAAACAAAUUUUUGUUUUAAAAAACAUAGACAAGUAUUUAAAAAAACAUUUGCAAGCAUGCCAGGGUUUUUGAUUUGCAGAAUCAAAUGUUUUCCCAGUUAAGAGUCAAGCUUUGUGGGCAAACUACAACAAAAUGAUGGAGGAAUGAUAAAGAGUGCAUAAUGAAAAAGAAAAAAAAUCCCCAUUAUGAACAGAAUCUGAUCUGACCAGCAGGUAUAUGUUUUUGCAAUUUUUACUCUAAACAGCUUUCCGGGUGAAUGAGGAAAGAGGGUGACAGGCAAGCCAUCCAGGGAUUUCUGUACUCAAUUAUAUGCUACCAAAAUAAGAAGACCAAAUGAAGCUAACACCAAGAAUAUGAAACAUUAAGAGACAAUUUAGUAGUCAUUAAGGUCUUCCAUUCAUCAUAACAUAAAUACCAAGUUGUUGAGGAAACAAUGCAGAGAAAACAUCGAGUGGUUCAUUGAGCAACAUUAAGAAAAGACUUCAAUGAAUGAUGAGCUACAUACCUUCUCAUGACAAUUAAACCACUGGAGUUAACAGUGGUUUGUUCAGAAAGUGAGCCUCUAAGUUUCCAAGUACCAGGUCAGCCAUGUCUUUCCGGGUUUCCACCGUUCCGCUUCCUACAUGAGGCAAAAGGACUACAUUGUCCAUUGCUAACAGCUCUUCAGGUACAUUAGGCUCAUUUUCAAACACAUCAAGUCCAGCACCUCCCAACCGGCCUUCAACCAGUGCGGAUACAAGCUCAGGUUCAUCCACAUGUAAUCCCCUUCCGAUGUUGAUGACCACACCCUUUGGACCCAGUGCAUUGAUGACUUCACGGUUGAUGAUGUGGCGGGUUUCUGGUGUUAACGCGCAAGCAACAACCAGGAUUUGACAGUUGGAGGCCAAUUCAACGACACUAGGAUAGUACUUGUAGUUUGUCCCUGGUUUCUCUGUUCUGGAAUGGUAACUAAUUGGACAGCUAAAUCCCUCGGCUCUCUUGGCAAUUGCUGAGCCAAUCCUACCCAACCCUAUAAUGCCAACUGAUUUUCCAGUGAACUGAAAGGAGAAUAAAGAAUUAGAAGGAAGGAAAUAAAAUUAAAGUGGAAGAAAUGAAUGGAAGUUAUGAGUGGAGUUGUUAAGCCGAACCAAUCAAAUACGAAGGUAAAAUACUAGAAACUUACAAAUCCAAAUACACAAGUCAUGCGAAAACUAAAAUUAAGUGUUAAACUCCACCAUGAUUUUUUGUUGGUUGCAUUAGAGCUAAAACCCAAGUAAGCUUGAUACACACUGUCGGUCCACUACCUGUUAGUUUAAACUUUUAGGUAAAUUGGUAAUUUAACUUGUAAGAUUAAUACACAAUGCAUUAUCAUGUUGAAUUUUAACACAUGAAUAUUCAGUUAAACUCACCAACAAGCCUGAUUAGACUCAAAACAAGAUUGAGCUCGGGUUAACAUAGGCUAUAACCAUGCAUAAUAGGGUUGUCUGAGUUCUGGUUGAGCUAAUGCUCAACAUACUGGAGCUUGCAAAACACAGCACUUAGCAUGCCUUUCCAGGAUCCUUUACAACCCUAUGAUCAAUUUUCUUCAACAUUUUCCCUUAUUCAUAGAAAAUAAGAAAGGUAUCUGAUUUUUUACCUAUAAAAAGAAAAAAAGAAAAAAAAGAAAAGAAAAAAGAAAAAAAAAAAAAAAGGAAAGAACCAUGACUUGGACAAAUAGAAGCACAUGGUCAAAGGAAAAUAAGAAAAACCAACUUCUACCAGUUUGGAACAUGCAUUGUAUUCAACAAUAAGCCCUUCUACCGCAGCAUCAAUGAAGUAAUAAUUAAGGUUGCACUCCUACUUGCAAGACUUGUUUACAGCUCAAUCAAUUCAACAGAGGUUUAUCCCAACUUGAGGUCAGUUACAUAAAUUUUUUUUUCAGCAUUCCAGCCAGUUUUAGGGCUACAUGACACUAGUAGAUGGCUAAGAGUCAUAAAGUUAAUCCACAUCUACUUUACUCUUGCUUAUGCGUUUUAAUCAUUCUAACACAGUCCCACAACAACCUUCCUUCCUUGUACUUUUUGGCUCUAAUUAAAGCACCAAACCUACAGAACACUAGUUAACAGCACCAUUAAUCAAACCACAAGGGGAAAAGCCAAAUAUCACAAGCAAAAAAUGUUGGCAAUAACACAAGCUAGCAACAUCACUACUACAAACUGACAGAUAUCCAGAGCCAGAAUCUUUACCAAUUUCAGCACAGUGAAAUAUAAAUAAUGCAGAGAAAAAAAAACCCAAGAUAAAUAAAUACAAAGAAAAAAAGGAGCGUCUCAAAAACAAGUACUUUUAUGCAGACACAAGAACAAGAAACAACCAACCAACGGGACCACAAAUACAAGCCUAGGACACUGAUUGUGUAAGGCGCUCACAGUAUCUGAUGUUGGCAUAAAUGUUGCAGUCUCUAGAAUAGAAUGCGCAUAACUCCAUGUAUGCACCAUUAUGAUUUCCUUCACCAAACUAUCCCUCAAACUCAUUAUCAUUCAAUGGGAAAUCCAUGGGUAUGGUCGAUUAUAUCAAAUCAAUUGAAAAUUUGCCAAAACCAAGCAUAAGAAACUGGAGGAUUGCCAAAUCAAAGCAUCAUUAAAUAAAUAAAAUCACUUAGCUACUUCAUAGUGCAUGAAAACUAAAACUUAUGCAUCACAAGAGACAUGUGAGUCAAUUAAUAAUGGCAAUUUAACAUUUUACAGCCAACUCAAGUAAAGGAAAUAAUAAACCAAAAUGAAAACAUUAAUCUCCAUUACCAAUGAAAAGAAAAUAAGAUUCAGAAUUUAAAUUCUCGUAUUGUUUUGACUACUUAGUAAUAAAAACUCAUCUCAACUAAGCUAGAUAGCUGCAUUGAUGGUUGACCAAAUGUUCUUGUUCUCUGCUGUCUCUAUGAUCAAAAUUCUAAAAUUGAAAACUUUACCAUGUAUAUACUCAGUAUCAUGUUACAAAACUGCUUCUUGUUGCUGAAAGCAGAGAAAGUUAAAAUUAUACAGAAAAUGCAUUUGGCACCAUACUGUCUAAGAUUAUAUUUUGAAACCUGUUUCCUGAGAACAUAAGAAAAAUGGUUUUCAUGUCUCUAUAUAAUUGAAGAAAACCUAAACAGAAAAAUAAAUCCAAAGCAGAAAUUACUUUGGAUGAUGCACAUCAAAAACUUGGUUCCAGUUUUUCCAUCCCAAAAUUCUCUUAAAUCCUCAAAAUGACUGGCAUUGGACUUUCAAACAUGAACCAUUUUUUCAUGAAAAAUUUUUCCAAAAAAAAAAAAAAGGAUAAAAAGAAGAAGGGAAAAACCAUGUUUUCUCCAAAAACAUCAGAAAUAAAAAGUUUCCCUUACAAGAGGAACCAUUUUCCAUGCUCUCAUUUCCAUUUGUUCUCCUUUUCAUUUCCACCAACCACACAGUAGAGUAAGAAAAAAAGCCAGACCUUGGUCAAACAACUUUCCUCGUUUUCAAAAAUCUAAAAUGACAUACUGCUAAAUUCAACAUUUAUUUCCUUUCUCCUUCCCAAAAUUCUUAAUCAACCUACAGGAUAUAAUAAGAGAAACCGAAACCAACCCUUUCCAUUUUUUCCAUUCUCAAAGAAAUGAGUCAAUUCUCAGGAGAAACCCAUAAUUUCUUCCUUUCUUUCUCUUAAAUUAGCUGAAAACAGGAACAGCCAUAAUUUCUUCCAUUUUCUGACCAAUCAAACAGAUUAUAAUAAAAAAUUAGAAAAAAGAAGAAGAUCGAUACCAAACCUUGGUAGUCAACUUGAAAUCCCCUUUCUUCCACGACCCACUCCUCACAUAACGAUCACUUUCACAAAUACGUCUCAGAGUCGCCAAAAUCAAAGCAAGUGCCAAGUCCGCCACGUCCUCCGUCAGCACAUCCGGAGUGUUCGUAACCCUAAUUCCCUUCUCCUUGCACCUCACCAAAUCGAUCUUGUCCAACCCAACGCUGAAACUCGACACAAUCUCCAUCUUGGGCAACGCCUCGAUCAUCUGGGCGUCGGCGCCGAUGAAGGAGUUUCCAACCACAGCUCGGAUCGAAUUUGAAUGCUCCCUGAAAAGAUCGUUGGCGCUUGGAAAGUCCCAGAAGCGGAAGAGCUUGAAGCGCUUGUCCAGUUCCUGUUCCAGGUAUGGGUUCAUUGGGCAAGUCAACAGUACCCCGAUGCUUUCCAUGGUUUCGCUUUGUGAAAGACGCACUAUACACUCGGCGGCGCACGGAGGUGGGAGUGCAGCGGCGGUGACGGUGGGGCGGAUGAGCCGUCCGAUAUCUUUGGGGACUUCGCUGGUUUUAGAUAAGCUGGCGACUCAUCGGUAUAAAUGGAAGGCAAGGCAAAGGGAAGGGAUGCUGCUCCUCCAAACGACGUCGUUUGCAGUUGUGAAUUUGCAUGGAUUAGAAUCCUGCUACACGCAAACGACGUCGUUUAUGGGCCUUUAAUUAAAAGGAAAGAAUGAUCUUAAAUCUAAUAUAUCUAUAAAUAUAUUUUUUCCUUUUUUUGUGAUGUGUCAAGUUAAUCUAAAUUUUGGAAAAAGAUAUUUCAAUAUAUAACUAAUUAUCCGAAACUUCUUCUCUUAUCUCAUACACACUCAAAAUAUUAAUACAAUAAUCCAUAUCAUUCUAAUCCAAAUUUUGAGAGAAGAUAUUCUAAUAUAUAACUAAUUACCCGAAACCUCUUUCCUUUAUCUCAUAUGCACUCAAAAUACUUAGUCAUACAUCGAUAUCAUUUAUAAUAAUUUGUGUCGUAUAAUAUAGAAAUCAUUCAUUUUGAAUAUAUAUAUUCUUUCCCCCACAAUUUUGUGUCAAAAUGGUGAAACAUUGUAACAAAGGGGGAAUCAAUUUGUGUGAAGAGGAGGAAGUAGGAACCAUCGUAACAAAAGUGGGGUAUGGAGAUAAUGGCCCAAACAAUACCGACGCAAGCAUGCACUGUAAUUUUACAGGUGGGAAGAAUCCAAUGAGAUGGUACUAAAGAACUAUUUUGGUUAUAUAUUGUAAGACAGACAAUGCACCAUUAUUGGUCUGCCCACCGUUAUUGAUGGGUUACAUGUGCACAGUGGACAUAACCCUCUCCAUCCCCUUUCAACAUCUUGGUACCAACCACUAUUUCUAUGUUUUUUUUUUCUUCCUUAUAAUAACAUUUGGGCAUACUUUUUUGAGCACCUUGAAAUAAUUGACAUUUUAUAAUGAAUGGGGUGAAAAUGUCUUAGAGUGAUAAUAAUAAAAUAAUUUUGUUUUAUUAUUACAGCAAGUAUAGUUUUUUAGUAUAAACAAUUUCUGGGUUGUAAUGUCUUUUUCUUUUACAAAUUCAAUUUAGAGUAGAAAAUUGACAUUAAUAAUAUUAUUUUAAGAGGGAAGGGAGAAUGAAGCCUUUUUAUAAUGCUACAAGCACUAACUCCUACAUUUAUUUAUUCGUGAUGAUCUCACACUUAGUACAAAGGUGAAAGGUGAAGGGAAAAAGACCAGACCAUUCCUUCCUCUUCUCGUGAGCACCUACCUAACUCCACCGUGUCGAAUCUUAGGUGGUGUUUUUUUUUUAAUAGAAAAAUUUAAAAUAUUUAAUUUUUUCUAUUCAACUAAAAAUAAUUGUUGACAUCAUCCAAUAUAAGUAAAUUGAAUCUAUUGAUAAUAAGUUUACUUUAGUUAUAUUGGAUGAUAUCAACAGGUUAUUUUUAGUAGAAUAAAAAAAGUUAAAUAUUUUGACUUUUUUUAUUCAACCAAAAAACAAACACCACCUUAAUAUGACUAGAAUAAUAUAACAUGAAAUAAAAUAAAACAUAUAAAUUUAGUUAAUAAUAUGGUAGAAUAAGUUAUAUCUUUGUUAAUUAGUAUUAUAUUUAACCAAAAGAUAAAUGAUGAGAUUUUUAUUUACCUUAUUUUUUAUAUUUUUUUACAUGAGAUAUGUUAUAAUAUAUAUAUAUUAUAAAUUUAUUUUUAUAUUUUUAUAUUUUUAUAUUAUUUGUUUUUUAAAUUAAAAUAUUUUGAUUGAAAAUAAAUUUUGGUUAAAAAAAGAAUAAAAAUAUUUACAAAAUAUAUAUUGUAGAAUAAUACUGAUAUAUGUAUUAUUUAAUAAAUAAUAAUAAUUUUUUUAUAAUGAAUAACAUAAUAUAGAAAAAUUUAUUUAUAGAUUAUAAAUAUUUUAAUCAUGAAUAUUAUUGGAAAAUUAUCAUAUUCUUUUAGUAGAAAAUAUUGGAAUAAAAUAUAAUUUUUUUUAUUUUAAACAAAUACCAAACAUUUGAAAAUAAUAUAUAUUCUUUUGCAUUUUUCAUUUUAUAAAUUAAAUAUAAGUAUAAUAUAAUAUAUUCUAUUGCAUAUAUUGUAUUAAUAUAAUAUAAAAUAUUAUAUAAUAUCAUAACCUAUUAAAAAUGAUAUUUUAGGAUGAAAUAUAAUAUUUUAGGAUAUAUAUAUAUAUAUAUAACAUAAAAUAAAAAUAAUAAUAACAUAUUUUAUAUCAUAUUUGGUUGAACAUAAAAUAAGAUAAGUAGUAGAGUAUUAAUCCUAAACCAAGAGGUAGGUCUCAUGUUUAAUAAAUUUAUUUAUUUUCUCAAUUUUUUAUUUCUCAUUUUAUUUAUUUUGAAAUUAAAAAAAAUUAAAUUUAUGAUAGAAAGAGAAGAAUUAAAAAAAUAUUUAUAAGAUAUAUUAUAAAAUAAUAUUAUAUUAUUUAAUAUAUAUUAUUUUUAUAUAUUGAAUAACAUAAUAUAAAAAAGAUUUAUUUAUAAACUUUAUAUUUUAAUCAAGAAUAUGGUUAAAUAUAAGAAAAUUUUAAUUUUUUAAUAAUAAAUAUUAGAAUGUAAUUAAACAUUGAAAAUAACAUAUAUUUCAUUUCUUUUUUUUAUUCUUUGUAAUCAUUUUACAGACUAGCUAUAAAUAUAAUAUAACAUAUCAUAUUGUGUAUAACAUCUUAUGAUAUUAUAUAUAUCGGAUAAUAAUAUGAAAGAAUAUCAUAUUUUAUUGAAAAUAAUAUCUUAAUAUAUAAAUUUCUUAUUUAAUAAAAUAUGAUAUCUCUUAGGAUAUGCAUAUUUUAUUAUACUCCAUCAAUUAAUUAAACAUAGUACAAAAGUUGAAAACUUAAGAUAAAGUCAUGAUCGACAGGAAUCAUAGGCUGUCUGGGAAUUAUUUUUUAGAAUAGUUUUAUGUUCUCUAGAAUAAAAAAAAUACAGAAAAUAUGUUUGAUAAUAAAAAACUAUAUAUACUAUUUUCUAUUUUUAAGAACAAAAAACAAAGUGUUUUCAAAGAUCAUCUUUUAGUUAUUUUAUGUUAUUUUCAUUUAUUUUUAAGGGUUGUUUUAAGAAAUAAUUAUAUAAAAAUGAUCAAAAAUAAAACACUAAAUAUAAAAAUUACUUUUAAAAUAUAUUUAAAAAUUAUUAAAAAUAGGUUAAAAAUAUUUUAAGUUUUCAAACAUGAUUUUAUUUUACAAAAAUCGGAGAACAAUUUUAAAAACUACUCUAAAAAGCUAUUUUUCAGAAUUAUUUUUAAAAAUAGUUAUGAAACAAACCCUCAAUAUAACAUUAUUUUUUCUCUACUUCUGCCAUAUCAAAAUUUAACUUGAAUCUAAAUAAAGUCAAGUAUCAUUGAGUAUUUAGGUUGUCUAUUUUUUCUUGAUGUUUGAAAUACCAUAAUUUACUACACUAUAUAUUUCAUAAUAAUUAAUUAUAUAAUUAGUUAGAAAAUUGAUAAUUAGAUAAUAAUUAUGAUUUCUAAUUAUGCUUGAUUACUAAGAGAAACAUAUGUAAUUUUCAAAGUUAAGUUUGACUGGUUACUCAUUGACUUUUGUGUGUAUUUGGUACAUUUAGCUAUAAACGUAAAGAAUAGUGGUCUAAAAUUUGGUAUUUUUGAAUUUUUUUUUCCCCAAAGUAUUUUCACAGGUUUUUUUUUUUAAAAUUUAAAUAAUAUUAUUUUUAAAACGCAACAUUUAUAAAGCAUUUAACGGUAAAAAGAUUUUGCAUGUGGAAAUCUUCUUUCAAAAAUGAGAUUUUAGUAUAGAAUAUUAGUCUCUUUAACCAUGUGAUUUAAAAAAAAAUUUCUAUUUUUAAAAACAAAAAACCGUUUCUAAAAAUUUCUAAUAUUAUUUGACUGUUCUUUUUUGCAAAUAAUUUUUAAAAACUAAGUGAAAUAAAAAAUAAUUUUUAAAAAAGAAAUACGAGUUGUUUUCACUAAUUUUUAAAAACAAAAAGAAAACAUUGAUUUGUUGAUCAUAUUUUCUCAAAUUUGUUUUUAAAAAUUAACUUAAAAAUAGUUUUUUAAAAUAAAUUUAAAAAACAUGACCAAGGCGUUUAUAUUUUAGAAAUAGAUUCAUAAUUACCAUUUAUUUAUUUAAUAAAAAAGUCUAAUUGUGCAAUAACACCCUACUUUCACAAGCCCCUUGAAUAAAAGCUAGCAUCACGUUGAAAGCAAUAUCCAAACAAACUCCAUCUGAAGAGUGGUCUGAAUUUGAUUUUGAGGCACAUUUGCAGAAGCCCAUUUUGGGGAGUUUGUUGAGAGAGAUGGUGGUGGCAUCCAUGCACUGUCUUUCCUGUUCUUUAGGUAGCUUUGACCUUGAAAAUCAAACACAACCAUUCGAUUCUCAACCCAAUAAAGACCAUCUAUAUCUUGUUUAUUCUUCAUUCAGUCUCGAACAUGCACCCCACGUUCAAGCAACCAGCUCAAAACAAGGCAAAACAAAUUCAAACCCUAUCCCAUCUGUCAAAUUAACCUGCUUCUAAAAAUACAACACCCAAGUCCCAAAUCAAUUGGGAGUUGGGUUUCUCCCCAUUUUUCAUCUCUCUUAGAACAAACGAAAAACAAAGGGAAUAAGAGAAGAAGAGAAAGACUUCACCACCUUGUAAAAAUACAACUCCCAAGUCAUUUGGGAGUUGGGUUUCUCCCCAUUUUUCCAUCUCUCGAAGAACAACCACAGAAGCUAACACCUAUUACUCUCCAUCUCUCUCCAUUCUCAUCGCUUCCACCAUUGUUAUGCUUGGAGUUCCUUGUUUUUUACACAAGCCAUUUGCUUGAAUCAAUAAUGGUUCGAGUUCUUGAUCAAGACCAGGAGCCUUACAAGUCUAAGUUAGUUCAUUUUAAAGGAAUGUGUGAGAAUGGAGGGCGACAAACUCAGAGAUCAACAGCAGAGAGUUCUAGUGGGGCAGAGUCUCCCCCAGAUGAUAGGAUGAUCUCAAGGUCAAAAGCUUUGGGUGCUCACCGCUCCAGGUAUGAUGGAGCUGGGGCUGGGAGUCAUAGCAAAGAUAACAGACCCUCAGGCAAGUCUGAGCCUUUUACAGUCUACAUUUCAUCUUUUGAAUGCAAGAGUUUUUUCAUUAAUUUUACUAAGAAAAAACACAUGUUCUAUCAACUACAUAUCUGAAUUUUGAUCUGGGUUUUUGUCUUCCUUUAUGGGCUUGAUUCAGACAUUGAAUUGAUGAAAGAGAGGUUUUCAAAGCUGCUUUUGGGAGAGGAUAUGUCUGGUCAUGGAAAGGGUGUUUCAUCAGCUUUGGCACUGUCAAAUGCCAUUACGAAUGUUGCUGGUGUUUUCAAUCUCUUCCAUUUUGUACUCCAUAUGUAUAAGAUUUCUCAUGUUUUCCCCAAUGAGGAUUGAUCGAUGAUAGAAGAAAUUGUAAUAUUUUCAUCUCUCUUAAUAUGAUGCAGCUUCUGUCUUUGGGGAACUACGGCGUUUAGAGCCCAUGCCAGUAGAGAGGAAAACAAUGUGGAGAAGAGAAAUUGAUUGGCUAUUGUCUGUUAGUGAUCAUAUUGUUGAAAUGGUUCCUCAACAAAGAUCGAAAGAUGGAACCAGUAUGGAGGUACAACCCCCCAUCCCCCAGCCUAGCAGAGCUUGAUAAAAGUUUUUAUGACUCUAUGUUGCUUGUUUAAUAGGUAAUGGUGACUCGGCAACGAUGUGACCUUCUUAUGAACAUCCCUGCCUUACGCAAGCUUGAUGCAAUGCUUAUUGUAAGGACAGUUUUUUCAUGACUUCAAUUCAUUUGAGCCACAUAUGGGCAUUUUGUGUAUGACUUAUGCCAGGUUUUUAACAAAAAAACAGGACACCCUAGAAAACUUCAAAGACCAAAAGGAGUUCUACUAUCCGUCUGGAGAUGCUAAAGAUUCCAGCAGAGAAGACAGCCAGAGAACAAGUGACAAAUGGUGGAUACCUAAUGCUAAAGUUCCCCCAAAUGGUCUAUCUGAGGUAACAAGGAAGUGGCUACAGUUUCAGAAGGAUUCUGUGAACCAAGUGCUUAAGGCAGCCAUGGCCAUAAAUGCUCAAAUUUUAUCAGAAAUGGAAAUACCUGAAAACUACAUUGAAUCCCUCCCAAAGGUGAAAAACAGAAGAACAAGAAGAAGAAUCCCUUAAUGCAGAUGCUAGCUUACUAUCUUCAUUGACUUUCUUUUCUUUUUUCUCUGGUAGAAUGGGAGGGCAAGCCUUGGAGACUCAAUCUAUAAGAGUAUCACAGUUGACCACUUCGAUCCUGGGCAAUUUCUCUCUACCAUGGACUUGUCAUCUAACCGCAAGAUCCUUGACCUUAAGAACAGGAUUGAGGCAUCCAUUGUGAUUUGGAAGAGGAAGAUGCACAAUAAAGAUGGAAAGUCUGCUUGGGCUUCAGCCGUUAGCUUGGAGAAGAGAGAACUCUUCGAAGAGAGAGCAGAGACCAUCUUACUCAUAAUCAAGCAGCGAUACCCUGGAUUAGAUCAAUCUCAACUAGACAUUAACAAAAUCCAGUUCAAUCAGGUGAGUGCAUACUAUGUCUAUGUCUAUGUCUAGGGUUCUAUUCCAUAUUACAAUGACACCUUCAAUUGGACACCGAGAAUCAUCUUCUGUCCUAUUUCCAGGUAGAUUUCCUUUUGCAGUGAUCAUCAUCAUUAGUGUUAUUGCAUGAUUUCCUAUAUGGGAAAGUUUUCUUUUCUUUUUCAUUUGGUGUAUGUUUACUAGGUUGUUCUAUCCCAAUUUAGAAUCUAAACAAGUUAUUAUUCAGUAGUCACACAUUGGUAGUGUAAUAUUCUACAUUGGUGAAGGGAAGAAGUUCCUAACACUGUAUAUAAAGCAGACUCCUCUUAACUAUAUAAACGUGUUUUACAGCUAUGAGGACCUAUUGAGCCCAGAACAGAUAAACAUCUACAUAGAAAGAAGAAAGUUUUUACAAAAUGGUAUCAGAGUUGGGGUGUGGGACUAUGGGACUUUGACUGAGUGUUUUGAAUGGUCCCACUCAUAAUCUCAUAGGUCACAAUGAGGAUGUUAUGUCCAUGUUAGAGGUGAUUUUGAUAUCCUACAUAGGUUAGGGGAAGAAAUUCCUAGUACUAUAUAUGAAGUGGGCUCCUCUUAACUAUAUGGAUGACUUUUAAAGCCUUGAAGGCCCAUAGACCUUAAGAAUGGUGGCUCUAAAUGAGCUUCACCAACAAAUAUAAACUACAACUAUGAACUGUGGUGCACCAUAUAAAUCCAUGUAUUUUGUUAGUGAUUGUUCAUUUGUUUUCGGCCUUUUUUUUAUCACUUAUCUCAGUCCAAAUAUUGAAUUCUUCAACCUUUUAGGAGCCAGCCUACUAAAUCAUCUUUAUCAAUGGUGUUUCUAGUUAUAUCCAAAGUUGAAGCUAUAUUCUUCUUGGUUUGGCAGGAUGUGGGACAUGCUAUUUUGGAAAGUUAUUCACGAAUACUAGAAACCUUGGCCUUCACAGUCCUUUCCCGUAUUGAAGAUGUUCUGUAUGCCGAUUCUCUCGCUCAAAAUCCAGCUCUCGCAUCAUGCAAGAGGAAUCCUUUAAGAGGCUCCUCAUUGGAUCCGGAGCCACUGAACUUCCCAAACCCAAAAGAAGAGAUAGAGAAGCUGUCUACAGGGACACCCCAAUCGAUGACAUUGUCAGACUUCAUGGGUUGGAAUUUGGAGAAGGAAGAUGGAGAAGAGAAGAAGGGUUCUGGGGGGAAUUCAGAGGAACUCUCCAAAAAUGAUGAGAAGCCUAUGACCAAAAUUGCAAAUAUUAUAACCAACAAAAAAGUAUCCUACAUAGAGAAGCUUGAGAACCUGGGUGGUCUAAGAAGCCCAACAGCACGCCAUUGAUAACAAAAUUAGAGAGAAAGAUUAAAACCUGAGAGGGAGGGAAUGAUACAGAUAAAUUCAAGGAGGAGAGGGCUUCACCUAGAAAUGUAAUAUUUCAGAUCCAAACAUAACUUCUUUUGGAGUUGUGUAUUUUUUUUUCCUCCUCUUACUUCUUUCCUUCAGCAACUAGGAAGGGAUGAGUAAAACUAUGUGUUUUCCAAGCAUUUUUAAAUGUGCUUUCUUUGGUAUUUGAAUGGCUCUGUAGACUUGCAGCCACUAAAAUAUGUCAUUCUUAAUUUUCCUAAGGGUUCAUGCAUCCUACCUCUUUGGUAAUAGAAAUUCUCUAAAUCGACAGUUUAUAAUAUACUCCCUAGUUCUGACUUUAAGAGCUUCCAAGCUUAACUGAUCUUAGUCCAUGAAUAAAUUACUAAUUAAAGUUGAAGAAAUCAGUUUUUGUUGGUGGCAUUAUAUUUACUAUUAUAGUCAAAGAUGUGUGAAGAUAGCAUCAAGAAUGUCCAAGGGUAGACCAUACGAGCUUCUUGUUCAGUAGAAUGUUUGAUUACUUGUAUCAUCCUUACUACUACUAAAAACAACUAAAACAUUAGAUCCUUGUCUACUGAAAGCAGAAUAUUUUCAAAUUCAAAAUUUACUGACACCACAAAUGUAUAAGAUUGGUUGUUUAGGGUAUAUUUUUUGUCUUUCGUUUUGCUCUCAAAUAGUAUUAUGCCUUGCUUUUCUAAAAAUUUUCAGCAUGAAAUUUUAGCUAUUUUUAUAUAUUUUUAGCUUUUUUCACAUGAUCCAUCCCUUAGAAAAUUGUGGGAACCCUUUUAAGAUCUGGUUCUUGUUCUGGAGAUAAAGAGUAGAAGUGGUUCAUAGGUCAUGCUUGGUUUUCUAUUCAAGAAAAGUUAUAGAGGGCCAUUUAAAGGAUAAAAAAGAGCUUUUUUUUUUUUUUGAUAGGUAAACAAAAUAUGCAUUAAAAGCGUCAAGAAGGGUGCACCAAAAUACACAGGACCUAUACAAAGACGGCCUAGAGAUGGCCAAAAAAUAGGGGGAGGGAAAGGACCAAAAAAGAACUAUUCUGAAGAGAAUACACUUUUGGACAUCAAAAGUCAGUUUUCUCUCCAAGUUGCUUCACCCCCACCUCAAUAUAAAAAUAGUACAGGUAAUGCUGUAAUCAGAUGACUAAGAUAUGAUAAUCAAACUGCAGUAAAUUAAGAUUAAACGCAAUGCCCCAAUUACAAUCAAACAAAUAUCUUUGAAUAAUUAAUAAUGGGGUCCUAAGUAGGUUUUAGACAUACUUACAAGUUGCGAAAAAGAUACAUAUUGACACAAUUAAAAGGUCGAAAGAUGCGAAUGGCCAGAGAAUUAGAUCUUGCCACGUGGCCCAGGCUGUGGUGGAAGUUGCGGACCCUUCUUGAUUGGUAGGUAGUCAUCUGAAGCUGUGGCACUGACAUAAGCAAGUACUGAACCACCUCCCAAUAGCAAGAACUUGAGCAACAGCCCUCUCUUGGUGAAUGGAGCUGCAAAGGUCUCAAAGAAUUUGCUCUGCAAAUCCCAUAUGCACAUAUAAUUCAUAAGUACUCAGCUAAAAUUUUUGAAAGGAACGGAAAAUAAAAGUGCUCAAACACAUCUUUUCAUUUCAUAACCUAUACCAAAUGCUUGAAUCCAGCAUGAGAUAGCUGGAUUCAAGCAUUUAGCAUAGGCCUGAGCAUCAACUUCUGAUGAACCGAGGUUGCGAUCUGCUGUCUUGUUCAAUAUGCAUGUCAAUAGGAUGACUUGAUUACAUUUUAGAAUGCCAGGAUUUUGGUAUUACAUGAAUGCAAGGAAUUUCAACAUAAGAAAUGAUUGAUUAGCUAUACCGUUAUAAAACAAAACAAAAGAUGUAUUCCAACCAGUUGCAGUCAGCAACAACUCCAUUGCCAUUCACUCUUUUCACAUAUGCAUUCUAUUGAAUUGAAUACCAACAUGUCUUCUCAAUCUUACAGCCUUAACACAUAUUGCUCGUGUCCUGUUUUGGCACCUUUCACUUGAACCAAAUCACCAAUGUGCAAUCCUCAAACUUUAUUGCACAUGAAAAGCUGUAGCACGACCUUUUAUCAUCUUACUUGGUUGUCUCUUUUAUAAGGCCAUUAAUCAUUUCAUUCACUGUCCUAAAAUGGAAAGGCAUCUUGAAAAACUUGAGAAUUUAAUCACAUUGCACUCCAGCUUUUUCCCCAGAAUCCAUCCCACUAUCAAUCUACAGGAAACCCUUCUUCAUAUCCCCUCCUCAAAAUCUGCCCCUGAAGAUACAUACCUAUCCUCAAACCCUAAUUCACUUUCAGUAGAAUAUCAAUUUUUGCACAUAUUCUGAAGCCUGAAAAAGCCCCAAUAUACAGUUUAUGAUGAAAAUUAGGUCUAAUUACAACCAAAAAAGAGUUAUUCCCAUUACCAUACACAGAUUUGGAGACACUAACCCAAUCCCAGACCCCAUUUCAUCAACUUCUCUUCACACAUCCCAAUCAAUAAGAUGAGAUAGGAACACAUACUAUGAUACUAGAAUUCAAAGACAACAUAUAGGGAUCUUUAUACCCAUUAGAUCUCUUAGACAUUUACAAAUGGAAAAUGCGAUUUCUAUCAGCAGAUUUGGCAGAAGAUCCCCUCUAAACUCCAAUUUAAAUUCAAGAUGACAGGCAAAAAUGACGAGAAAAAAAGGGACUGACAAACCUGGAGAGGGUUGUAUGGUGAAGGUGCAUCAGACCCAUACACGUCCCACUGUCCAGUGGUGUUGCCCAAAUCCUCCAAAUCAAAGUACACACUCUUGUCACCGUACUUUGCCACCACAGCACCAGCCCUGCAAUUCAAUACAGAAGAUUCCAAAGACUAGCCCAAGUUCAUACCUCCCUCAAACAAUGAAUGCAUUCAGUUUUUUGUUUUUACCUUGAGUUACCCACUCUCAAACUUCGGCGAGCUGGCUUGACGGAGAGCUUAGUUCCGGAAAUGGAGCUGCCGGCAAGGCCCUUGAUGUUGAUAGGUUGUACUGCAGCUAAGGUUGCUAGAGAAGCCAUGGCCUUUGCUCUGCUCCAAACUCAGUUCCUUCUUCCUCGGUUGGCUGGCUUUUGAGUAGUAGCAGAGUAUUUGGGCUUUUGAGAUUUUGCAUGGAUCAUGGGAUGCCACGUGGCAAACUGGGUUUUCCUGGGGGAUAUGUCGAAUCCAGAUUUGGUGGUGCCAUGGGGUUGAUGGUGGAUAAGGCUAUCCAUUCAUGAUCUUUUGUCAUCAGGUCUGGGUCUGGCUUGCUGAGGGUGGGAGGAUCUGUGGACACGUGUUUUAAUCACGGAGAGUGUCGCACCCUCUAUACCGUACUACCUGAAUGACCUUAUCAAUCAAUGAAGAUUCCAAAUAUACUAUCACAGCCGUCCAAUUUUCCUUUUUUUUUUUUUAAAAAAAAACUUUUAAUUCUCUAAUGAUUUUUUUUAAAUGAUAAAAAUAAACAAAUAAAACUUAAAUCUUGACUUGAAAAUUCUAAAAUAUAUGCAAAAAAAAAUCUAAAUAAAAACAAUUAUUUAUCUCUUUAAAAUAUAUGAAAAUUAUGUUUUAAAAAUGAGAUUAUUAAUAUUAAAUUUUAAUGAAAGUUUUAUUAAUUAGUUUUAACAACGGUACUAAAAUGUUAUAUUAAUAAUAAUAAUAAUAUAAAAUAGAAAAAUAGAAAUAAAUUAAAAUUAUAAAAAAAUAUUUUGUCUUUACUUAAAAUUUAACUUAUUCAAUUAUAAAAUAUAAAAAUUAAAUCAAAUUAGAAAAUUUUAAAAUUUUAAAAUAUAACUAAAAGUUUAUUAAUGUGUAUUGUGUCUUCCUUUUUCAAUUUUUUUUAAGAAAAAGGGAAAAAAAUAUUUUUAGAAAAGAAAUUAAAAACGAGAAAAAACGUGACACUUAAAGAUUAAAAGAGAAGAGUCAUAGAAUCAGAGUAAAGAAAGAUAGAAAGAAGAUUCUAAAUUCAAAGAAUAUGAGACUUAUAAAACAUAUUCAUUUUUCCUAAUUUCCUUUAAGGGUAUUUUUGUCUUUUGCAUUUCAUGUUCUUAACAUCAAUUAUGUUAAAUAUAUGAAUUUUAAAUCCAUUAUCUGUUUUAACUAGCUUUAAAUAUUCAUUGAAUCUAAUUCCUAGGAUCUCUAUUCAUAUAGGUUGGGUUGCCAUCACACGAGAUUAACAAAAAACCUCGUCUAAUCAUGGAUAAAGAGUAAUAAUUAGAGUUAGUAAUGAGGGAAAUUUUAAAAACCUAAAUCGGAAGCAAUGACCCUAGUCCUUGCCCCAUACCUAUCCCAUCCUUUUUUCGAUUAUAUUAUUGUUUUUAUUAUAAAUGAUUUUAUGCUUUUAAAAUAACAUACUAUAUAUAAUUUAAUUUUUAAAAAUAUUCAUUUUAAAUAUAUUAGGUUAUAUAUAAUUUUAUAUUUAAAAAUUAAAAAAACUAAUUAAGGUUGUUGGGAAUGAGGAAUUUAUUCCCUUAAUGAGGAUUCAUCUUCUUCACCUUACCUAGUCUAAGAUAGGGAAUGGAACGAGGAUGAGAAAUAAGUUUAGAAAAUUAUUUUUUAAAAAUGUAAGAAUAAAAAGAGAUGAAUUGCAAUCUUUACAAUAAAAAAUUUUAAUGGAGAGGAUUCCAAUAUUUAUAUUAAUUUAAAGGAAAAAUCGAGUUUCUACACACUCAUAUAAAACUAAUCAUAAAAUAGAAAUCUUCUAAAAAUAAUUCAAAUUUCAUGUACCCACCGAUCAAAUGUAGUACUUAAGAUGAUCAAAUGUAAUACUUAUAUCAUUAAAAGGUGAUACCUCAAUAAUUGAAGAUAUUAUAUUGGACUAAAAAAUGUAUAAAGUAUUAAUUAUUUUUAAAUAAUUACUUAAAAUUUAUAUUUUAUAAACUCGAUUUUUUAUUUUGUGGUUUUUUCAUUUGAGUACUUAGAAACAUAUUUUUCCUGAAUUUAAAUUAAUUUAAAAUUCAUAACAAUCCACACAUAAACAUACAAAUUAAUAUUAAUAAUAAGUCCUUCAAAUUUGAAUUUAUAAUUUAAAAAUCAAAUUUUGAAAAUUUGAAUCACACUUUAAUGUUAUUAACAACCAACACCUAAUGCCUGUUUGGUGUUUGGUGUUGACUCCAGGGAUGAGAAAAACAAACAAGCAAUGACAUUUGACUUUAGCACCUGCCAUACUCAAAUCAUGUUGACUUUGUUCCCAAAUUGGGAUGGAAAUCUUGUAGAAAGAUGGGUAAUUUGCAUUGCAAAGCAGACUAGUCUAUUGGACCGAUCAAAAUGAAACCCAUAAUCAAAAUGAACCGAUCUCUGAUUUCUGGGUCUCAAUUACUAAACCUGCUGUCCCUCCUAAUCUUUCCCACAUCUCCUACCAAAGCCUUGUAGUUUGAGAGCUUGGAAAACCCAUAUGAGAACCUCUCAAAGAGCUGCUCCAGGCUAAUCCCAAACCUCACCACAUGUGAAAGUGUCCUGGGAUCUCUGGAAAUAUCAGAAUCAAUCUUCAGCAACCCUCUUCCAUUCAAUGUGUCUAUGAAGUAGCGAUUGUCGAAUGAUGUUGCAGUGGCAUCAUUUGUCGCAAAAGCUAUGUCUGACACAGAAGGACCGCUGUAGAUUGUCUUCAACACGAAUGCAUGGGAAGGUGAUAUUGCAGGGUCAGCUCUCGGCCGGAGCCUGUUCUCAAAGUUCCGGCAAUGGCCUACGCCUAGAGUAUGAGCGCCUGCAACCAAAUUACAUUUAAUUAGAACAACAGUAAGUGCUACGAUGCUGAAGCUCUUUUUUCAAAUUUUAUUUUGGCGAGAAUUCAUUAUAAUAGAUUUUUUUUCUAUUUUUAAAUUAUUCUCAUUAGUUAUAAUUUCCUAUUUUUGUGUUUUGGCCAUAUUGUUUCCUAUUUUUGUGUUUUAGGUUUAUGUAUAUAUAUUCAUUCUUAAUCAAUGAAAAAGUUAAGUCAUUGUUUCUCAAUAAUCCUCUCUCUACUUCAAUAUGGUAUUAAGAGCCUAAUUUUCUUGGACGUAUUUUCUUCAUCUUUUUUUUUCCCUUCUCCUUAAUGGCUUCCGAUGCAUCCUUCUCCUCCACCAACGAUCCUAUCACCAUCCCCUCCUUACAAUCAAUCUCUCCAAUAUCACCAAAUUGUCAUCCACCAAUUAUCUCACAUGGAGCCUUCAAAACCAAUCUCUUCUUGAAGGUUAUGAUCUUCAUCACUUCAUUGAUGACGCUCAUACUCCACCACCACCCACCGUCACCGUCACUGGUGUUGCAUCCUUAAAUCCGGCAUACACAACCUGGAAGUAUCAGGAUCGUCUCAUUUUUAGCACUCUCCUUGGUGCUAUCUCUGUUUCACUACAACCGCUUAUUGCUCGCACCACCACUUCCCUUGAUGUAUGACAAACCUUAACCAAUACCUAUGCCAAAUCAUCUCGUUAUCGUAUUAAACAAUUGAAGGAACAAUUACAGCGGUGUACCAAGGGCUCUCUAACUUAUUGGACUUACGCCUUUGCCAUUGUUGUAUAUCUCAUCAACCGUAUGCCCACACCCACGCUACAUCUCUCAUCUCCUUUUGACAAACUCUUUGAGUCUCCAUCCAACUACACUAAACUUCGAGUGCUCGAUUGCUUAUGUUAACCGUGGUUUCAUUCUUAUUUUCAACAUAAACUUGACUCUUGUUCCACUCCUUGUGUUUUUCUUGGUUACUCUUCAACACAAAGUGCCUAUAUUGUCUAUCUUGGUCAUCAUCCAAUUUCCUCAGCAGAUCAACUUGCCGACACUCUUACUAAACCGCUUCUACGAAGUCACUUCCAAGAAUUACAGGUCAAGAUUGGCGUCUCCUCCGGAGCUCCAUCUUGAGGGGGCUUAUUAGAGAACUCAUUACAACAAUUUUCCUUCUAUUUUUAAAUUCUUCUAAUUAGUUGUAAUUUCCUAUUUUUUUGUUUUGGGCUAAUUCUAGGAUUGUUUCCUAUUUUUGUGUUUUGGGUAGAUUGUUUUCUAUUUUUGUAUUUUAGGUUUGUGUAUAUAUAUUAAUUCUUAAUCAAUGAAAAAGUUAAGCUAUUGUUUCUCAAUAAUCCUCUCUCUACUUCAACAGUAUGUACCCAUGAGUGCAACUCCCUCUUCGAUACUGAUAAUAUUCUUCUAGCCGAAAAUUUUGAUUAGUUCAUCAACGGAAAUGUCAGCUUUAGGAAGCUGUUCAUCAGCUCUCUCCUUGCUUGCAACGAGGGUGUCUCUUCUACCAGUCAAAACCUCUAUAUAUGGUCCCCUUAUCUGCUCUAAUACAAAUUAAAGUCACUACACAUGUUGAUGUCUUCCACAGUUCCUUGAUUCUUAUACAUCAUGAGGGACACAACCAAAUUCUUAUGAUCAAUAUCGUGCGGAAGGUUGAGUGCAAACAUUAUAGUUUAAGAAUAUAAAGAUAGAAUACGAGGUUUUGAUGCGAUUGGAUCAAAUAUGUCUAUGCCCAUGAUAAGAGUUGGAAAAUAUGAGAUUUUUUGGAACCAAUAAUUGUAUUUGGUUCUUUCAUUCAUGAAUAUAGGCAUGUUGAGUUGAAUUAUGCUAAAACCUCAUGUUUCUUUGUGGAUUGUUGUUUUUAUAUUCUUGAACUAAGAUGUUAAUAUUGAAGCUCUUGACACAAUAAUCAAGGCAUAUAUAUGAGCAUACAAAAGUGAUCACAUAGCUUCAUUGAGCUUGAAUUUCUAAGAAAUCAAGAGUUGAACUUACCAGAAAGAUGGCCUCCCUUGCAGCCAACUGGAUGAUAUCAGCACAAGAAACAAUUUGAGGACACAUUCUCGAGGGAGCUCUUUAUCUCAUCAAUGGUGUCAAGUUUCCGGAUUCCGAAAUUCUUCUUAGAUAAUGUCUUACUUGUGAGGCUACUCGAAUCCCCAAGAAGAAAUGAAACAGCACAACCCUGUAAGAAAAAUAAAUACAAGCUUUAAGUACUUCAAACACUUAAAAAACAAAGACAAAUUAAAGAGAGAGAGGGAGGGAGGGAGGGAGUAACUGAUAAAAUUUUAAACGACAUAGGAUCACAUGUAGACAUUAAAACAUUCAUUAAAUGACAAUAAAUGAAAUGUUUACUUUGAUUAAUGCCAUGAAAAGUCAUUUUCGUGUUUCACUAGUGUCCAAGAAUAUGUUUAGUUCGUGAUGGUAUGAAAAUCUGAGUUCGAUGAGCUCUUCUUUUUCUACACCCAAGAUUCAAUCCGUGUGUGCUAUCAAGACAAUUAUGCAAUGCGUCUUUUUUUAUAUAUAUAUUUAUAUAUAUCACAUAUUACACACAUUAUUUAGACCACUUGACUUAAUGAGUCAGUUAAGUGAAUUAAGAUGAGCCCAUAAAAAAACAAGUAAUAAUAUGUAUCAAGUCCCGUUAUGAACCACAAUGCAAAAAUAAAAUAAUAUUGAUUUAUGACAUUAUCACAUUGAUUAUGUAAGAUUACGCAUAAAAAAUUCCAACGGUAACUACAUCAACUCGACAGUCAUGGAAAGUGAGUCUUAACAGGGCCGCAAUAGUGGAAGGAUGGCCCACCAUACUUGUUCUUGCUUUCUGCUUUACAAUAACCUCUGCGCUCGGACAGCUAUCCCUUUAUAGAAAUGAAGCUCAAGCCCAUCAACCCUUUCAGCUGUGUCUACAACCCCAUUUGCAGGGAAGGAAGCCCACAAAGCCAUGGCCAAAAGCAUUGGAAAAGCUUCAAACCCCAUUUCGUCAUUCGAUUCUAGUCUUUUGUUCUUGAUAGAUAUGGAGCCCUCUCUUUAUACAGAGGAAGUGGAAGAGUACCAUUUAUACGCGGUUCUGUUCCAUGUUCAGAGAUGUAGAGACUGGAGUGCUAAAAGGUGGUGCAUGUUGAAGGUUAUAUAUCACACCAUCUGGACUUGGUUCAGAGCUGGUUUUCCAUUUUGUCAACCUUGAUAGUUAAUGCUGGUGGUACUUCUGCGUCGGAGCAUUUAAGAAGGAAGUUUUAGAGUUUCCGUGGUCUCCAAAGAUUAAAAAUGGAUGUGAAUGCAACUCAAGAAUAAGACAUCUCCUCCCCUGGGAAAGCCACCUUUCCAUGCCCACACCCCGUUGUUAGAGGAGGUUUGAAGCCAUGUGAAACUUAGAAUGUGGAAAGGUCCAAAUUGUAAAAUGUUAAACCUACCCAUUUCCCAAUCUCCACUGUUGAAUGUAUGUUGAAAUUUAGAAUGUUGAAUGAAGUAACAAACAAAUGGAACUAAAGUAUAAGUUACAUAUGAAUGGAACUCACGCAUGAAGUCAUUUGGGUUCCAUUUGGAAAUUGUUUUUAAAAAUAAUUUUAUAAAAAUAUAAAAAUAUAUUUGAUAAAAAAAAAAAAAAUCAUGUUUUACUUGUUUUAAGUUAUUACGUGAGAUUGGUUUUUUUUUUUUUUUUUAAAUAAUGAUAUAAAUAUAAAAAAAUAAUUAAAAGAUAAACUACUACAUACAAACUUAAUGUUUAAAACAUAUUUUUAAAUAUAGAAAAAAAAUAAUAAGAAAAUUUUAGAUUCCCAAAAAACGACUAUCCUAUAAAACAUUAUAAAAUUUUUUUUCAAAAAGUAACCUCAAAAUAUACUUUGAGAAUUGCUUUGGAACUUAAAUGUUUUUAACUUAUUUUUUAUAUUUUUUAAAUAUAAUUUAAAAAUAAUCUUUAUUUUUAAUUAUUCUUUAUAUUUGUAUAAUUAUUUUUUAAAAGAAAAAAAAAUAAUUAAAAAAUAUUAUUUAAAAAUAUCAUAUUUUCUAUUUAAAAAAAAUAAAAAAACUAAUUUUUAUUUUCUAAUUAUCAUAUCUAUCUUCUUAUUUAUUUUUAUUUUAUUGAGCAAAAAAUUAUUUUUUAAGGCAGUUACCAAUUAGAGCUUAUUUUCCUAAAUUCAUGAAACUAGGACAGGGAGAUCCUAAACCACCACAAGGACAUGAUAUUCCCACGCCCAAACACACCCAAAACCCAAUCCACAAAGAUUGGCAAAAACCAAAACCAACCCACAUCCUCCUCCCAAACCCAGCAAUGUCUCUCCUCCAAUCUCUCAAACUCACCACCCCAUUCCUCCAUGGCUCCAGCAACCUCUCUCUCCUCUCCAAACCUUCCUCCACCUCCCUCGCCUCACCACCACCCCCACCCACCUUUCUCCCCCCAAUCCGUGCUAUGAAGUCCAUGCAGGGCCGAGUUGUUUGCGCCACCAGUGAUAAGACUGUGGCUGUGGAGGUGGUCAGACUUGCGCCACACCCAAAGUACAAGAGGAGAGUGAGGAAGAAGAAGAAGUACCAGGCACAUGACCCAGACAACCAGUUCAAAGUUGGGGACGUUGUGCAGCUCGAAAAGAGCAGACCCAUUAGCAAGACUAAGACUUUUGUUGCAAUUCCAGUUCCAAACAGGAACAGGGCCAAGAGCCAAGAGGCAGCGGCGGGAGAGCUUGAGAUUCCAUUGGAGUCUCAGCAGGCUUAGUAUGCUUUUGUUUUGUUUUGCGGUGGAUGCAUUCGAAGUGGGAUUUUGUUGUUAUUGUGUUUAAAUUUGUGUACUGAAUUGGGUUGAACUGAGAUAAUGAAUUUGGAAUUUGGUUUUACAAUAAUGCUUCAAUUUUAGCUUUGAAUGUGGGGUUGUCAAUUGGGUUGGGUUUUCGUCUCUUUUAGAGUUCUAUUUUCUGGCUAUGCUUGAAUUUUUUUAUGGGGUGUGGAUUGAGUUUCAUUGUUGUAAUUUGGGGUUUUCUUUGUGUUCUAUCUUUCAGAUGGGGUUUAGUCUCUUGAUGAUGAGUUUCUUUUGAUUUUUUUUCUGAAUUGGAUUCUGUAUGAUGCUUAAUCAAUGUGCUACUGGGCUUCAAUAAGGUAUUAAGAACUAUUUGGAAAGGAUAAAAUGGAGAGCCUGGAAAAUGAUGAAUAUGUACAAAAUAAGAAUGAUAGCUGGCUUUUGGUCAGUUAGAAUUCUUAGAAAAAAAUUUGGGAUUUAAUCCUAUAAUUCAAGGUAUGUUCCGAUUCUGGAAUUAUUGAAUUAUAUGGUAUAAAUUUGGGUUGUAUUUGAUUGAUGAAGCAGUUGAGAAGAAUUUAAGAAAUUCUGUGACCCCAGAUGGAAUAAACCUUCCCUACCAAGGACCAAGUACUAGCAUUAGAAAACAGUUUUGAGUACCUGAGACCUGCAAAAUAGUUGUUCGAUAAUAUGCCACAAAGAAAGUAGUUAAUGGCGUUUUACUGUGCACAAACCCUUUCUAACACUGGCCGUUUGAAGUACUUUGGGAACCAACUGAGAAUACAUUCUCUAUAUCUGAAUCCAUGAACAAUUUUGAGAUAGGUAAUUGACUUCUAUGUGGAUGUUUUUGCCUACAGUUCUUCAAUUUCUUUCAGGUAUGCUUCCGGGAUCACAUGCUUAGUUCCACCAGUUCAUCAUUUUGUAAAGAAUGUUCUGGGAAUUGGGCUCCCAUCAUAUACAAAAUAAUAUAAAGGCUGGAGUAUGAAAUGGCAUGUUGAAACACAGGUAGAAACAAAAUCAGUUUGAAUGUGUGAAAGUUGAUAAAAAGGGUAUUCAACAGGCAUGAUAAAGUUGGUCGAGUUUUUGUGUAACGAUUUUUGACUAGUGUUCAGUAUUAAGUCCUAGGAGUUUCUGCAAAUGAGAAGGCAAAAAAAUUCAAGGAGUCUAAUUGUCAAAUGUUGUAUGUUGCAGUCAUCCAUAGCAUGGAAAUUCCUUUCAAAACUAGUGGUUUUCUCAUGUUGGUUGACUGUUGGAGAGAAGGGAUCCCCUGUCUUCUUUGCAUUUUCCUUUUUUGUUUUGCCAUGGUGCAUCUUCUGAGUACAGUACCGCAUGCUUUACAUUGUUUUUCCAUGUUCCGGUUUGAGUAACGAUGACUAAGAUUUUAAUGCUUCUACAUUAUACCAUUGAAAUUUUUGUUCAAUAUAAGAUGUGGACUUGCAUUGCUGGCUUGUUGUUUGAAGCAACCGGCACGACCUAAAGAUAAUAGGAAGAUAUGUUCCAUUGCUAUAGAAUUUAGUAGUACACUGUGUUACAAAUGGAGAUAGAUUUGGUUUUAUAGAGCCAUUUCUCAUGAACAAAAAUGUUGUAGGAUUAGAUGAUUAAAAUUAGGCCUUCAGCAAUUAGAGAGGCUGAAUCACUUUCCUGUACUUUUUUUUUCUGGUUAGCCUUUGGAUAGAGAAUCCCUAUCCGUGAAAAUAGCAAUUAAAUUAAGGAAGACAGGAGGCAGAUUGUAAUCGGAAGUUCUCACUAGCUCUAACUUCCAUAUCAUAGGAGGAAUGAGAAACGACUAGAAUCAGCAAGCCUUAUCUCCACGAUUUAAGAUUGGUGAAGAAAAAAAUGAAAGAAGAAACACAUUAGAAGUGGCCGAUUUGGCCUUGGAACCAAAAACCGAAAAAAGCCAAAACCUAUAAGUUUUACAAUUAAUCAGAGUAUCUAUCUAAUUAACAUAGGCACACUGAUCACCCAUCCUCACAUUGCAAACUUGUUUUUAUAUUUUGCAAUGUACAUGAUACAAGAGUGUUCACAGACUCCACAGACUCCAUAGUUAGUUUGGCUGUGGGGGAGGUGUUUGUUAAGACUUGAAAUGCUAUGGUGAGCAAAGAUCCUCCUUCAGUGCUCUUCUCCUCCGGCCUAGAAGUGAUGACGAGAGGCCUUGACUCAACCCCAUCUGGAAGAAUUGAGAAACCCGACGGCAGUAUAGCAAUGCUGCUGGAGUCGCACCCUGUCAUCACAGACUGCAUGCCGGGAAUGUCUACAGGAGCAUAAACCACCAUGGAUUCAUAUGCAUUUGUGCAGGUAUCUUGUACCACCCACAUACUGUUGUCUUUGGAUUUCAUUGUCUGAAUUCAAAAUGCCCAUGUUAUCCUUUGUUUGUUUGAUGGGAAAAAGAGGAAAGAAAAGCAAAAAAAAAACAUUUACUCUGACUUCUGGGUGGAAAGAACUCACCUGAAUAGUGACUGCAUUGCCCCGAUCCUGCCCUUUGGCCAAGUUUGCAAUUGACUGCACUGGCCCUCCACUCAACAUGAUGUCCCACUGGAAUUCACACAUUGAAAGCUUGUUAAAAUAUUUUUUGUACUGAUUAUCAACAUCUUAUGAUGGUUAUCAAGGCAGAAUCAUCUAACCUCACUCCGGCGAGCUUCAUCUCUUAAGAAAUCGAAUAUGACGUGGGGAGCCACUGGCAGCCAUACAGAUGAAACUGCACACAGGAUCACCCCUUGAGGCUCACCAGGAUCGUUCAGGUUCUUCCUGGAAGCCACCCUUAUGUCGUCUCCUGUUUUACUCGAUACCUUUGUCCAUGAGUUAAAGCUUGAUGCCCCCAGCGCUCGACAAAAACUCCAGGUCAUUCUUUGUGCCAACUUGAGAAUGCUUUUCCUUCCCGCCAGUGUCGCAACGCCUGGAGUUCAAUAAUGGGUGUAAGCUAAAAAAAUUUCUCAGUGAAGUAUCUGAUGAUUGAACUAAAAAUGUACUGGUAAUCUAGGAUUACCGCUCGAGUCCUUCGUGGGGACAUUGGUUGCCAUGAAGAACACCAGCCGCUCGCACUGGAGUUGCAGAGUCGCAAUCCAAUGCUUGGCACCAAAGGCCAGACCACUGUUAACAAUUUGGCGGUACAUGGUAUGAACCGUGCUUUUCUGGCAUUCCAAAUGCUCCACCCAGAUCACCUGAAAGAUUAAACCAUCGGAAAAAUGAGACUCAAACUUCAUGUAGUCUCCAAAAGGCGAGCAGUUUAAAAAAGAAGUCUGGUAUAUGCAUAUGCAGAUAUGUACUUACCUUGCAGUGGCCAUUGGAUUUAUCCUCAAUGAUGCAGCCAGAAGGACGUUUUCUGCAUUUCACAAGGGACGCAUCGAUAUUAUCUUCAACUUUAUCAAUGGAAACAUCAACAAUCGCCCAUUGAUCUGCACUCAGCUGCUUGCAGAAUCGGACAAAGUACACCUCUCUUGUGGGCACCAUGGGUGUGAGCAUUUGCAGCUCUGCAAACAUCUAGAACCAGCAUAAUGGGAAAAAAGUUAAUUGCAGAAUCUAACCUAAGCCAUGUCCAGCACCCUUAAGCAAAAGUAAAUAAUGGAACUGGUUUCAGAUGACUGGAAGGUGUGGUAGAUUGUUAGGUGAAUUCCUAGUUUUCCAUGUUUGUAAGUAAGGCCAAAUUUUCAAAAGGGUUUUUUGACCUUCAGUUGAGUUUAUUACUGCAGAAAAGUUCAUCCAAGAAGCAAUUUCAAAAAAGCCUUCACCAUGAGGAAAAGUCACUUCUGCUAAGCCAUAAUGAUGACAAUUUUUUCCUGCCUUUUGUUGUCCAGAAAAAUCAGAAGAGAAUUCCUCAGUUUUUCUCCAUUUUGAGCCAUAUAAAAAACUCCACUCCUACAAGCUGUGGCAGAGAUUGAUUUUUCCUAUGAAGAGAUGCCCUUUUUUUUUCAGAAUUUAUUCCACAAAUCGUUCAAAUCAGAGAUGAUGGAGAAGUUUUUUUGAUGGGUUACUCACCAAUUGAACUGCUCCAUUUCUAUUAGGACCUUCACCAUUGCAGAUAAUAUCAACGGUAGCCGCCUUUGAGAUUGUGCAUGGAAACAUUUCCUUCCAUUGAUUCUAUGAAAAUAGAGGACAAUCAUGGAAAGGGAGUCAAUCAAAUUUGAAAGCUAGCAUAUUACUUUGGAUCAAUUCAAUGAACCAUUGAUUCAAAAACGGCUUACCACAUCCAUGAAACUUUGAACAAGCCGUGGGAGGUCCACAAACACAACUCCAGUCUCUCUUGAGGCCUCAAUUGACCUCUUUGGCCUUCCAUUGCCUGAAUUUUCGACAGAAAAUUCUCUCAUGUACUCGUCGUAAUUAAGUAUCUCACGACCAGUCUCAACGCUUCUAAUCCAAAGCGGUUCCCCAGCAGUUGCCAUCUUCUUGAGCUCCUCCAUUGCCUGAUUAACUAUCUCCAUGAUUCUCGACUUCUCAAGCCCGAAAAUUCCAGUGUAGAACUCCAAAGAGCUUCUGUUCUCAUGAUCAUUUCCAGCCGAGCAUGAGGAGCUAGGUGAUCCUGUUCCAGGAGGGUAUUUCCCAAUGACUGCUCGUAGUUUUUCCACCUACAUAUUGAAAUGAAAUUCAUCCUUACCAUAAAGAGUAAAAAACACCUCAAAACCAUUGAUUUCAGUUUCACAAGUUAGUUUUUCAAACCUCGGCUUUCAGCCUUGCAUUUUCGAUUCUCAGCUGUUGUUCUUCAGUUGUCAUGGUGGGGUCUCUACUAGAGGUGGCUGAGCCGCAGUUGGGGCAACAAGACUUCUUAAUGGUCUCCCUCAUAGCCUUAUUUUCAUCUCUAAGCUUCUCCAUUUCUGAUUUCAAUAGAGAGUUUUCAUGGCGCUCCUGUAUAGCCUGCAACAGCCAUUCCAGUACAAUGACCAAUUCAACAAAAGCCGAAAACUUUCCCUAAAAGAAAUGAAUCCAUACAACAACCAGACACGACCCACGGCUCAAAUGGAGAGGAGAAUUGCCACAUACCUUAAUUUGAGUUCGUCGGUUUUGAAACCAGAACUUGACUUGCCUGGGAGCAAGGCCUAGUUGCUUGCUUAGUUGCUGCCUUUGCUUCUCAUCUGGAUGUGGUGACUCCUUGAAUAGCCUGUAAACGUAUCGAUCAUGUAAAAAGAUUAACUAAAAAAACACACUAAGGUGAUAAUAGACAAAUGGAUAGAGAUGAAUCUACAUAAUUUUCUGUGAAUCAAAGUACCAUGUCAAACAAAAGAAAAAUAAAGCUCUAACAUUAGCUUUAGAUGCUUUUACGCCUUUUUCUUUUGUAAGCUUGCCAUCAACCCCUUUAACCCUCCAUGAUAAAGUUUUCUUUUCAACUGCUGCCCAAAAAAACUGAUUACAACCAAAUCAUUUGUUCGAAUACAUCGAAUUUGUUCGAUAAUGGCCAGUGAUUUGGGUGACAUCAAUGUUAAUUUUAUAUCUGAAAACAGUCUAACUAUUACAUUAAUUCCAUGCAUCAUUGACGGAUUAAUGUAACAUUAUUUUCAGACUUCGAUGACUCAGAAAACCUAAGUCUUGGUAAGAAUAGGAAUUCAUACAAUGGGAAGGAGAGACAGAGAGAGAAAGAGAGAAAGAAAGAGAGGGAGCUUACGCUUCCAUUUCUCUGAUUUGCUCAGCAGUGUGUCUGUGAUAUUUCUUCCUCUUCUUCUUCUUGCCCUUCUCACCUUCUCCAUCUUCAUCACCCUCUCCUUCUCCAUCAAACUCAUCUUCGGAUCUUGACCUCGCCGGGCCUGAGUUCUCACUGCUUAUCUCCACCGUAUCAUCCCUCCGCCCUCCUCCGCUCCCCUCAUCCCCUUCCUCCACCUCCAUGUUGGCCGCAGCUGCAGCCGCGGCGCCGCCAUCUCGAAAAAUCCCAGCCUUCAACAACCAAAACAAAAACCCAUAAACAAACGAAGAAAAAGGAAAGAAAAGAAAACAAAAAACACCCAGAAGAAAAAUCAAAAGGGUGUGAGAAAAGAAAGAACAAAAGGAGAGAGGGAAUAUACAAGACUAAGAGAGAGAGCUGGAGAGGCGAAGAAGUCUUUGGUACGAGACGCGGGUGGAUUCGACAUGUCCACGCCCAUGGCAAGAGAAGCUUUGUGGAUGAGCAGUGUUGUUUUAUGGAGGCAGCAAUGGGGUUGCUGCUGAAGAAAUGUGGAAGAGAGAGAAAGUGUGGGGUAGGGUUGAUUUAAGGAUAUAAAACAAAGAGAGGAAACUCUCAGUUUUUCAAUUAUGGUUGAAUGGAGAGAGAGAGAAAGGGCUGGUAGGAGUUGACUGUUAGAUAUUGCGGGAACAGCUGAAAUAAAAGAAUGUGAAGAGCCAACUAACUUUUGAUCAUCAGUUGAAUCUCAUCUCCAACGGUUUUUUCAGUUCCCCUCGCCCACGGCUCGGCUUUGGCUUGGCUCCAGUUGGAGAUUUCUCUCCUUAAGGCGUGUUUGGAUAAUGGGCCUUAUUUAAUUCCCAUGUUGUUUCAGAGCAUCUUCUUGUGUUAGAUGUGGUAGAUAGCUCAUGGUUUCUCAUGUCUUCUAGGGUUAGGUGAUCUCCAUUUAUUGAAUGUUAGGGAUUUCUGGUUUUGUAUCUUAAAUUGGUGUAAUGGUGUUUUUGGAAAUUAAUUUUUUUAGAAAAUUAAAGGUGGUUGUAGAACCUUUUAUAAAUAAAUAAAAAUAAAUAAAUUUAAUGAUUCAAUAUCAUAUUAAUUUACUAAUUUUUCUAAAAAUUUAAAAUACUAAAAAUGCCCAAAUAAUAAUAUACUAACAAUUUAAAUAAAGGUUGAGAAUUUUAAAAAAUAAUUUGAAUUAACUUAAAUAUGUUUUAAAAUAACAAUUUAUUGAUAAAAAGUUUUAGUGAUUAAAAAAAUGGCUAAUAAUGGACAUGAAAUGGGCUAGAAGUGCAUUUUACAGUGUUUUUAGUCAAAGUGUUUUUAACAAAAUCACUUAUUAAGGUAAUGUUUGUUUUUUUACUUAAUUCUAAAUAGAACCUUAAUACUUAAUAGUAUUAAAUAUUAGGUUGUUUGUUUUGUAGUAUUUUAUUUCUAUUAAGUAUUAAAAAGUAAAAAAAAAAAUCAAUAUAUUAUUUUUUCUAUUUAGAAAAAGUUAUAUUUUGACUUUUUCUAUUUAAUAAAAAGUUUAUAAUAAGUCAUGAAAAAGUUAGAAAAACAAACAACUUAAAUUCUAAAACUAAAUUACUUUCAAUAAAAAGCCAAAAAAACAAAUACCACCUAAAUGUUUUUUUAAAAAACACUAUAAGUGAUUUUUUAAUGUUUCAAAUGAUUUUUCAAAAAUUUCAAAGUGCUUUUUAAAUUUUGUCAAAUAUUUUUUUAAAAAAAAAAUUCUUUUUAAGCUCGAAACGCUCCCUAAAGUUACCACUAACUAACACCUCACACAUUAUGAGCCCCUCAAGGUAUUAGCUUUAGCACAUUACUUUUGGCUUUUUUGCUUUGAAAACUUCCAUUUCAUCUUCAAGAUCUUUACAUAAGAUCUAAAUAAAAAUUAUUUGAAAAUUAAAGGAUUAUAUAAAUUUUUAAACGUUAAUUUAUUAAAAAUCAUUAAACGAUAAGUUAAAAAUAUUUUAAAAAUAUAUUACCUUUCAAUUAGGUCUUUUGAUAAGAUCUUUGUCUCUAACUUUUGAAAAACCACGAGUUCAUUUUUGCAAUUUCAAAAUACAUGAACCUAAUGUUCUCAAAGGUGACUUUUAUCGAUUUCUUAGAUCUAUAGAAUUAUCACAAAUCUAUGAAUCUUUGAACAUAUUCUCUUCUUUUAUUCCACAAAUUGGUUUCAACCACUAAAAUCUAAUUAGAUAAUUCAACUUUACUUUUAGCAAUUGACCAUCAAAUUUGCCGACACAUUACUUAACUUUUCGUAAUAAAAUAAAAUUCCCCUUACCUUAUUAGCUUUGAAAUAAAACAUCAUUAGGUUGCGUGUCAAUCUUUUCCUACGACGGUCAGAUACUAAUCACCAAAACAUAUCAAAAAAAUUAACAAAAUAUUAAAUCAUUCACGACUUCAUUAUCGCCCCGACUAUCAUCCAAUCAUUUAAAUUAAAAAUUAAAAAUAAAAAAGAAACAAAGAAAUCAUACCAAUCCCCCUUUUUUGUCUCAAAUUAUCAUCAUUAGUUCUACUUCUCCCUCAUUUUGUUCUUGGGUGAUGCUCAUAGACAAGGUGUAAUAAGAAGGUGAGGAAUUAGGGUUUGCCCUAGCCGAGCCGCAUGGCUAGCUAGAAAGAGCCAAGAAAAUUUUAGAGGUCAAACCGUACGGUCAAUGCAGGUAGACACAUAGUAAGGUGUAUGGUGUGAAUGCAAGCUUGUGGUUUGUUUAUUAGCUUUUCAUAUUUCAAUGUGUCUUUAUAGCAUUUAAAGGGUUGAAAGAAGUGAAUGCAAUUAAUGAAUUUGCCUCCAAGCGUUCCAUUUCUUUAAAAUGGAUAAGCCUUUUCUUAAUCUGAUAGACUUCCAACUAUUUAAUAAAAUAUUACCCCCACAACCAAUUGUAUUUUAGUGUGCAUCCUUUUCCUUUUCUCACUAAUUAACAAAUUAAUUAUUAUAAUUUUCUUAUAAAUAUGUUUUUUUGAGAAUACUUAAUGGAGUUAUCGAGAUUUAUUUAUACACGUUCAUUCAUGUUAUCUAUACAUCGACGGUCAAGAUUCUUUUUUUUUUGUCUGCUCAUAUUCAAAAUUCAAUUAUUGCAAACCUCUAAAUUUGUAAAAUUUAUUGUUAUUAUUUUUUUUUUAGGGUAAAACCCAAAUAAGAUACCUGGAAUUUUAUGUAUAUAAAAGCAAGCAUUGUUAUUAUUUUUUUUUAAAAUGACACAUUUUUGCAAAUUUUGAAGGUGAAUAGUUGGAUUUUGAAUUUAAGAGGACAAAUUAGAGAAGAUCUUAAAGAUGGAGGGUCAAUAUGCAGUUGCACCAAAAAUAUCAAGCACUACUAGGUAGUGUUCUUAAAAAUAGCAUUUGAGAGUGAUUUUCAAAAGUAAUUAUUUGAUAUUGUUUAGAACAAAAAUUUGUUUCAUUGACGUGUAAGGGUUUGUUUCGUCAUGUUUUCUUAAACUUAUUUUUAAAAAUUGAUUUUUAUUUUUUAAUUUAAAAAUAAUUUUAAAAAAAAAUUUCAAAAAACAUGAUUAAAUGGAUCCAUAUUUUCCUUUUAUUCUAAAAAAACCGAUGAAAAUAACUUCUACUUAUUUUCUAAAAAGUGUCAUCUAUUUCAUUUUAUUUUUAAAAAUUAUUUUCAUAGAACAACAAUGAAUUUAUGUUAGAAAAAUUUAAAAACACAGCUAAAUAGGCUCUAAUAUUUUCAACUUAUUUUUUGUGUUUUUAAAUAUUUCUUAAAAAUAAUUUUUAUUUGAAAUGCUUUAUUUUCAACUAUUCUUCAUAUUCAUACAAUUAUUUUUUUAAAUGUCUUAAAAAACUAAUGAAAACAAUUAAAAUAUGUUCUAAGAAUAAAUUUAAAAAAAAAAAGUAAAAAAUUAUCAAACUUGUUUUCGAAUUUGGAAAACAAUUUUUUAUUUUUUAAAAACAGUUCUAAAUAAGCUGUUUCUAUCCUUUAAUCACCUUCAUCACAUUUCGACCAUUUUAUUGUAGCAAGAAAGGAGGAAAAAAAUAUUUUUACAAAUUAUAAUUUCCAAAAGAAUAAAAAUAUUUCCACAUGAUUGUUAUUUAAAAAAACAUAAUUGAACCCAAUCUAAUAAAAGAAAAAUGGAUGGCUCUCAUAUCCAAUACCAAAUAUUCAACAUAUACUGUGAUGUGAAUAUUUUUGCCAAGGAUUGGAAGGUGACAUGGGCCCAUCCAAUAGGGAAAAAGGGUUGCUAUCAACCCUGUUUUUUCCUUUCAAACCUUAAAGGCGGUUUGAAGACAAAAUGAAGCUCUUAUUAUCCAUAUAUACUACAACAUUCGAGAAUGUGAGGUCCAAAGGUUUCAGAUAUGAUCAUUUUGAUUUUUUGGUUCAUACUUAGAAUCCGUUUGAUAGUAAUUUUAGAAAACGUUUUUAAUAUUUUUAAUACUUAAAAAUUUGCAUUAUUCAAGUAUUAAAAAUUCUAGAAAUAUUUUCUAAAAGCACUUCCAAAAGCACUCUUAUUUUUCCAUGUUCCCAUUUAUGAGACUUUAUGGGGCAUCUUCCCACUAUUUCCCUUUCUUUCUUUCUUCAUGUAAAAACAAGAAUAAACAACAAAGAAACAUGAGAAGGUAACAGCUCUAAGAUGUAUUUUUGGGUUGCAUUUUUGCUAAGAUUUUUAGAAAGAAAAUUGGGAAGAAAAAAUUGGUUUUUAAUUUUUAAAUUUAAAUUUAUUUUAUUUAUUUUUCUCUUGCUUCCUCUCUCAUGGUUUACACAAUCCAAACAUACCCUAGAAGAAAAACCCUUUCCCCUUGUAUUUUCAUUCCCUCCACACAUUUGAAAAGGAGAUCGAACUCCUCAGAAUCAGAGACACAAAAAACAAAAGGAAAAAGAAAGAAAAUACAAGUCACCAUCAAGCCAUUCUCAAUCCAAAGAAUAGGGUUUGUGAUGCCAAUCGGACAUUAUCAUUAAGCUAAGACAUCCUGUUGUACUAAAAAAAAUAUCCUUGGGUCAAUCUCUAUCCUCAUAACUAUUUCUUUUUUCUUCUCCUGCAUGCAUUGGUAGUUAGGAAUGGUAGAUAGUAUGAAGCCAUCACAUGAGAACUCAACCAACCAAAUUAAAAAAUAUGGUGUUAAUUGAUUUGAACUUUCUUUUGGUUUUCUCUCUCUACUUUAUCCCCCUUUUGGAGUACAACAUCCCCCAUAUCUUUUAUUUUCAUGUAUUAAGGAAAGCAAAGUAAAGAGAAACCAAUAAAGCUAUAUGAGGAAAGAAGAUGGGCAUCUUGGUUACUUGCUUUAUUUUCAAGCCAUUCCUGGUUUCUUAUGAACCAAGUUUUGGGUCCCAAGGAGGGAAUAUAAUGAUCCAAAAAUGAGGACACAACAUUGGGAAGAAGGCCUAGAAAUUUUGAAAAUUUUUAAGGGAGAGAAAAUUUUUGGAAAUUUUGGAAACUGAGUGAGCAGAAAGCCUAGAAAAGAAAGGGGGGAAAGACUACAAAGACAAAAGAGAAAGGUGUCAAAAGAAAGAAUUAUUCUAUCAGCUACUUCCACUCAACUCGCAUUCAUGGAAAGUAAAACAAAGUGAAGUAGAGUUCUGCAUUUGACACUCAUAUGUCGGGAAAUUGACCAUGAAUCCACUUUCUAAGAAGCACACAAUUUAACAUAACAAGAUGGAGCAAAAAAUUCAGGCAUGAAAGCUUAACAGGAAACACUGACAGAAAGAAAGAAAGAAAAUACAAUCUAUAAUCUCCUCCUACAAGUUAAGAUAACGACAUUAAUCUACUCCCAAAUGACAUUGUAACUCUUUUUUGAAUUCAAAGUAAUCAUGAAUACCUAGUACACAAUUUAAAAAACAAAACGUGUUACUUUCUGUAAUUUGAUUUCCCUUCGUAUGAACAUGAUAAUCAUGCGGGUCAAAUUAAUUAUGACAUUAUUAGUAUAAACAGUACAAGUUGAAGAGAAAUGGCAGACAUGUCUUGACCCUGCACCCUCUUUCGGCUUUCUAUCACUCAAAAGAUAGCCUACACUUAAAUUCAAUUUGACUGGAUAAUUUCAGUCAUGAGCUACAAUAAUAUCAGCCACUCCAAAAAACAUGCUAAGGUAAUCCAGUGAGGUGAAGGCAGUUGUUGUGCAUAUUCAGUUUCCUGUCUUCCAAAAUGCUGAAGUGGUCUAGUGAAGUGAAGGACAGUUGUGCACAUUCAAUUUCCUCUCUCCCACCCUCUACAACAACUUCAGUCCAAUACCGACCAUCACACAUCAGCAAAAAAGAAAUCAUGUACUCAAACGCCAAAUAUAAAUGAGCAUAUUCCAAUAUAGUAAUUUGCAAAAGCUAAACCGGAUAAGAUGAUAUUUAAUUAGAAAUUUCCAAGCGCCAAGCUAACACAAAAAUCUAUUACGACACUCAACUUGCCUGGAGCCGCCAUGCCACAUGGCCCAAUUUGGCCAUGACACUUGGAAAGAUCACCCUCUUUGGAAUAUUAUUGCACCAAGAAUGGAGUCAAAGGAGGGCACCAUGACUGCCUGUUUUAGCAUAAUUAACAUGAAGUUUGUAUAAUGAUGCCUUUUGGAAAAGGCUUUUAACUUCCUGUCCAACUCUGAGAGACAGUUAGCUGUUGAAGAGUAGAUGAGAUGGUAGUUUUGGCAGUCAGGUGAAAUGCUGACACCAAACAAUGGCAUGCAAUAUUGAAUUUGAUAAUAAUUAAAUGGAAUAAAUGCUGGGGAAAUUUUAUGGCUGAGGUUUCUCUAAAAGAGAUUUGAUGAGUGUCUGUACACUUUUAUGUCACUCAUUCAUGAAUGCCAAUAGCUCUACACUGAGGUCAGGAAAUUCAAAGAAGGAAUAGAUUCCCUCCACCUUCAUUUGUCCCUUCUUAGUAAUUGAACUAAUUAAGAAAUUUAAACACUGUGUGUGUCUCCACGCCCACAGAGGCGUAGUUGGACUGGAAAUUUUGACUGAAAGGAAAAAAUAAAUUAAAAAAUCAACACAGGGCUAUAAGGAAUUCUAUGACACAUCAUAAGAAUUGAAUAAAUUGAAACUAGCUAUUAUGUGAGUUUUCAUCAAUUAGGAUCAGUAUCAGAACAAGAUCAGAUUAAAUUCAAUUUAUGAUGUAUUUGCUUUCUAAAUUAAAACUCUCAAGUCUUUCUACAAAGCCCGCCUAAAGAGUAGGUUACCAGUUUUAUUAGUAAAUCAUUGCGUUCUUUCUAUUUUUAAGUUCAUCAAACAAAAACGGCAGUAAUUCAACCAAUGACCUAUUUUCCAAUUGGUUCAGCUGUUGUUAGGUUGAGUAAACGUUUUGUUUAGUGUGUAUGUAAUAAGUUCCUGUAUGCGCCAAAAAGAAGUCAUUUGGGAUUUCAUAUACUUUAAUUUGUUCUAGUUCUUGGAUCCAAUACAUUUGAAUUGAAUUUAAAAAAAAAAAAAAAAACAAGAGAUUUUUAGGGAAUCUUCCACGUUCAAUAUAGUUGAGCGCCGCCAGUGAGUUUCGUGCAGUGUUAGGCCAGAACUGAAAGUUUAGCAUAGUAUAAAAAAAACCUAACAAUACAAGUAAAAAAAAUUCAUAAAUGGAAAUCAACAAUCAUCUUUAACAGAUGGUUGGAUUUCAAUGUGAACAUUGGCCAUGAUUUAAUAUUGGGAGAUUCAUUUGAUGAUUAAAAACAAAAAAAAAAAAGGAGAUGGGGAGAGGGGAAUAUCUACCAGUCACAACUAACUCUCUUCUCAUAUCAUAGGGUCCCCAUUUUAUCUCCCACUUCAGAUUGUCUCCAUUGCGGUGAGAUGGAAAUUCAGGUAUCACAAGUACAUUGUCUCGAAGUAAUCAUAGAAUAUGAUUCUACCAAAACUUAGAGGAUAGCAAAUCAACCAAGAAUUAUAUACUCAAAGACCUGCACCACCAAAUAGUAGUUCAACAAGUUACAGAAAUGAUAUCUUAGAGUGGAUAAUAUUGUCAAUAGAAAAAAAAAAUGAGUAGAGAAGAUCAAAAUACCUAACACAGAAAACUCUCACCAGGAACUGCAAUGAUAAAACAUUCAAGAGUACUAAGUAGAAACAGUAGUAUAGAAGCCAAAACCUAGGAUUUAUUAGCAGUAAUGAAAUCCUGAUGCAGCAAAAGUACUUUAGGAGGAUCAUGCAAAUAUAGAUUUCAAGACAAACAUAACAAAAAGCAAUGUAGACCAUCAUAACCAAAGCAAAUAAUAAGAUAGAACAUAUAAUCCAAUGGGUAUUUCAUAAAUUUUGGGAGAGUGAGUGGGGUGGGGGGAAGAGGAUGAGAUUUUAUUUCAGGGGGACAAAGAGUGGGAGAUUUAUUUCUGGGAACCAAGAUUUAACAUAUUUGCAUUGUUUAGAUGAGUGGUAAGGCCAUUUUGCAUUAUAAAAGAGCCCCCUGCACCAUGCAUGGCUGUGCCCCUGUUUAUGAAGAUUAUAUGUUAUAAAUAUCUUAAAUAUUAUGACUUCAGUCACCCUCUCCCUCCAAUCAAUAAAUCCUCCACCCAAGCUGGUAAGGACAAUAAAGAAGGGGCAAUCGGAAUUAGGGUUGAAAGAUCUUCAUCUCAAAUUUCUAUUCACUAGGUUUAGGAGCUCACAAGAUGGUGCUAAUCUGUCUAUGUUUGGAUUUCAUUGAUAGUUUGGUUGACAAUUUGGGAGGAGGUCAACAAUCAUCAUGUAGUUUAUAAGCGCACAUUUUUUUCCCUAAACAAUCAUCAUGUAGUCUUGGACAAGAUAUCUAUUCUGGAACAUUUGGCUUCUGAUUUGGUUUGUAGGCCAGUUCUCUCCCAGAAGCAAACUUUAGGCAUUCUUUGAAUGCUUCUUUCAUCUUUCAUUGUGUAGGUUCAUCCAAAAGGAUAUUCCAUGUAACAAAAAUAACAAGGAAUUUAAAAACUAGUUGGUUAAUUGAACUAGUCUUUGUUAUCACUAAGAGGUCCAGGAAACUAAGUAUAAUGCAGUAAAAGCAAUGUUAGAAAACCUCGGAGACUAGUUCCCACCUGUAACUAGCAAUUUUCUAUGAGGCCUCAACCAAGCCUUGUGGGACCCUCUAGAAAAUAUUUGAGUAGACAAGUGCUUCAGAUGAAUGUUCCUAUGAAAUUCUAUAGGAAUGCAAUUUCAACUACUUUCAAUUUUAAUUAGUCACAACCCCAGGUCUGGGGUCCCAUAUGAGGCCUGUACCAUGUCCUUAUAGAGCCUCUAAAAAUGGAUAUUUACUAAAACUAGCAAGAACUUGUUGCUUCAGAUGCAUGUUCUGUUCUUAAUGCAAUUUUGACCUCUUGCAAUUUUAAUAGUCACAUGCCAUUUCUUCAACAGCCAAUUAAAUUCCUUCUUUAUUUUAUGAACCUGAGCGCACCUAUUUUGUUUGAACCACCAUAUCAAGUUUUUGGUUGCGUUUCUUUACCAAGUUCUUAUAUUAAGUUCAGAUAAUCCACAUUUGAUUAAAUGUGUGUUUAUAGAUUGUUCUGAUACCCAAAAGGACAAAAUGUUUAGAUACUCAGUAUACCAUUAUUUUUGCGUGGAAUCAUUUCUCUUCACAGUAGAAGACCUUAGACACAGACAUUGUAGGCUAGUUUUAUUCCUAUGUUCCCAUGCCAAUUGCUACUCAGAGCAUAACUAAAACACCUCAUUUAUAAAGAAGACCAAGAACAGAUCUGAUGCUGUAGGAUGCAUCAGCUUUUUCUCAGCAAUCUGCUACCUCUUCAUGCUCAUGACAUUAAUAAAAGAAACUGUUAGAUAGUGUAUAGUUAUUUAGGUUAUUUACUUUUCCUUUUCCUUUUCCUUUUCUUUCCUUAUUGUAUUGUGGGUCCCACUAACAUGUAUAUAUAUAUAUACCCAAGUCCAAUGUGUAUUAUUAACAGUUUUUCAAUAACAAGAAUUAGGGAUUCUCCCUUUUCUCUAUUUCACAUGGUAUCAGAGCCUAGGGAGAAAAAAACCCUAAUUAUUUCCGGUUUAUCCGUGAAUCCAUUCUGGGAAAUCUUUCAGUGACCGUGUUUCUUUCUGGUCACCUUUCCCAUCUCCUAAAGCUUUUUGAUCAACCGUAUUGCCGUCAGAAAACCCUUACCGCCGACGACCUUUUUCCGGUGAAGUCCUUUUCCGACACCGACCAUACCAUCAGGUGUGCAAGGAGGAGAUCUUCAAGUUUUCUCAAAGCACCGGAGGAAGAUUCUCAGCCACGUGUGUUUCUUUUCCGGCGGCCUGAACCUCACGCGUGAGGGCGCGUGGAGCGCUUUCUGGCCAUGCGCUUCCACCUCCAGCUUCGCCUGACGCCGUCUAGCCACCCUUCAUCUGUGCUUGUGUCAUCCGAGCCCUGAAAGUGCAUUUUUUGGGGUUUUUGUCUCCGCCGGCCCUCUAAAGAGCCUUUUCGGCGACCUUCGGUGACUUCCUCUCCACCCCGAGCCCUGCACGUGUCUUAGGAAGUGUUCUUCUACCCUUCUAGUAGUGCCACAUUUAUUUUUCUUUACUAUUUGGUCUCUCACAGCCGCAAAUCCUCAGUUUUGCUUCUUUCAGCCGCGAUCUGAAGCCGUAUUAGAGCUCUCUUUGAUCCAAACAUAUUUCGUUCUCCAGAUAAGUAGAUAUGGCUACUAAAAGUUCCACUUUUUCUUCUGUCAUAUUUGGAUCUCCUAUGAUUACUUCGAAGAAAUUGGUUGGCAGUGAAAAUUAUUUGUCCUGGCCUGCCUUUGUGGAGCUUUGGUUUAUGGGUCAAGGUUAUGAGGAUCACCUUGUUACGCAGGAGGCGGCUAUCCCUGAGGUUGACAGAGUACAAUGGAGGAAGAUAGAUGCACAGUUAUGUAGUGUGUUAUGGCAAUCAGUUGAUCCUAAGAUUCUGCUUCAUCUUCGGGCCUACAAAACAUGCUUUAAAUUUUGGAAUCAGGCGAAAGGGCUAUACACGAAUGAUAUCCAACGUCUUUAUAAGGUGGCUUCUUCUAUUGUCAAUGUCAGACAACAAGACAUGGAUUUAUCUACUUAUAUUGGCCAGAUUGCCUCUCUUAAGGAAGAAUUCUUGACCGUGAUGCCUCUUACUACUGAUGUUGGGGAUCAACGAACACAGAUUGACAAGUUCUUCAUGGUUCUUACGCUUAUUGGCCUUCGUCCAGAUCUCGAGACCGUCCGCGAUCAGAUUCUUGGCAGUUCCUCCAUUCCAUCCUUGGAUGAUGUGUUUACUCGCCUCCUCCGUAUCUCCUCCACUCAGACUUUGUCAUCUGAUAACACUUCAGAUUCUUCUGUAUUAGUUUCUCAAACUAACUCUCGAGGAGGACGCAGUGGUAACCGAGGUAGAGGCCAACGUCCUCAUUGCACCUAUUGCAAUAAGCUUGGCCACACUCGUGAUUGGUGUUAUCAGUUACAUGGGCGGCCUCCCUACACUGCCCACGUGGCCCAGUCAUCUGAUCCUCAGUCGCCUCAGCCUCAUAGUUCCUCCACGUCUCAGGGUAUUUCCCUCACUAGCAGUGAGUAUGAUGACUAUCUCCGCUAUCAGGCCACCAAGUCAGCUUCUGUUGCCCAAACUGGUAAUGCUUCUGCUUGUCUUACCCACACGUCUUCUUUUGGACCUUGGAUUCUAGAUUUUGGCACUUCUGAUCACAUAUCUGUUAAUAAGGAUCUUUUCUCUUCUAUUACUACUACCUCUGCCUUACCUACUGUUACUUUAGCUAAUGGUUCCCAAACUAUGGCUAAAGGUUUUGGUUUCGCUCAUCCUCUCCCUUCCCUACCUCUCCAUUCGGUCCUUUAUGCCCCUGAGUGUCCUUUUAAUCUUAUUUCCAUCAGAAAAAUAACUCGUACUCUUAACUGUUCUAUCACUUUCUCUGAUAAAUUUGUGACCUUGCAGGACCGGAGUACGGGGAAGACGAUUGGCAUAGAACGUGAGUCUCAAGGCCUCUAUCACCUCACCUCGCCUUCAACUCCUGCAGUUUGCAUUUCCACUGAUACUCACCUCCUCAUCCAUAGUCGCCUUGGCCACCCUAGUCUAUCCAAGUUCCAGAAAAUGGUCCCUCGUUUUUCAUCUUUGUCGUCGCUUGCGUGUGAGUCCUGUCAGCUUGGGAAACAUACUUGUAUCUCGUUCCCAAAGCGUUUGAAUAAUCGGGCAAAGUCUCCUUUUGAACUUGUCCACACUGAUAAUGGUAUUCAGAAACUAAAGCAACAUCUUUUCACCCACUUUCAGACUAAAAACUUGGGGAAACUCAAGUAUUUCUUAGGGAUUGAGAUAGCUCAAUCUAGUUCCGGUGUGGUUCUUUCCCAAAGGAAGUAUGCUUUAGACAUCUUGGAAAAAACCGGUAUGUUAAACUGUAAACCGCUAGACACUCCUAUGGAUCCAAAUGUCAAACUCAUUCCAGGACAGGGGGAGCCUUUAGGAGAUCCUGGGAGAUAUCAGCGACUUGUAAGUAAACUAAACUACCUCACCAUUACUCGUCCAGACAUUUCUUUUCCUGUAAGUGUUGUUAGUCAAUUCUUACAGUCACCAUGUGAUAGCCAUUGGGAUGCUAUAAUCUGCAUUCUUCGAUAUAUCAAAAGCACACCAGGCCAAGGUGUGUUGUACGAGAACAGAUGUCAUACCCAGGUUGUUGGUUACACAGAUGCAGAUUAGGUUGGCUCACCCACAGAUAGACGUUCCACUUCCAGGUAUUGUGUUUUUAUUGGAGGUAACCUAAUAUCCUGGAAGAGUAAGAAACAAGAUGUAGUGGUCAGAUCUAGUGCUGAAGCUGAGUAUCGAGCUAUGACUUUGGCAACAUGUGAACUCAUAUGGCUGAAACAUCUUCUUCGGGAGUUAAGAUUUGGAAAGGAUGAACAGAUGAAGCUCAUCUGUGACAACCAAGCCGCUUAGCAUAUUGUAUCCAAUCCAGUCUUCCAUGAAAGUACCAAACACAUUAAAGUUGAUUGUCACUUCAUUAGAGAGAAGAUCGCAUCAGGAUGUGUGGCGACUAGUUUUGUCAAUUCAAAUGAUCAACUAACAGAUAUUUUUACUAAAUCUCUCAGAGGUCACAGAAUUAAAUACAUUUGUAACAAGUUUGGUGCAUAUAACAUAUGUGCUCCAGCUUGAGGGGGAGUGUUAGAUAGUGUACGGUUAUUUAGGUUAUUAACUUUUCCUUUUCCUUUUCUUUCCUUAUUGUAUUGUGGGUCCCACUAACAUGUAUAUAUAUAUACCCAAGUCUAAUGUGUAUUAUUAACAAUUUUUCAAUAACAAGAAUUAGGGAUUCUCCCUUUUCUCUCUUUUCACAGAAACAGAGUCCAAAACUCAUCAUCCUCCCAAGGAAGUUGUCUUCUCUUCACAUAUUUAUCUCCACAUUGUCAUUCCUCUGCACAAUCUUUACCUUUUAUUUCUCUUCCAUUUAUCUUAUAUGGAAGCAUCAUAUAAGAAUCAUAGCUCAAAACUCUAUGUUAAGUACCUAGGGGGUGGAGCUACUAACUACCUAACAAAUGAAGCUAUUUAAUGGUUAAAAGAUUGUAUGGUGGCAGAAUUUUACAUCAAAUUUCCAGCACCGAUCAUUUUUGACACUUCCUUUCCAGUAGUUUGACUGUCCGACAUAAUUGAGUGUGAGUCCUCUUCUAUGUAGUUGCACUUAGUCUCUAAAGGUUAGCCAUUUUCUCAACUUCAUAAGUUGAAACUAUACACUUGUGAAUCUAGGGUUUGGAAGAUGGAAAAGAGAGGAAAGAAAGGAUAGAAGAGUUUCAAGUUUGUUCCAUUGAUUUUCCUAUACCUUGCCAUCUAUUAAUAAUAAUAUAACUGAGUCUAAAAAUGAGAAAAUUACAAUAAUAUCUCUAAUAUCAUAUUAGCAAUAAUAAACUAACAUACCUCAGAGACAGACAGUACCACAGCAUUUAAGAGCACUCUUCUCAAUGUUGUUCAGCUUGAUUGGUAUUCAGUGUGUACAUCAAAAGGGUUUGCAUAGCAAGCAAAGGAGCAUUGAUUUGGUUUCAGUUCGAAGUAGAUAGGUUAACCCUCAUGGAAUGAUGAGUUGCUUUAUAUUGUACAAUCUUAUAGUCGCACAUGACAUUGUACAUUAGGGAAGUUUCAAUCAUCUAUCUGUUUUAAUCAUUUUUUGUAAAUUUGGGAAGGAUUCCUCAGCCUUCUCAUGUACUUUUUAACCACACCAAUGCAUAAUUUAUUUCUGAUAAAAAAUAAUAAACUCUGACAUAGCAAUAUAAAAAAUGCAAUCUUGCAUUGUGAUAUCAAAGAAGAGAUCUACAUGGAUGUUACUCAAGGAGAUUGCUACUGGUCAUUUAUGAUUUAAACAGCCAUUUACAACACAUCAUAAAAAUUGAAUGAGCUACAUAAGAUAAUUACUAAUUGUAACUACCUAUUAUCUACACUUCAAUCAAUUAAAAUCAGUAUCAGAACAAAAUUCAUGAUCUUUCUGCUUUCAGAAUCAAGACUUGGAAAUCUUUCUACAAGCCCUCCUAAAAAGUAAGCAACCAGGUUGUUAGUACAUUAUAUCUUUCUUUUGGAUGGUAUUCAUUUUCAAAUUCAUUAAACAAAAAGGGAGCAGUUCAACCAAUGACCUAUUUUUCAGUUGGUUUAAUUGUUACAAUGUUCAGUAAAGGUUUUGUUUUUUUUUUUUUUUCUAUUUAAUAAGUUCCUGCAUGCACCAAAAAGAAAAAAGAAAAAAAAAAUUAGAGUUUUUAUUUCAAUUUUCCUAGUUCUUUGAUCCAAUAUGUUUGAAUUCAAUUUCAAACAAAAUAAGAGAUUCUGUCACAAGAAAGUAUUUACAUGAGGAAUUUUUCCAUGCUUAAUGUAGUUGGGUGUAGCCUGAGAUCAUAUGUCAUGCCGAUUCAAUUUUAGGCAAAAACUGAAAGUUUCACAUAGUUUAAAGAAACCUAAUGAAACAAAUAAAACAGUUCAUGUGCACAUAGCAAUCACUUUUAUCAUAUAACUAGAUUUCACAUGGAUAUAAGCCAUGGAUUAACUUUUGAAGGUCAAAAUUGAAGAUAAAUGAGUUUGGGAGAGGGGAACAUCUACCAGUCCACAAGUAGCUCUCUCUUUCACAUAUCAUAGGGGUCCAUUUUAUCUCCCACUUCAGAUUGGUCUCCAUUUGCAGUGAUGAUGUUAGUUCAGUUAUACACUGCCUUUAUUGAAUCAUGAAAAAUAUGUGCCUACUAAUGCUUGGGGUGACAAAUCACCCUAUAAUUAUACACACAAAGACCUGCACAGAUAAUUUUGUUCAAACAGCUGUGGAAAUGAUAUCUUAGAGUGGAUGACACUUCAAUAAACAAAAUAUGAGCAGAGAAGACAAAAAACCUAGGAUGGAAAAAUAAUAUGAUUCAAUGACUGAGAAUUCAAAUUAUGCAAAGAGUACCAAGUACAAAACAGUGAUGUGAAAGUUAAAAGCAAGGAUCUAUAUAAAGUAGUCUGGAACUCAUUACCAGAGUGAUUAGGUACAUCUAACCCAAUAAAAAACAGGGAAUAACAAAAUCCUAUUGCAGUAAAAAUACCCUCACAACCCACCCCCGCCCUCACCCCCUAAUACAUCCACACAGACAGCUCUUUGGGAAAUGGUAAUCUAUCUUAUUUUAGAUUACAUUGAUAACAAGCAUAGGUGGCAGGACUUCAUUGUGCAGUUUAUACUUAUGUUAUCUUCAAUGAAGUUUAUGAUGCCUUUAUAUGUUAUACAACCAUAAGGAUCUUGUUAAACCCAUCCACUAAUGGGAGGCUUUCUUGGAGAAAACUUUACCUUAUGAAUGAUAUAUAAAAGUAGGCCAAAUAGGUUUUGACAUAAGAUGUUAGAGAAAGAGUCAACAACACAUAUCAACUCCACUAGCACUUGACACCUCCCCUUAAGUGUGACCUCCUCUUGCAUGUUAGUUCAAUAAUGAAGGAACAAUUGACAGACAAAUUUAAACGAACUUCUAGGAACCACAGUAGCCUCACUAGAGCUUUGUUCUUUCUCUUUCUUCUCUGUUCCUCCUACUGGCGGUCCUUGCUAAUCAUGUGCUCUUUGGUUGCAUAUCAAUUUUUGCAAGGAGUUCUUAAAUAGUCUUCUAUUGUCUGCCUAUCAAAAAGAAGUUCUAAUACUACACUAAAUGGCCACUUUCUUUAAAUCUUAAGUUGUUAGAGAAUGGAUCAACAAUGUACCAUCUCCUCUGCCUUGAAAUUAUUGGGUCUGUUGAUCUGAGCAUUGUUCCUCUUGUCGCAGGAGCUAAGUCCUCUGCAGAAGCUUGGUCUUGUCUUAAAAGGACCUAUGAUAAUGCCUCCAGAAGCCGUAACCUCUAUUUGAAAGCCACUCUUGCAAGAACUAAGAUGGACACUAUGUCGGUCAGUGAUUAUCAAAUAACCAUCAAGCACAUGGCUGAUGAACUCGCCUUAAUUGGUGCUCCUUUGAGUGAAGAUGAAAUCCUCCUCCAUGUCCUCAAUGAUCUUAGUCUAGAAUACAAAGAAUUGCGUGCUGAUUGAUCAUGAAAUUUAUCUCAAGCAAGAUAUGGAAAGGAAAGAAAAUUUCAAUGCCAUUGCACCAUAUAAUCAGAGGAUAUUGAACAACAAGUCACUUAAUGGUAAUCCGCACUACAACAAAGGGAACUCAUUGGGGCAUAAGUUCCAGAACCCUAAUCAGUCUGAAACAAACAACAGAAAUUUCAAUCAAGGAAGUAACUGCAACAGGAACUACCACUCACAAGCCAAUCGCCCCUCAUCCAAGUAGCCACGAGUGUAGUACCAACUGUGGGAUCAUGUAGGUCACAAUGCCAAAACCUAUUGUUCGAGACCUCCAACUAGUUUCUAUGAGGUCUAGGCAUAUUAUUUCCAUAAUAAUAGUCAAAACCUUAAUAGUUGGGUUGUUUGACUCAGGUGCCUCACACCACAUUACCUCAAAUCUACAAAACUUGGCUAUUCAUUCAUAAUAUGGUGGCAAUAAAGACAUAACCAUAGGUAAUGGUAAUGGUAUACCCAUCACUCACACCAGUUCAACUACUCUCUUUACUAGGAAUCCCAAAUUGAUCCAUUUACCCUAGGCUUCUCUAAAUCUAAAUCAAAGGGGAAUCAAGGCAUCCAAAACACAAUAUGAUAUCAAAUUUACAGAUUAAUGAAAAUAUGUCUAGUUCUAGAUGUUCCUAGAUCAAUUCCAAACCAUAGAAAAUGUUAUUGAAGAAUUCGAAACCAUAGAAGACAUUGUAGAUCCCGUCUAUCCAAUAGUUUUCCACCUGAUCUUUCCAAAAACGGUCUAGGCAUGAGAAAAAGGUGGACUUUUCUCUCUAGAGGGUGGCUAGGGUUUCAUUCUCUGGAGGCUCUCUGGAAGAUGAUAGGAAGAAUUGAAACCCUAACCCCUAACGGUGGUAUUUAUAGGGCUCCCUAUGGGCUAAAGUGACUUGAGCCCAAAAUGGAAUUGGGUCACCUAAUCUAGCCCAAUUGGGUCUUAAUUUAUUCAUUAGUACUAAUGGACUCCAACAAAUUAAUUAACCCAUACCAGAAAGAUAAUUCAUAAGAUCAAGUGCAACCUUGUGUUUUUAUCAAAACACCCUUAUGCACACUUAUGAACCAAAAACCCAAAUCUCUCAAAAUAAACGUGCCCCAUGAAAUAGGAGCUCAAGUGGGUACCACUAGGACCCAUAAGAAAAUAUUGGCUCCCUUAUAAUUCAAUUUUGAAGUUGAUUCAAUACUCCACUAAAGAGAAUCAACCGUACUCUAGUAUCCUAUGAAAUUACAACGAGCAUAACUUGGGUCCAUGCCUUACUAUCUGCUGCAUGCAAAUUCCUCAUGAACCGGUGUUUGUAAUCUAACAAGGUAGUGUUAUCACCAAUCAAGAUUACCUCUCUAAUCCUUGAGUCACAUAUACUCCUUAUUAUGUAAUCAAUUGACAUACUCUAACUCCAAUAAGCAUAUGUCAAAUUCCACUAAGUGAAAUGUUAUAACCAUAGUUUUCUAGAUCACAUGUCCUUUAGAUCACUUAAGAGGACACACUAUCUCAAUACCAUGAGAUAUCAUGGUGCCUUUAUUGAGAAUAUCUGUUACCAUUAACCUCCAUCAACAGUGACCCAAUCCAUAAAGAUAUAUAACUAUUUUAAGAUCUCACCCAUAGGUUAAAGUCUCUUGUCAAUUUUGGCAUAGGCUCAAUAUCCCUCAAGGUUAAGAGUCCAUGAAGUAUAAUAUCUUGGUGAUUUAUGAUAACUAGUAGCCUUAUGUCAUGAUUCACUGUAGAUCCUGUUCAAUGUGUAUUACAUACACUAGUGUACUAACCAUGGGAAAACAAUCCCAAUGACCAAGACAAGUCGUCCCUGCAAUUAGAAGGUAGUGCACCAUAGUCUCAAAUGAAUUGCUCAAAUCCAUGAAAUGACUAUGAACUACUCAUCACUUUACAAGGAACUCAUGACUUGGAACUUUUGUGCAACUUCUAAUGCACCCAAAUUAUGUACAAUGCAAGUGAUGUGGGCAUGCAUGCUCAUAUAACCAAUUAAGGCAUAUAGGAUAAAAAAAGGGAAACCCAGAAACAUAGAUAAAUAAUUUUUUAAAUGAAUUUCAAUUUAUUACAUUAUGUCAUGUUUUCUAAGCCUCAAUCCCAACACUCUCUACACCUACUAGCAAUUUUACAUUGAAUGAUGUUUUGUGAGCAUCAUCCAUUCAUAUCUUUUAUCUAUCUUUCAAUUUUGUAAACAUAAUGAAGCUUCUAUUGAAUUUUUUCCUACUCAUUUUCUUGUGAAGGACUUGAACAUGGGGGCAUAAUUAGUGCGAGGAUAGAGAGGCGAUGUGCAUGAAUGGCUAUCACCAACCAUCCCAUAAAAUCUAUCAUCACUACCAAAGUAUCUCUUAACCAUUAUCAUCAACGUUUAGGUCAUCUUGCUCUCAAAAUUCCAAAAAAUGUUGUGUAAAAUCAUUCAUUACUUUUAUCUGAAACAACAUUUGAAUUAUAUGAUUCCUACUUAUAUAAUAAAAGCCAUCAACUUCCUCUUAGGACUUCUUCUUUGACUAGUUUUCAACUUCUUGAAUUAAUCUACAUUGAUGUAUGGGUUCCUACACUAGUUACUUCUUUUGACAAUUAUUGCAACUAUGUGAGUUUUGUCAACCAUUUCACGAAAUACAUUUGGUAUUACAAUCUUAGAUUUAAAUUUGAAGUUCCCCAAAUCUUUGACAAUUUUCAAAAAUUAGUUGAGCAUAUUUUUCAAUACUAAGAUUACCAUAGUUAAUUUCAAUGGAGGGGAUGAAUAUCAAGUUUUGCACUUUCUUUUAGUUGAUUGUGUUAUUCAACAUCUCACCUCACCUCUGUAUACUCCACAAUUUGUUGGGGUCACUGAACAUAAGCAUUAGCACAUUUUCAAGAUUGGUCUCAUACUUUUGCAUCAAGUGUUUGUUCCUCUUAGUUAUUGGUCUUCUGCCUUUACUACAGUUUACUUUAUCAACUGCCUCCCAACUCCAAUCUUCCAACACCAACCCCCAUUUUCUAAGUUCUUUUCUACUAAUCCUAAUUAUCUUAAGUUUAGGAUCUUUGGCUCAUUAUGUUAUCCCUGGUUAAAACCCUACACAACCCAUAAGUUAAAUCCCAAGUCAUGACCUUGUGUUUUCAUUGGUUAUUCAAUAGCCCAUAACACUUAUCACUAUCUUGAUCCUCACACCAAAAAGAUCUUCACGUCCAGACAUGUAAUGUUUGUUGAGAGUGAGUUUCCUUUUUAAAAAAUUCAAUUUGAUGAUUUAAGGGUAACUGAAAAUGGGUACUCUAAAUGGGUUGGCAUUGACUUUUCUACACAUUCUUCACUUCCAUUAAACCAAGGGAUUUCCAUUCUUAAUCCUUCAUCAGCUCCUCCUUCCUUCAUUUCUCCCUUAACCAUGUAAGUUCAAUCACCUUCCUCUUCCACAUCAAUAUCCCAACACUCACCUUCUUCCCCCGCGGACCAAGGAACCAUGUAACCAUCAUCAAGUAUAAUUCAUGCACUAACCUCAUCUCCAUGCUCCCCGACUAAUGACUCUCAACCUUAGGUAAAUCAACUUUCUCCUUUAUCCACCUCACUCUCAUCUCCAACCUCUCUCUCACUAGAGUCCAAUCCUCGUACUCACACUAUUACUCAUUCUCAUAAUAACAUCUUUAAGCCCAAAAACAUGGAUAAUUUCUACACCUAUCAUGUCACCUCCUCACAAACACCCGAUACCUUUGAACCAAGAUCAUUCUCAUAAGCCAAAAAUAUUCCUCAUUGGCGUUAAGCCAUGAGCGAAGAAUUUGAUGCGCUUUUAAGAAACUCCACUUGGACUCUUGUUCCACCUCAACCCACACAAAACAUCAUUGGAUGUAAAUGUAUAUUACAAGUAAAAAAAUCUUGAUGGAUCACUUACCCAAACAAGGCACAAUCAGUUGCCAAAGGUUCCAAUCAAUGUUCCAAUGUAAACUUUCAUGGCACAGUUGCCCAAUUGUGCAAUUCACAACCAUUCGUGUUAUUCUCACCAUUGUUGUCACAAAAGGGUGGCCCUUACAUCAACUUGACAUUAACAAUGCUUUUCUUCAAGGUACAUUUGAGAUGAGGUCUUCAUGGAGCAACCCCAUGGCUUUGUUGACCCCCGGAAUCCAUCUUAUGCAUGUAAGUUGAGAAAAGCAAUUUAUGGUUUACACCAAGCUCCUAGGGCAUGAUAUAAUGAGUUACACGAGUUUCUACUCGAUUUCAGGUUUAUUAAUGUUUGGUUGGAUACCUCCUUGUUCAUAUUUCUUCGUGACAAUUUAACUCUUUUGUUGUUGGUACAUGUGGAUGAUAUAAUUCUUACAGGUACAUCCCAUGGCUUCGUCAACCAGUUUGUCUCUACCUUAGCUAAUCGAUUCUCAUUGAAAGAUCUCAAUGCUUUGAGUUACUUUCUUGGAGUUGAAGCUAUCUCUACCACGGAAGGCUUCUUUGUAUCAUAAUACAAAUACAUCAGAGAUCUCCUUCGCAAAACCAACAUGGCUAGUGCUAAAGAGCUGACCACACCCCUUUCCUCUAGUGAAUCCCUCAAGCUUGAUAACUGAUCCCCUUCUAUUGAUCCAACUCUCUAUCGACAAACCAUUAGUGCCUUACAAUAUCUAUCCUUGACAAGGUCGAACAUUUCCUUUGUCGUUAAUUGUCUAUCACAAUUCAUGCAUUGCCCUACUUUGUUUCAUUGGACAGCAGUAAAGAGGGUUCUUCAAUAUCUUAAACAUACACUUCUUCAUGGUUACUUAUUCGUCAUCACUCCACUUCCACUUUGCAUGCAUUCUCAAACUCAAAAUGGGUUGGGAACUCGGAUGAUAGAACCUCAAUAUCUACUUCCAUUGUCUUCCUUUGCUCCAAUCCUAUUAGUAGGAGUGCAAAAAAACAAAAAACGGUUGCUUGACUAUCAACAGACGCUAAAUACAUGUCAGUUGCAUCCUCUACUGUUGAAUUGAAUUGGGUACAAAACUUACUUCAAGAGCUUCAACUUUCAUUUACUAUGUCUCCAAUCAAUCAUCUAUUGUGACAAUAUCAAUGCUACCUACCUUUGUGCAAAUCCUAUGUUUCAUUCUAGAAUGAAGCACAUCGCAAUAGACUUUCACUAUAUCAGAGAUUAGGUUGCCAAGAAGGAAUUACAUGUUGUACAUGUGCACACCUCUUAUCAACUUGCUGAUUUACUUACCAAGCCUUUAGCUCUAGCCCCAUUUACUUCACAUCAUUUCAAGCUUGGUGUUCUUGACAGAACCCCAACCCCAAUCUUGUGGGGGCAUGAAAGGAAAGAGCAUCAUGAAAGGAAAGUGCAUCCUCCCGGUCAAUACCUUCCCAGUUAACAUAUUCAGCAAGAGGAUUUAUCUCCUUAACUAUAGUGAUUUUCUAUACACCUUUAGAAUACAUUCUGCUACUCAGUCAUGGUCCAGAUUUAGUGCAGAAUGCUUGAUUCCAUUUCCUUAUUUCAUUGUUCUUGUAAUUUGUAUAUAUUACGGAAGUCAUACAUGAAUGAAACACAAUUCAAUUCCUUAGUAAAAUAUGUUAGAUACAAGUAUUCAUUAGGAGUUCCAGGUGUAUAUAAACCAAAAGUUGAUUAUUAGAGAAAAUCUGCCUUCUUCAAUCAACAUGAACUCAGCUACUUAGGGUAUACCAAGACUUGUGGACACAAAUACGACAAUUAAUAUUCCAAAUCAAUAACGGAAAACAAACGACCCCUCUCUACUCAGAGCACAAAAAAAUAAAAAAUUCAAAUUCAAAUUCAAAAUUUUAAAAUUUUAAAAUCCAGUAUUGAUAACAGAAUCACAAAGCUAAGAGGAAACAGAGAACCAGACUUCCCAAAGAAAAAGAAAAGAAAAACCUUAAAAAAUUGUUAAUAUUUGAUUUCUUUAUUACCUAUUUUCAAUCAUUUUCUUCUCCCCCAUUUUUCGGAAAACCGAGUAGGAACAAAUUUUUCUCGCCUGCCAAUAGGUAAACAACUGAGGCAAGGAAAAUCAUUAGUAAAGGGACCAACACAGAAAUCCAGUAAUAAUCCAUGGCCUCCUGCUCCGACAUAGAAAUCGGCCCUAAAAAUCUCCGGUCACAUUCAAGAACGACCGGAUCCACCGUUACAACGGCGAUCAAGAGAGGUCUUCUUUGGCUUGUCGUUUGAUUGUGGUGUGGAAUGAAAGAGUGGCAUAGAUUUAGACAUUGUGAUUGUGGAGUUGGACGCAUCAAUGAAAAAGCAAUCUAGGGUUUUGAGAAUUUGGUGUGAUCACAGAGUCGGAGAGUGAAGCCAGUUGAGCGUUGUUCUUAACGGUAUAAAUGUUUGAUUUGUUGUCACUGUUGUGGUUCAAAACGACGUCGUUCUCUCGUUUCUAGAGGAAAUUUGUAGGGUUUUUCUUUUCUCAUUUUGAACAUUUUUUUUUUUAAGAAACAUAAUAUUAUGUUUGUCCAAAUAUAAAUCAAGUGGGUUGUUAAGAUAAAAACAGUAUUUUUUACAACUUAUAGUUGGAUAAGAACAUCAAAUUGGACACCUUUGAUGAAGCUUGGGGUUUGAGAUGAGAUUAAGGUCAGGCAUCCUCAAACCUUGCAUUUGCCCAUAGAGUAUGACUAUUAUCUUUGAGAGUUAGAUCCUCUUUGAUACUAUAAAAUUUAUGGUAUAUGAAAAAUAGGGAAACUAGGUAGGUUUAUCCCCCUUCAACGAUCAAGUUACUCAUAACGAUGAGUUUGAAAACUUAAUAGAUAAAAUACAAGUUUCAAUUUUUAUGUACCUUGUUUUUGCCUAUGCUAUGUUUUUAUAACGUUGAAACUAAACUAUUUUGGUAUAUCUAUUUGCACCAUAGAUAACAUGAUUUUAGGUUAAUUGUCUUGUUGUUACAUUCAUUGAUAAUAAGUUAUUGAACCGUUGCAUAAUAAUGGCUAAGAGAUAAGACAGUUGAUAAGUGGGCACAUUAUUAUCUAAUGAUUAUGUGUCAUGCACUAGGGGCUCCUUUAGGCAUUACAAAUAUGAAAGGAAUGGUCAUCACAUUUAUUGCAUGCGGGUCUCAUCUCAAACCACCCCCCACCACCACACACACACCUAAUUUUCAUGCAUGACUAAGUGAUAAGCAAGAAAAUUGAAAUUGGAGGUGGUUUAAAGACAUCAUUGAUUCUCAAAGAUUCAUUGUGGUUGCAGAAUGAUAAUUUAUUUCCUUGGGUAUCUCUACAAUCACCUUUGAUGUGCCUAUAUAAUCUCCACCUUUAUUUUUUGUUUUCUUUUCUAUAUUACUUUGCAUUUUUUUCCUAUGAUCUUAUUUAUCUCUCUUUUACGUAUUCAAGGUAUUAUAUCUAAUAUUGAUUCUUUGGCUCAGCUUAACUAUAUCCCAAUGAGCAUGAGGGUUUUGGACUUCCUUUGUAAAGAACUAUGAUCCUUCCAUCUAGGCCAAUGUUAUGUUCCAAUUGAGCAUUUGAAAGUAAGCUUGUGUUUAUCGUUGUCACUAGUGUUAUGUUACUUCUUUUCUUUUUGUAAAAGUGACAUUCCACCAUUUCAACCUUUAAUAUUAUCAAUGUCUCGAUAGUGUUAGCUAUUAUGGAUUUAACCAUUGAUUACUUCAUUGGUGUUAGAGAAUCAUUAUUUUUCUAUAAAGUUAAACAUCAUAACACCAAUACUUGGUAUAACCCUUCCAACAAUAGUCUUAGUGUUUGGUUUUUGGAUUCCCAUAUUCCAAGAAGUGGUAGGAUCAAGGAUUUCUCUUGGUCAAGGGAAACUAAGAAGGGCUAAACUUCUUAGGAGGUGCUCUUCUUAUGUCUUUGUUAAAAGAAGAAAAUGGUAUUGUAAUUCCUCCAUUCCACCUUCUUCCUUAUUUAUUUAUUUAUACUAUCAUAUUAACCUUACUUAUUUUAUAGAAUCAAGGGGUUACUAAGUGACCCAUUUGACUUAGGAUUAACAUCUAAGGGUCUGAUAUGUGGUUAGGUUUAGGGGUGUCUUUUUAUUACUAAGGGCUUGAAUCAAACCUUGUUGAUAAUUUGUGUUUUACUUGAUAGUGGUCAUUUUAAGGGCUUUUGCAGUAGACUACUGUAGUUUUGCAUUAUUGCCACCUUAUCCUCAAUUUUUGAGGAAUUUGUCCUUCACUUUCAUAAGGGGUGCCCAUGAAGGAAAUGGAAAUUCCUAUCCCUAACUUGCUUGAGGACCUUAGGAUUCCAGUAAUGCCACUUAGGAAAAAAGUAGCUGAUGAUGAGGGGUGUACACCACUUAAGAAGAAGUUUAAAAGAGAGGCUCUACUUAUGUUUUCACUAUUAGAGACGAUGUCAAGGUUUAUUGCCCCUCUUUUAAAAGGUUGUUUGUUAGGAUUUUAAUUAUACCAACCUAAGAUAAAUAGCCAAUAGGGGGUGAGGGGGGUGAAUCAAGUGUCAAUCACUUUUUGCAAAUUUAUACAAUUUAACUUAGAUAAAUGUAAGAGAUAAAUAAACAACAAUAGAACAUAUGAUAAUAAUGAAGCAAUCGUAUAAAGUAAAUAGAGAAUACAAGCUUGAGAUUUUUAUAAUAGUUUCGUGCAACUUAAUUUAUAUAUACUCUUCUCAAACUCCAACCAAGAUAAGGGUUCUACUAAAGUCUUUGAACUCUUUACAUUUGGAUUCUCAUAAGGAACCCUCCACAAGUCUUAAGAGAUGUCUUGCUCUUCAACAAUUCCUUAAGUGAUACUCCAUACUUGAGAAUAUCGAAGUGAUACCUUACACUUAAAUUUCUUCCCUUAAGUGAUACCUCACAUUUGAGCCCACCUCAUAAGGUUUACAAGAAAUGAAUUUAUUAAUAUAAAUUCCUAGUUUAUAAAUUUUUAUUAAAAGAUACAAAGAAAACUAAAAUUGAUUAAGUCUACGAAGAAUAGAACAUAAGUUUAAGCUCAAUACACUCAAAAUAUUUUUUAAAGGUUUAAUUAAUAAUAGUUUGGAAUUCUUUAUUUAUUUAUUUAUUUUAAUAAAUGAAGUAUGGAGCCUUUAUAUAGAAUUAAAAGGUCAAACUAGCCAUUAGAAACAAGUCUUUCAAAAUCAAACAAUUACAUAAUCGUUUGCUUACUAGUUAUUGGAGCAUUUAAUGAGUUGCGGAGAAUCAUUAGAGACUAAAAGAUAGAUGUGGAUGUCUAGUUAGUAGUCCACAUUUUAAAUGUUUUUUAAAAUAGUUAUGGAAAAACCGUUGUUAAGAACAAUUUUAAAAAAUUGUUUUAUGAUAUUUUGCAAAACAUUUUUUUUUCAAAACCUGAAAUAUUUUUAACUUAAUUUUUAUGUUUUUAAAUAUAUUUUAAAAAUAACUUUUAUUUGUAAUACUUUAUUUUUAAUUAUUCUUCUUAUUUGUAUAAUUAUUUUAAAAAAACACAUAAAAACAACUUAAAAAAUGUUUUCUGAAAACAUCAAAUUUUUGUUUUUUAAAAAAAGAAAAUUAUUUUCUAUUUUCUAGUUGUUAAACAUAUUUUCCUAUUUUUUAUAAUUUAGAGAAUAAAAAAUUAUUUUUGAAAAUAAUUACGAAACAAGGCCUAAAUAAUUGUCCAUGUAGACAUCUACUUUGCUUCCAAUAGCCAUUUUGUUCCAAAAUAAAACAAGUGGAUGACUGGAUGGAUGUUCACAUGACAAGUGGAUGAUCAGUUAGACAUCACAUGAUAACUGAAUGACUACUUGACUACUUAGGCAAAGUAAUUUAAUUAAGUCGAUAAUGUUUUUAAGAAAACUUAAAAGAUUUUCAUGUUUUAAUAUUUUUUGUAAAAAUUGUAUUUUUAAAAAUAAAAAUUAAAAAAUCUAAGAAAGUCACCUUAGGGGUGUUUGAUAAAACUUAAUAUUUAUUACUUAAUAACUUAAGUUGUCUUUGAGUUAAAUUAUAUUUAAGUUGUUGGCUUAAAAUUUAUUUCUUAUUUGUUACUUUAAGUAUUAAGGUUGUUAAAUAAAAUUAAUUUAAAAUUUAUUUUAAAUUAUCAAAUUAAUAUAUUUAAUCAUAAUAAAUUAUAAUAAUUAGGAUAAAUGAAAUUGAGUAACAAUAGAGGUCAUAGAAUAAUAACAAAGAUCAUAAAGGUAAUUAAAAUAAAUAAAGAUAAAAAUAUAAAAUAAAUAUAAGAAUUUAAAAAUAAGUUAUUUUUUUUACUUAUUACUUAAAAUUAUUUUUUACUUUUAUACCCUUUUUACCAAAUAUAUUUAAUUUACUUAAUACAUAAAUUAAGUUAUUAAGUUGCCCACUUAAGUUUUGAAUUUUCUUUCCUUAGACGAAAGAGGAAAGAGAAAAUAACUCCAUGGAUGAAAAGAGUUUGGACAAUUUUUUUUUUUUUUUUUUUGCUAAUUCAACUUGGUAAGAAACUCAUCCGUAAUUCCUUGAUGUCAAAAGCCAAUUUUGCACGUUGGUACAAAAUGCAAAAUAUUAUUUUCAGUGUUGUUGUGGACUUAGCCAGAGAAAGCAGUAUCCACAUCAAAUUAUUAUCCACCCUAAUCCAAUUGUCGUCGUUUUCCGCCACAGCGGGGCUCACAGCUUCUUGGAGAAGUGCUCCUUACCACAAAGCCCUUUUCAAUUAGUGCGCCACCCCUCAAAUUUUUUCUGGUGUUCGCAGCUCCCACUCCUCUUCCAACAAAAAAACAAGGUAUAACCCUAGUCUUCAGCAAACAUUUCCACUUAGUUUGUUUUGUUCUUUCUUGUUAUUGUGAUCUUCUGAUACUCUUCUACAUUCUUGAAUUGCAAAACCCAGUUCUUAAAAUUUGAUUUUUUAAUCAAAUUUCUUGAUUAUUGAGUAGGUACAUAUGGCUUAUUCCGUUCUUGCAAGCCUGCCACCACCAUUGUUGGUCCACAGAAGAGAGGCCCUUGUGAGGGCUCUUAAUGGAUUCCCAGUUUCUAUCAAUAGAGGUGAGUUUUACAAUCCGUUUAGUUGCUGAGAACAGACCGGGAAAAUGAAAGAAAAUUGUGGGUUUUUUUUGUUUUGUGGUAGAAUUUUCAAUUCCUUUUACUUUCUUUGCUUGCUCACAUAGUAUUCCCGAUUCCGAACCAAAUGGAGCAUCACUGAUGUUGGUUAAACUAAUUUAAACUGUAAUGUACUUUUCGGAAGUCUGAUCAUGUCAAUUAUCACAUCUGCUAAUUUGAUUCACUUUAUUUUUAUAGUAAGGUUAAAACAUAAUGAUCUUGGAACUUUGGGAAGUUCUUAAGAUGCUGCUUUAAUUGCAGUAUAUGUUCAAGAAUGAGGAGUCACUGAACUGCCUAAAGUAGAGAAUUGUCUAUUUGGUGAUUUUUUUAUGAGUAGACUGAUAAAUGCUAUUAAAACAGGUAUCUGUAUUGAAGAGAGGUGAAAUGUGGUUGGACCAGGAUUUUGGAGGAGAAUUUUAUGGGCUUUGUCUUUUUAAAUUUUUUAACUCGUUCUGCUGGAAACCUUCUGAUUAAGAUUUUAUACUUCAACUUUUAGUUAACUUCAGUCAAUAUUGAACUGGAACUAAUUUGUGGAAGCUUAAGAAGAAAGGUUUUAUGACUUUAUAGGGGCACUCAUUUUGCGGUAGUUUAAAUUGUACUCGACUAAAACCCAUAUGCUAAUUUGUGAAUGAACAUAAAAGUCAGGAUUGGAGCUCAGUCAGCUGGUUCAUUGAAAAUUUCCUUGCUUUAGUUUCUUUACCUUCUUCAGUUUAUGGGUUUUUUUUUUAAUUUCCAUGUUGCAGGGAGACAGAGUUCUUUAUCUGUUGUUGCAAAGGCUACAGGAGAAAGUUCUGAAUCUUCAACAACCCUGAGCAUUGUUAAAUCGGUUCAAAAUGUUGUGAGUUUUCCACAAUUAUCUCUUACACAUGCUGACGCAGGGUUUUAUUCCUUUUUAUUAUAUAAUUAUCUUAGAAAAAUAAAAACAAAAGAGUGAAGCAAUUGUUGGCAAAGGCCACAUUUAGCACACUUUCGAAUGUUUGUGAUUGUGUGGCACUUUGUUAAAUUUCAUGGUUACAGCCUUUGUUAUAAUAGGUUGACCUAGUUGGAGGCCAAGACUACUAUGUUCACCUAAUUUGGUUUAUAUUUUUGCCUCUUUGUUGACAUUAUGUUAAAAUUCCUUAUUCUUUGAGUAAAACAAGUUUUCUCCAGCUUUCUGAUUUUGCUUCAGUUUGUUUGAAACAGUGGGGCGAUCCUGAAGAUCGGUUUGCUCUGUUUGGUUUGGGGUUUGCUGCUAUAGUAGCUGUAUGGGCAUCAGCAAAUCUGAUUACUGUAAUUGCCUUAUUUCUUUCUUCCUAAUAUUUGUCAAAUUCCUUAGGUAUAGGGUGAUUCUGAGAUAUGUGUUAGAAGAUUCAGUAAAAGAAAAUGAACUUAUCCACAUCAUUUCAUGAGCAGAUUUACAAAGGGAGAUGGAAUGAAUUGGUGCUGAGUGAGAAGUAACAUUUUGCGAUUUUCUUUUAGUUUUCUGAUCAUCAGGACAGGAGGUCUCAUCUUAGUAGAGAUUUCUCCUAAUUUUGGGUAUACCCGGGGAUUGAAUGAUGAAAUCCCAGAGAUUUCUCCAGCAUUUGAUUGGUCAAUUUAUAAAUGAAAUCUAAUCAUAAACUUGGAUAGUUGGCGACAAGAAAUUUCCAAUUUUAGUUAUGUUGAGCACAGUCCUGCCAACUUGAUCUUAUCUUUUAAGUUGCUCUUUCAUUAGGUUUCUGUUUUGCCUGUUGUAGUUGAUGACACCAUUUUAAGUUGAUAUUCAUAUGGAUUUAUUUUCUUUUAUGUCAACAGGCCAUCGACAAUCUUCCUCUAAUCCCAGGUGUAUUUGAAUUCAUUGGGAUAUUGUAUUCCUGGGUAAGUAUAAUUACUACAUAUAUGAUAUGAUUAGCUUUUAGAAGAGAAGAAAAAUGAAAAUAUGGAAUCUUGCUGAUUCUUCUAUUAUACAUGUCAUUCUCCCAUUGUGAUACUAACUUCAAUAUUUUCUGGGUUUCAGUGGUUCAUAUAUCGGUAUCUGUUGUUCAAGCCCAACCGGUAAGAAAACUCAAGUGGCUCUCACCUAUCAAUAUAUUCUCCAAGAUCAAAGCCCCACUUGAUGAAAUAAUCUGCUUUUCUUCUGAGCCUUUCAUUUGAAACAAAAUAAACAUACUGCUAACAAAAUUCAAAUCAAAAGAAGCAUAUUUCAGGGAGUACAGAAAAUUUUACCUGUUUGGUAAUGUUUUCAAAAGUAAUCAAAUGUAUUUUCUAGUUUGAAAAAUAGUUUUCUGUUUUCAAGAGGAGAAAACUGUUUUUAAAAAGAGUUCCCAAAUUGAGUAUGAAUUGGCCAGCCAGCAUGAUAGAAAACCAUAUAUAAAGCAGCAUGUGUUUAGGUUUUUCUGCAGUUUGCCUUAGUACAUGGACUUUGUGUCUUGUUUGCAGGGAAGAGCUGUUCGAAAUCAUCAACAAGUCUGUAUCGGAAGUACUGGGCCAGUGAAGUCUGCGGCCAGAUGGAGCAGCCAAAUGUAACUGCGGGUGUAUUUUCUGAAUACUGGAGCAAAUUUCUCAAGUGUUGGCUGGUUUUGUAUUGCUUUACCAAUGAAAGUUUUAUCAUCAUUUACAUCAGGGAUAGUAUGCUACUUGGGUUCUAUGCUAAAAUGAAUGAUCUGGGUUUUAUAAGAAUGGAUUCAACUAUGAUGCAACUCUUCCAGAAUCAAGAUUCUGAGAAAUGUUGGGAUGCAAUUAGGGUUUGUCUCUGGUCUACUAAUAAAUGGGAGCUGGCAGUAAUGAAGUCACACACCAAUGGCUAAUGCUUUGAUGCAUGAUCUGAUUACCAGGCAAUCUGUUUAAAGAGGAAAAAUAUAUUUGAAAUGUUGAAAGUUCUAAAUUGUAAACCAAUUUUCUAGAAUUGGUCAUAACCAGAGCCCCCUUAAUUAUAAGAAGGGUUUUGAGGCAUUAGGCCUUCAUUUUCAUCAAACCCAAUCAACCCAGCCAUUGAGAUCUUGGUUCAACUCAGUCAUUUUGGUCAUUAGAAUUAUACAUUUUGAUCCUCUUUUCAAAUUAUUUGUUCAAAAAUAGUUUUUUUUUUACUCGAAAGUGUUUAGUAAAACUUAUUACUUAUUAUUUAAUGACUUAAGUUGAUUUAAAAUUUAUUAUUUAAUUUUUAUUUUAAGUAUUAAGGUUAAUUGAUCAAAUUAAUUUAAAAUUUAUUUUAAAUCAUUAAAUUGAUAUACUUAUUCUUAUAAAUUAUAAACAGAGCGAAUGAUGUCAAGUAAUGUGAAGAUGUGAAGGUUGUAGAGUAGCAAAAGAUAUUGUAAAGGUAAUUAUGAUAAAUAGAGAUAAAAUGUAAAAUAGAGAUGUGGGCUUAAGAACAAAUUAAUUAUUUUUACUUAUUAUAAUUUUUAUUUUAAAUUAUAUCAUUAAAUUAUUUUAUUAAAUAUAUUUAGUUUAUUUAAUGAGUUAAAUUAAGUUAUUAAGUAACUUUAAAUUAUUUUAUCAAAAGACACUUAAUUUAGUGUUAAUAAAAGAUACAUUUUCUCUCUAGUUCUCUUCUUCUCUAGAAACCAAAAUGCUUCUGCACUUCAAAAGAAAGCUGAAAAGACCCUCUCCUUGCUCUGCGCUCUCCUCUCUCCUCAAACCCACCUUCUUUGCUUCACUCUCUCUUCAAUACCAAUCCCCAAAUCCCUCAUUCACAUCAUCAGCUCCUCAAUUCGACAACAAUCAAACGCACCUUAAAGCCAUUCCUUCUUGUUCUAACCCUCAUGCGGAAUCCACUUGUCUAACACCCACAUACUCUAAUUAUGCCUCUCUCCUCCAAUCUUGUAUCGCCCGAAAAGCGAUCAAGCCUGGAAAACAACUCCACGCCCAAGUUUGCCUUGCUGGGUUUGGUUUUGAUACCGUCAUAGCCACCAAACUUGUGAAUCUUUAUUGUGUUUGUGAUUCUUUAUCAAGUGCCCGCCUGCUGUUCGAUAGAAUUCCCAAGCAUAAUAUUUUCCUUUGGAAUGUGUUAAUUAGAGGGUAUGCUUGGAAUGGACCCUAUGAGGCUGCCGUCCAGCUGUACUACCAAAUGUUUGAUUAUGGGCUUGUGCCCGAUAAUUUUACCUUCCCAUUUGUUCUCAAGGCAUGUGCCGCUCUGUCUGCAAUUGAGCAUGGGAGGGAAAUUCAUGAGCAUGUGGUUCAGACCGGAUGGGAAAAGGAUGUGUUUGUGGGUGCGGCGCUUAUUGAUAUGUAUGCUAAGUGUGGUUGUGUGGGGAGUGCUCGUGAAGUUUUUGAUAAGAUUUUGGUAAGAGAUGCUGUUUUGUGGAACUCUAUGCUUGCAGCUUAUUCCCAAAAUGGCCACCCGGAUGCCUGUCUUUCUCUUUGCAGUGAGAUGGUGUUGACGGGUCUGAGACCUACCGAGGCUACCCUUGUCACUGCAAUCUCGGCCUCAGCUGAUAAUGCAGCUCUUCCUCAAGGGAGAGAGCUUCAUGGGUUGAGUUGGAGGCAAGAGUUUGAAUCCCAUGACAAAGUGAAAACAGCACUGGUUGAUAUGUAUGCUAAAUGUGGUUCAGUAAGGGUUGCACGGAAUUUGUUUGAGAGACUUGGAGUGAAAAGAGUUGUUUCUUGGAAUGCCAUGAUUACUGGGUAUGCAAUGCAUGGCCAUGCUACUGAAGCACUUGACUUGUUUGAGGAGAUGAAUAGAGUAGCUAAGCCUGAUCAUAUAACUUUUGUAGGUGUUUUAUCAGCUUGCAGCCAUGGAGGUUUGCUGGAGGAAGGCUGGAUGUUUUUUGAAACAAUGAUAAGAGAUUAUAAGAUUGAUCCAACGGUUCAGCACUAUACAUGCAUGGUUGAUCUCCUUGGCCAUUCUGGUCGAUUGGAUGAGGCUUAUAAUCUUAUAAUGCAAAUGAAAGUGUUGCCAGAUUCUGGUGUUUGGGGUGCUUUGUUGAACUCAUGCAAAAUCCAUGCAAAUGUGGAGUUGGGGGAAAUAGCAUUAGAGAGGCUAAUUGAGCUCGAACCCGACGAUGCUGGCAAUUAUGUGAUUUUAUCGAACAUUUAUGCUCAAGCAGGGAAGUGGGAAGGAGUUGCAAAGCUUAGAAAGUUAAUGACUGAUAGGAGACUGAAGAAAAGCAUUGCUUGUAGCUGGAUUGAAGUGAAAAACAAAGUCCAUGCAUUUCUUUCUGGAGAUACUUCACAUCCUCUGUCAGAUGAGAUAUACUCAGAGUUAGAGAGGGUGGGAGGACUAAUGAAAGAAGCUGGCUAUAGCCCGAGUACUGGAUCAGUUUUCCAUGAUGUCGAGGAUGAUGAGAAGGCUAAUAUGGUUUGCAGUCACAGCGAGAGACUAGCGAUAGCAUUUGGACUCAUUAGUACGCCCCCUGGAACCAGGCUUCUAAUAACUAAGAAUCUCCGUAUUUGUGAGGACUGCCAUGUUGCAAUCAAGUUCAUAUCAAAAAUCACCGAGAGGGAAAUCACCGUAAGAGAUGUUAAUCGCUACCACCAUUUCAAGGAUGGUGUAUGUUCUUGUGGUGAUUAUUGGUGAACUGAGCAAGGGAAAGCCUUAAGGAAAUUUUGGGUCUGAGAAUUGGUUUCCAACAGAAGCAACUCAAGAGUCUGAAACAUAAUUUGGGGAGAUGUUGUGAAGGAAAAUUCAAGAAUGAAUUUGGCUGGGAGAAAAGCAACAGAUGUUAACAGUUAAAUUACGUUGGAAUGCUACAGAAUUUUUUUGAAUAGUUCACUGGGCUUCAUACCAAGAAACUGUGAUCAUGUCUCUGUUAUUGCUUCAGAAAGCAUUGAUCUCAAGGAUGGGCUAUAUGGGCAGCUCAUAAUUGGAAAAUUUGGAGCAUUUCACUCCCCUCCGGUCUCCAGAGACAUUAAAUAAAGGAGGGUUUUCGGAUUCAUACAACAAAUGAAAGACUGAUGAACUGCAGACAUGACAGCCCAUUUGAAAUGAAAGAAUCAGAGUUAUCCCCAGAUUUCUACCUAAUGGAAUUCAUCAUGGUAAGAAGAAGAGCAGUUCUUCUUUUCUGUUGUGAUAUUCUCUCUCUAAAUGUCAUACAAUUUGAGCAGAGAAGGAUGAAGAAGGGGAAAGAGACAUGAUCUCGCACCAUGAUAUGAGAUUUUUAUACAGAGUAUUGUUAGAGAGUGAAACUUUAAGAAAUAAGCCCAUAUAAUAUGGAGGAAGGAACUAGUCUCGUCCCCUGAUGUGCAAAGAUGGUGGAAGAAGAUCUUACGAUCUAGUUUGAAAUUUGAAAGCGCAAAUGUCUCCGGUGGAACCAUUGCACCAGAUCCUGUCCACCAAAAGUUCAAAAAGUCGAAACAAAAAACUAUUUUUGGCGGAUGAAGUGCAAUUCUACUAAAAAAAAAAAAAACAUUAGGCAUCUUCGGUAUCUGUUUUUAUUUAUUUAUUAUCUAAAAUUAUUUUAAUUUGUUUUUAAUAUUUUUAUAUUCAAUAUUUUAUUUUUAAUUAUUUUUCGUAUUUAUAUAAUUAUUUUUUAAAUAAUAAUUAAAAAAUAACAAAAAAAUUAUAUUAUUUGAAAAUACUCUAUUUUUUAUUUAUAAAAAUAAAAAACAAAAAACGAUUUUCUAAUUAUCAACAGGCUUUUCUAAAUAAAAUAUUAUUCUUGAUAACAUAUUUUUUUUUGUGACUUAUCGUUGGAGAAGUUAUAAUAUAAUACAGAAAAUUUUAAAACAUUCUUACUAAAUCCAACGCUUAAAUUUUAUUCUAAAAAAUAAUAUAUUUUUAUAAUAAAUUUUAAAAAACAACUUACAUGGAUUUUCUAAAUUAGAAAAUUAUUUUUUCUAUUUUCAAGAAUAAUGACGAAGUAUAUGCUUUAUAAAAUUUAAUUACCAUGGUUCAACGUCGCUAAGGCAGAGCUGGUUCGUCCCAUGCGCGCCAGGCUCCAGCGGGAAACUGAGAGUGCUAACUUAAAACGGGCGCACGUUAGCACAUACCGUGGCCUUUCUCUCUCUCUCCUCCUCCCACUCGACUGCAUUGGAGCAACGGUUUUCGAAACUCUCGCGGGGACUUCGUUCUCUCAUGUGACGUCAACACCCCAGGCGCAUUUUAGCCCUGCUCUUCCCCUGGCUCUGUUGCUUUGCUUCCCUGGUCUCUCCAUAUCCCGAAGCUGUUUCUCUCUCCAAAGCUUCUUCAGAUCACCUGCAUUUCCUCCUUCCGUAGAAGGUAUUGAACCUCGCGAUCUCUCUAUAAAUGCAGAGUUCUGCAUUUUGGAAACGGCAUCGUUUUUGCGUGUUUUUGUUUUGCUGAUCUUGAAAACUUUUCUGAACUUCUGAGCUUUUGAUCCUCUGCUGUCGUUUUGAAGCAGACGGUAUGUUUGAGUUUUAUUGAUCUCGAAAACGACCAUGUUUUGGCCUGUUUGUGUUUUUCCGUAAAAUCGGCGAUGUUUGUGUGUUUGUCUUGUUUGGAGACUAACGGUGUUAUUUAUGUUAAACGGAUUUUGAAGUUGAUGUUUGAACUGGCAUUCUACUUUUGAUCUGUUUACAAUUCUGUGUGUUGUAAAAUGCUGUUGAGAUGUGAAGUUUUAUUGAAUCAGAUCUAUAGUCACAGUAACCGUGAAUGCAGAUUUCUCUAUCUUGAUUUUCCAUGCAAUUGUAUGCCGCGAUAGAGAUAUGAUUGAUUGCUCUGAGACAGUGAUGAGUAUACUAGCAUUUGGAAAAAAAAAACUGACAGUUGGAUUAGUUAUUGGUUGAUCAGGUGCGAUAGUUUGGCUGCUGAAUGUUGAUUUUUGAAGUAGGUGAAAAUGCGGGAGCGGCAGUAUAAGCGCACAGCAUCCAAAGACUACCUCACUGGUUUGGACAGAGAGGAAAGUAUAGGUAGAAAAUAAUAGCUCUAUCAUUUAAAUCUAAUUAAAAUUUAUAAUUUAAUUUAUGUUACUUUCCUAAUAAUAUUUAUUGCGGUGGUGAGAAAUCAGGGAAUUUCCUUGGAUCCAAAGUUUUACAUGAAAUAAGUUUUAAGCAGAUUUGUGAUCUAGAACUUGAUUAUUGCUCCUUACUGAUGUGACACUGGUCAUGUAAGAAAGAAAUAUCAGCAGCAAGCAAUAGAAUAAAGAAAAGUUGGGAAGAAAAUAUUUACCUUUUCAUAAUUUCUACAUAAUAAUUAGAAGAGAAUUGCUAUAUAAGGCUUGUAGCUUUUUUCUUUUAUUCCACAAUUAACUGAGCAUCAUUGUGCUUUAAUUCCAAAACUGCUAGGGGAAUUGGUAAAAUGAUAAAGCCUAAGGUGCUUUGAAUUCAUUAUCUGAUUUGGUUUUGCAAGAGCAGAUGUUUUGGAAGCAAUAUUUUCUCUUCUUAAAUGAUGAUUUUAUAUUACUAUUAAUGACACUAAAUUGGUUGGGCCUGAUUUUUAUUUUUCAUUUUUUAUGGAUGCUAGUCCGUUUUCAUAAUGUUGCUGGGAAAGAAUCUGGAAACCCUUCAUGGAGCCUUUCCUUGCCACAUAUACUUGUAGCAACUGUUUGUUCAUUCUUGUUUGGCUACCACCUUGGGUAUGUCCCCAAACUUUGAAACUCAUAAUCCUUCCUCUAUUUUUUAUGCUUUCAAAAAGCAAGAAAGAGAAUUAAUGUAAUUGUUUUUUUGGCUUGUUUAUGUUCAUGCAGAGUAGUCAAUGAGACUCUAGAAAUCAUUUCUUUAGACCUUGGCUUUAAUGGGAGUACCCUGGCUGAAGGUACUUCAUGUGAUGUUCUUAAUCUUAUAUUUUUAUUUAUUUUUCUGCAUUUCCGUUUCCAUUCUAAUAGCUUAUUUUUUGUUAAUGAAGGUCUAGUGGUGAGUACAUGUUUAGGGGGUGCCUUUGUUGGAUCUCUAUUCAGUGGUUGGAUUGCAGAUGGGAUUGGGCGCCGCAGAGCAUUCCAAUUGUGUGCUUUACCGAUGAUAAUUGGGGCUUCAAUGAGGUUAUUAAAAUAUUAAGCCCAUGCUCCUUUAUUUUUUUAGUUUUGUGUGUGUGUGGGUGUGUGUUCUUUUAAAUUUUCUCUAGUGGUGUUUAUUUUAUUUCAUUGGUAGGGCAGCUAAUAUUAUUUCAUGGUAAGAACAUACGACUUAAUUCUUUCUAGAGAACUGACUGGAUUUUUUUUAUUUGGCAACAAAGUGGGUUAUUUUGCUUGAUGUUUCAUGUCUUCUUAGUCUGAAACUGUGCUAUCAUAACCUAUAAUGCUUAAAUGAUAUAAAAGAGUGACUAUGAAACUGGUAGGCAACAGACAUGGUGGUCUUCCAGUUCAAAGACUAGUUACAUUGUUUAAUUAACUAGACCUACUUAUUAUGUGUAGAUAGAUGGUGAUUUAUGUGCUACUUAUCUGAUCAUUUUAUUUUAUUGAAAAUUAUAUUGAUGAGGAAGAAUGUGUUUGGUUUGUGAUGAAAACCUACCAAAUGAAGAAAGGACAAGAGAGAUAUGAUACUGAGUGUUUUUAGUGCCAAAUUCAUAGUUUCUGGCAUACAACUUGCAUGUUAUUUUUACCUGCUAUGACUUGAAACUAAGUCGCACAACUUAUGAUUAUAAUUUUUAAUAGGAAAAACUUAUAGUUUGUAUUUUUUUCACCAUGCUGUAUGCUCAAGAAAGGAGGGGUGCUAAAGAUUAUCAAAUAUAUCAUCAAUGCUAUCAAGUACACAUGAUCCAUCCUUUAAAAGCAGUAAAAAUUGUGACAUAUUCGAAGUUCCACUUCCCUUGUCUUAAAUUCUUUCCGGUGAAUCUUCCUUGCCCGGAAUACAUCUUUUCUUUCUUGCUCUGAAUUGUCCUUGUCAUCUAUCAUGACCCCAAGGCAGAGUAUGGUCCACCUAUCAUUUUUACUGUUAUCUGAAAUUAUGUGGAGCUUACUAAAAGGAUCUCCACACCUGUACUUGCAGUGCAACAACAAGAAGUCUGGAGGGUAUGCUUCUUGGAAGGUUUCUUGUUGGGACUGGAAUGGGUAUUGGCCCACCUGUUGUUUCUCUCUAUGUGGCAGAGGUAUGAGAACUGAUUUUUUUUUUUUCUUUUACACUAUUAGUUGACAUUGCUCACUCCAAUUAUUGGUGUCUGAUUGUGCUUUAUCCUCCUGAGCAGGUUUCACCCACGUUUGUAAGGGGUACUUUUGGGAGCUUCACUCAGAUUGCAACAUGUAUUGGGCUUAUUGGUGCCCUAUUGAUUGGAAUCCCUGCCAAGGAAAUUGAUGGUUGGUAAGAAACAUUUUGGAACUUAAAUGAUCAUCUUAGAUUAGUUCCCUUCUUUCUGAAUCAUGUUUUCUUUUUGAAUGCAAAAUUGAAACACUUGAUUUUUAACUUGAUGAUGUGCUCAGGUGGCGGGUUUGUUUUUGGGUAUCUGCAUUUCCUGCUGCAAUACUUGCUUUUUUAAUGGAGUUCUCUGCAGAGAGUCCUCAUUGGCUUUUGAAGGUCAUCUUUUCUCACUGUAAUUUGAUAGUGUCUUAAACAAGUUUUUUCCGGUGUUGGAUUUUACAUUUGUUUCUUCAUGAGUAGGUUGUGAUGGGUCCAAAUAAAGUAGUCCAGAAAAAAUUUAGUAUUUUCUUUAUACAAACAAAUAUUUAAAGAAUGAACUUAAUCUGAUCAAAUCUUGGUAAACCCGAGUUUGAUUUAGAUCUUCUUAUUUCUGUCUUUUAUUAAGAAAUCAUCCAAUCUGCUUGUGAAUAACUCUAAAUCAACGUCCAUACUUGAAUAGUUCUUUUGACUGCUAUACUUUUCUUGGAUGCUUUGGGGUUAGUAUGAUGCAGUCUUUUUUGCUUAUGCAUUUUUAAUGAAUAUCAUAGCCUUUUUUCCCUGGUUCCUUGUAUACCUUAUCUUGAAAAGGUGAAUAGGUGUUGUGGUGUUGUGGAACAAUUUUAAAAAAAAAUCCCAACAAAGAUUACCUAACCUUAGACUUUCUCAAUGUCAAGAAAUUUCUCUUCCAACAACUAUUCAACAAAGCAUAACAUCCACAAGCAAGAGUGUAUGCAACAACACUCUCCCAACAAUUUAUAAAUGCAAACCACAUGCAAAUGCUUCAACAAUCCUCAAAAAUAAAUCAAAAGAACAAUAAUUUGUUCAACUCACAUCAAUUCACUUCAUGAUAUCAUUAACCAAAAUGAGCAAAAAAAUUAUUAAGGAUAUUCCAUGGAUUAUCACACUUAUAUCACCUCAUAUUUCUUCCAUUCAACAUUUAUACCCAAGUAAUCAAUGAUAUCAAAAACAAAAAUUAAAUCAAAGUGUAGAGUAAGAGAAAGAGAUAAUUAACACCGGAUUUUAACGUGGAAAACCUCCGAAGAGAUCAAAAACCACGGGCCUACCACCAAUUGAAAAACUCCACCAUGAAGAAUUAAAAACCGAGUACAAGGUUUUACCUAGCUCAAGCCAACCAAUCCUUCUCGGACCACUUGACUAGUACUUUCACUUUCAACUUCUCACCUUCAUCUUCUGGAGCACACUUGGAGUCCGCACCGAGUUUAAUCUCGGCCUCUUCUUGAAUCCACACAAGAAAAAAAUGGGUUUUUGCACAAACCCAAAUAGAAUGAGAGAUUGAGAUAUGAAUGAAGGAAUGAAUCAACUCAUUUAUUGCUCAAGAAAAUCCAUUAAAAACUUGUUUGGAAAACAUUAAAAGAAGUGGAUUUUCUUUGCAAUCAAAAACCCUAAAUUAGGAAAACAAGAUAAGAAAAUGAAGAACACAUGGAGUGGCUGCUCUCUUCACGUUUUCUGCAGUCCCUCACCAGAAAAAUGAGAGAAGAUUGUUUUUUUAAAGAGUAAAGAGAAACCCUUAAUCUAAUGGCUAAGAUUUGAUCUAAAAAAAAUUAGUUAGAUCGAUCCACCCCUGCACCUGGAUCGAUCCAGAAACAAGGGAAUAAAAGUCUUGCACCAAAAACCAUUUCUCCCAACUUUCUAACACAUUUAAAGAUUAAAAACCGGGCUGAUUCACAUUCAAUCACCACACACUCGACUACAUACCUCAGCCUCUUAGCAAAGUCUUAGUCUUCAAAGUCAAGUGGUCCGAAAAGGAAUUGGAAAACCGAGUUAGGGGAUACUUAUAAAUUUUGUUCGGAAUUGCUAACCUAGCUAAACACUCACACUUAUCUUGUCCCUUGAUAAUUGUUCCCAUCCUCCAGCAAAUGCUUUAUUCCAUUCUUUCCUGAUAAGAAACAAUGUGUUUCAUAUAUAUUUUGCAUGUGAGUAAUUACAAGAAGGACAAAAUAUCCUUCAAAUAUUUAUAGAGGAAAAAUACAAUUUAACAAGAUCAUGAAACAGUUUCACAUCUGUAGAAAAUUGAUGCAGCAAGGUGAAGAUCUGAUGGUUACAAGGCAAAGGUGGGUAAAAUGUUCUCCAACCUAAGGCAGAAAAAAUCUGAUUUUUGAUCAGUUUUCUGCCAUUCUGAGCAAAGAAUGGCUUGAAAUCUAUGAGCUCCGCAUUUCAAAACUUAUGCCACUAAACAAGAACAAGAGGAAAAAGAACACUCUAAAAUCUGAAUCUAUCACUUCUAAGUUACUUGAAAUGAAAGUUAUCUUACCCCUAAAUAUAUUAAAACAGUAAUUUGCUCGUGGAUGACUCAAUUAAUUGUAAAGAAACAAAAUUCAAUACCCGACAAAAGCCUACUCUACAAAAAAGCCAUAAAACUAACCCAGUUCCAGAAUUAGGAAAAUUGUGAAGUACACCUAUAGAACAAAACCUCAAUAAGCUAGAAGAAGAUCUAUAUAAUUGAAACACGUUUUAAAACAUCCUGCUGAGCUAAAAAUUGAAUAAAUCAGCCUUUUAGGUUUUCUAGAGUUUGGAGCCCAUUGUCUUCCUUUCACAUCAAAAACUAGAAACUCAAUCCUGAUCACAUCUGAAGUGCCCCAAAUAAGUUUCAGUUAUGUCCAACUGUUGCAUAGUUGAACCUCAUGGAGUGCUGAUAAAUUACCAUGAAUGUCUUCACUUUUUUCUGUUAUGUUAGUAUCAUCAGUCUUACUGCAUUUUUGGGGUAAUCCAUUAGUUGAUGAUUUUUUCCGAAGUAGAUGGUUACCUUUGUUUCUGGACUUGGUUCAGAAAGGAAGGGCAGCUGAAGCUGAAGCUGAAUUUGAGAAGCUUUUAGGAGGAUUACACGUCAAAUCUGCAAUAGCAGAAUUGUUAAAGUUGGAAAGAGGGGAAGAAGUAGAUGCUGUAAAGCUGUCAGACUUAUUCUUUGGACACUACUUUAGAGGUAAUAUGCUAAAUUAUUAGUGUUUUAUCCACUAUGUUUAUUUUGAGUUGAUUUAUCUGAAUUUAUUUCACAGUGGUUUUCAUUGGAUCAAGCCUAUUUGCUUUACAACAGCUUUCUGGCAUAAAUGCUGUGUUCUAUUUCUCUUCAACUGUCUUCAAAGGAGCUGGAGUACCUCCAGACCUUGCAAAUAUGUGUGUUGGAAUUGCAAAUUUAUCAGGUAAAGAUCACUGACUUCAGUUGCAAAUAUCUCAGUUUUGCAUUCCAAAAUUAUGAUUAGCCAUUUCUUUACUGUACCCUUUAAACUUCUUUAGGGUCAAUCAUUGCAAUGAUUUUGAUGGACAAACUGGGAAGGAGAGUGCUUCUUCUAGUGAGUUUCUCAGGCAUGGUAAGUUAAAACUUUGGCCAACUUCCAUUUCUAGUUAAUCGACAACUGGUUGCACCAUGGCAGUGUAUUAUGAACAGGAAAAAUGGUAUCUUAAAGCCUCAUGGGAUUCCCCUCCAGACAUACAAGUGACAUAAUUGCACAAUAUUUGAUCGUCCAACUUGGGAAAUUUUAUGCAGCAUAAUUUGCCUCACUGAAUGAUAAUAUUAUCUCUGGAUAUCUGACCAUGCUUUUCUGAUGGCUGAACAGAAACCUAGUCACAUUAGAAAGUUAUAUUCACUUGAGAGGGGAAAUAUUGAGUAGCAAAAUUGUCUGGAUUACUUCUUCUUUCACAAUUCUUGGUCCUAUUAAUUCUAGAGCAAUGAAGAAUGCAACUUUCUAAUAUUUGAAUUUUUGGGUUUUUCCCAUCUUAAUUGCAAACUUCAAAAAUUGAAAAAAAUGGUCAUUUUGGAGAUCAUCUGACCAAACUUCUGAAUUUCAGACUUUGUGUGAAAUUCAUCAGAUGAUCAGUUGUGUCAGUUUCUGCAGUUGUGAAGGCUGUGGUAUCCAUUAACUUAUAUGCUGUUCAUUCUGUUCAAGCUUCUAAUUCAGCAUUAUGUGACAGAAAAACUGUCAAGCUUCAUCCAACUAAGCAUUACACAUUUGAUUGGUUCAGGCAGCCUCAAUGGGCCUUCAAGUCACUGCAGCGAGUUCUUUUGCAUCAGAAUCUGGAGCAUUGUAUCUAUCUGUCGGUGGCAUGCUGCUGUGAGUUGUCAAUACUCAUCAACGAGAUCUUGAAGAAAACCAUAAGAAUAUUAUAUAAAGAACAAGGAUCAAAAUUCCAUCUUCAUCUCAAUAAUAUAUGCAAAUUACAGUCACAAUAUUGGCAGGCUUGUUUGUGUUUUUAUUUAUAUGCAGCAAGAUAAUUAUGAGUUUAUGGGCCAGUUACCAUAUUAUUCUUUUGAGAAAAAAAAUAAAAAUGAAGUGAUAUUCUAAACUCAUGAUAGCUUGAUCCAAAUAUUUAGUUAUAGAAGCAGCUUCGACCCAUCUUGGAUUUAAAUUUCAGGGUACAGAUUGGAAUCUGUGUGAGUAAAAUAUUCCAGAACUUGAUCAGUGAAGAAAUGAAAUUUAUGAUGUAUAUAUAUGUAUUGUAAGUUGUUGUAAAUUGUUGGAAAAUUGUGAUGAGUAAUCACACCCAGGUGGCCAUGGUAUCCAUUACGGCCUAAACCAUCUUUAUAUAACUUGGAAAGAGAACUGAGGGGAAACAAACAACUUUAAAACUUUUGCUAUGUCAAUAACAUGAUAUCCUUCCCUAAUUGAAAAGUUGUUUAUGCAGGUGUGUCUUGACAUUUUCUCUGGGUGCUGGUCCAGUCCCAGGUCUCCUCCUUGCGGAAAUAUUCCCCAGCCGAAUUAGGGCAAAGGCAAUGGCAGUAUGCUUGGCUGUGCAUUGGGUACUUCCAUUGUUCUCUGUGUUAUUGUUAUAUUUCCUUUUUUUUUCUCUCUUGCCAUCUCUGGGACCUCAAAUCUAGACAUAUAAUGCAAAAACUGAGUUUUACAACCCUAUGUUCUUCUAUUCCUUUUUCCAUUUUAAAAACUAAGUUUUACAAAUUUAUGCCAUUUUUUCUUUUUUUCUUUUCCUUUAUAAGACAUGAUCUACAUUUUGAACUACUUGAAUGUUACUUCAACAUUGCUUAUUGUUUCUCUUUGGAAACUAUAAAAUAUGGGUUUGAAGAUAGUACAGCUGGGCCAUGGCUAAUAGACUAAUUAUAGGCAUAGGGUUUUGAGCAUUAAAUUUAAGACUGACCUCCUCAAAGGAGAAGCUAUGACUUGUAAUUUGAUACUCUUAAUUUGUACUUUAAAUCGGUAAAUUGAAAAUUUCUUUUUAAGUCAAUAAAUUUGUGACAGUUGCGCUUAAUUUAAGAUACUCAAGGGUUUUUCAUUGGUUUCUAUUAUUUAUUGAUUCUUGCAAAUUAUGAAGUAAAUGCAAUUUUGAGGUCCCCUUCAAAUCAAUUUUUUGGCAUUGCUCCUAGUCUGUAACAUAUACCGAGGGUUUUGGUUUUGGCCUUUGUUUGGUGGGAUCUUUUUAUUUUCCCAUUUACUUUUCAUUUUUAGACUUUAUGAACUCUUGAUGUCAUAUUCUUAUAAAGUUAAGCAUUUUGAACAGGUGAUAAAUUUCUUUGUUGGUCUACUUUUUCUACGCUUGCUGGAGCAAAUUGGGCCCCAGAUCUUGUACACAAUCUUUGCUACAUUUUGCUUGAUAGCCGUGGCUUUUGUGAAGAAGAAUGUGGUGGAAACCAAAGGCAAAUCACUCCAAGAAAUNNNNNNNNNNNNNNNNNNNNNNNNNNNNNNNNNNNNNNNNNNNNNNNNNNNNNNNNNNNNNNNNNNNNNNNNNNNNNNNNNNNNNNNNNNNNNNNNNNNNAAUCACUCCAAGAAAUUGAGGUUGCUCUUCUUGCACCUGAGUAGAGAGGUAUUUUCUUGUUAUUCACUGUAUUAUUUGGCAUUAUAAUUGUUGAAAUUCAGCUAAGCAAAAUGAUUGGUGAAGUUUUGGGAUCAACUUUGUAUAAUUCUUGGAGCCAGGUUAAGAUUCUUGAUUGUACUUGCAUCACAGCUUUCUUCUUGUUUAUUAAUGAAAGUGGUUCAAUCUUAUAUACUUUUAGAGUCUUUGACUUUUGCUUCUCACGAAUGUUGCUUCUUUGUAACCAUUUUUGCCUCCAUAAAGGUUUUUUUUUUUUCUUUAGGUUCUUAGUUUUUUCAAUUGAAAGUUCGGCUGACUUGUGUAUCUGUAACAUCUGGUUGGAAGACUUAUACAACCCAGUUAGGAGUCAAUUGCCGAGAUCUUGGAUAGUUACAAAAUAUAUUGAGUAGCUACCUUGUUGUACUAUAAAGAAACUCUCAGAAUUUUGAAUGAUUCUUGUUGGGAAGGUGACUAAUGUAAUAUCAUAGACUGGACCAUACUUCAUUUCCCGGUUUUCAAACACAAAAUUUAACUAGAUUCUAGUAAUGUCCUGCUGAUUUGGUGAAGGUUGUCUUCAUUUGUUCUUUGGUGGAAUGCAAAAAGAUGAUGUGAUUUAUGCUUCUCUUGGAAUGAAGGUCUUUUGGGAAAUAAAGUUUCUUUUUCUGAAUUCAAGUGACAGUUGAUGUAUGCCUUCUUUAUCAUAAUCCCUUUAUGCCUUGUUUUCCAUGAUGCUUAACAUUAACAUGAUGAGUUCCAUUAGCCCCAGAUAAUUUUAACUUACGAUAGAUAUGAGUUAAACCCUGGAAAUUAUGUUUUUCCACACAUGAAUAGAAAAGUCAGUCUGAUGGAUGUAUUGAAAGAAAAAAAAAAAACAAUACUACCAGUCCUUAUCAGAACGUGAACUUGUGAAUGCAAGUAUUCAUCAAAAAAAAAAAAAACUUGUGAAUGCAAGAGAUCUCUUUUGUUUUUUGAUGAAUUUGAUCCAUGAGGCCCACAAAUCUUCCCCAAUGGUGAAUCAUGUCACCUGCAGGAAGCAUCAGUCUUGCACACCAGGGAUCUUGUGUGCAUGGACUAGUGAGAAAUGAUAUUGAACAUGUGGAAGAAGCCAUGUUUAGAGUGCUAAGAGCAGUUACCAAAUCAAAUUGGGUCAGUUGGUGUGUUUUAUGGGGUGCAGUUUGCAAGGUGGCUCCUCCGGAGCUUUUGGAUUACUGCCUCAAGAAACUUGGAGGAAAACUGAUGUCUGAUGGUGUGGUUGUUCAGGUCCUCAUGCAAUCCUGAUUCAGUUGCUGUUGUGCACAGGAUGGUAACUUCACUUUUUAUCUUCAUCAAUUUUUGGUUUAAUUUUCUUCUUGAAUAAAACUACAAAGUCUGUACGCUUUAAAGACUACCUUUAGUCUAACCCAGUUAAUAGCCAUCCCAAGUCACAAUAGUAUGUGGUUUUUUUUCCUCCCUAAUGAGGCACAGUAUAGAUGAUUAGCAAUGCCAACUAUCAGAGUGUUGUCUUGAAUAAGCAUGAGGCUAGUGCUUGCAAUAGUUUAUUGGGUUUCAAUUGAUACUAGCAUUAGUCAGUUAUAAUUUUGGAAUUCCUGGGGUUGUGCCUUGUAAGCUUUAGUUUGUUGAACCCUGGAAGAUCAUCAUUCAUCUCUUUUUGUGGUUUACUUUGUUAGAGACUUGAUCUGGGAAGCAUUCCCUCAAAUGGAAUUGCUGCUUGCACUAAUUUUACUUUCUAAUGUUGCUGAUUAGAGCAACAUCUCCAUGGACGAUGCUUAGCUAUGGGCCUCGAGCAAAGAGGGACCUUGCAAUCACCUUAAAUUCAAAGCCCCUGGACUUCAAGCAGUUUGUGAAAGACUACAAGCCUAAGAAGGAGUUGUCAAUCACAAAUCCAUUUGGAGUUCAUCUCUCAUGCCUAGUGGAACUCAUCGACCUAUCUGAAGAGGGUGACACAAAAUCACCACUAGAACUAAUUGUUUAUCUCUAAAUGCCACCAUUUUUUACCUCAAGCUUGGAACCUCAAGGGAUUUUUAGGAUGUAUAUUUGAUGUUCAAAAGAUUCAAAGCUAAAGAGCUCGUUGGCCAUGCUGGGGUAGAUGAGUCCACCUGGCUCAAGCUCUUGUUAGGUUCAAUCGGAAUAGUUGAAGUUAGAGGAAUAUUCCAUGGGAAGAACGGCCUAAGUAGGUUUAGAAUGGAGAGAGGACUUGAUAAAUGGAUGGUUGAUUGCAGUUGUGGAGCCAAGGAUGAUGAUGGGGAGAGAAUGUCGCCCCAUGACUGGUGUGGUGUGUGGAACCACAGUUGGUGUACUGAGAUUUUAGACUAUUGCAGUCCUUGCAAGGUUCAUUUUUUGGAGAUGGCUAACCUCAUGUAUCUUGGCUAAGAUGUACUAUUCCGCUUCACUCAAUCAUAAGAAUUUGAGGUAAGGUUCCUUGUAAAAUCUCCAGUAUACACCUAUUAAUAACAGAGAACCAGGUCGCCUGUGCUUGGAGCUAAUGCACCAACUUCUUAUCAGUUGGAGUUACGCCAAGCAUCAGGUAAUCCCAAAUAGGAUCCAGCCAAAUGGCCUCUUAUGCCUCAAUAUUGGCCACAUCUAUGCUAUGCAACUCCAUAAUGGGCUAUUCAAGGUAUUGAACAGGAAUUGUUUAGGCUUCUCGGGUAUGUAUAGAUGCUACUAAACUGGUGUGGGCAUCUGCCUAGUCUGUUUUCUUCUCAUGACACUAAUCCAAUUUCCCAAUGCUCAAACUUGUUGAGUUUUCACUCAUCCCUUGCCUCAUAUUCUGUAGCGACCUGGUUUAACACAAGCUGGGAAUCGGUCCUACUAGCCAGAAGAAGACGAAAUCCUAGACCAGGCAGAGUCCGACUAUCAGUGCCUCAUACUGGACUUCGUUAUUGGAGGUGACAAGCCUUAACCCCCUGUUGGGCAAAUGUAACACGACUCUGGCUCUAGACCCCUUAUGCAUAGCUGACUAGUCAAUGGAAGAGGGUCUUCCAUUUCUUCAGGUUUACGAAGGAAGGUUUGCAUACAGUCCUAAAUUCACUCCAUUCAAUAGCCCACUUCGCUAAUCUACCAGAUAGGUUGGGUUUGCGCAAAAUUCCCCAUAGGGGCUGGUCGGUCAGCACAUUCAAGGUAUGGGGUUGGAAAUAAGGCCAAAGCUUCUGGGUGGUUGUCCGGAGCAAUACCACAAUCUUCUCGUAUUUAGAGUAGCAGGUUUAUGCAUCCAUAAAUACUUUGCUCAUGUAGAAAAACUAGACUCUCUUGCUUAGCAUUUGUAUAAUCGAGAAACACAAUUAUUAAAAAGAUAUAAAAAUUGGUAGGCCAAUAUGCUUUCAGACCUUUCAGAAAAAUUGAUAGCUCGACGAACCUCAAUGCUAAAGUCGUUCAGACAAGAUAUCGCACCGGAUACCACUCACUAGACUAAACCCAAAAGUCGUCGUGGGCUCAUCCUUCCGAGGCAAGUUAGGUGAUACGGUCCUAACAACCCGGGCGCUUGGUCGGUGCCCCAUCCCAUCACAUGGGUAAGCUAGAGUGUGGCUUGUUGUGUCUAAUGAUGUGAAUAUUCCCAUUCCCAAAUUGCUUCUUCAAACAAAUUAACUUUACGUAAAUGAAAUAUUCCUCCAUAUAUUGCAAACAAACAAAGCAAAAGAGAGUGGUUGUAUCGAUUGUUGCACUUUCAACCAUAAAUCAGGAAUGUGGCUGGAUCCCAUAUCUUCCAUCACAAGCAUUUCAUACUCCUUCCCCAAGCAAAAAAAUCAAUUUGAUGACUCACCUUCAGUUCCUCUCUCUCACCUUCCAUAUUCAUAUCCUUCACUUCCUCUGUUUCUCUAGGUGAGUUUUUAUGUUUGGGCCUCAGCAGCAGACAGUCCAGUAGGCCUCCGUUAUCCUCCAUUCUCGUAAUGCAAACGGUGGUAAUGUAUUUCACCUUUUUUAACGGUAUUUUUCAUUAAAUUUUGCGUUGUAAAAAGUCAUGUUGCUUGAUGCACUCAUGCACACAGCCACCAGGUCCAGUAUCAUCAAUCCUUGUUUCUUUCUUGUUUGGUUUGGGAGAUUUUUGUUUCUUUCCAACAUGUGGAGAAGUCGGAAGUUAGGAAUGGAAAAGAACCGCUAGGAAGUUCUCCAUUUUUUGGCAAAGAAGAUUGGUCUUGGUAUGGGUCAGUGGAAUUCAUGAGGGGAAUUGGAAAGACUCCCAAAAGUGCAAAGAUUUGAAGAGAAAUUUUCAAAAUGCAAAUAUAUUAAUUUAAUUAUUUGCAUUUUAUUUUAGAUUUUUCUUCAAUUUUUGCUCUUCUGAUUGGAGUUCCUCCCUUCUGCUAAAUAUAUGUUGCAUGACAAAAAGACAACUGCUUCAUCUAAAUUAAAAUUCUUUGAAUGAACUAAACAAAACUGACCUUACCAAAAGCAAUCUUCUUUCCAGAGAAAGAGGGUUUCUAGCCUUCUUGAUAUCCAUGUAAUUUUCAUUCCUCCAUGUGUUGGAAAGAAACAAAAAUCUCCGGAGUUCUAACCUAUCGGCUGAAGAAAUAGAAAAAGAAAAAGAAAAAACCAAAGAUUGGUGCUAUAAUCGUUGCAGGUGUACAAAUGAAUCAAGGAUUUUUGAAUCCGUUUGAUAGUGAUUUUAAAAAACGUUUUCAAUAUUUCUAAUACUUAAAAAAAAGUAUCAUUCAUGUGUUAGAAAAACUAGAAAUAUUUUAUAAAAUCACUGUCAAACACACUCUUCUUUUGGUUUAUGAUUUCACAAUUAACAAAUUAAUGCUUAUUUAUUUGUAAAAUAUAGAGUAUAAUCCCUAUACUAUCCUUAGAUUUGGACUUGGAUUGAGACCCUGAUUAGACUUGAAUAACAUUGAUGAAAAACCGUAAAUGUUUAAUCUCGGAUUGAAAAUGCUUCGAACUUAUUCUUAAAUUUUUGAAAGUUUGAAGAGCUUUUUAAAUCCUUGAUACUUAAAGUUUGAAAAUACUUCGAAUUUAUGUUGAAAGCUUGAAGAACUUCUUAAAUCUUUGAUACUUAUGGAGGUUAUUGAAUCCUCAAGGCCUAAUUAAACUUGUUUUAGAGCAUUCCAAUGUUUGAAUAACUUUAUUAAUUAAUUACAUUGAUUCUUUUUGAAUCCUUGAGACUCUUAGUUUGAAAGUUUACAAGUGUCUUGUAAAAGCACGGGUUGAGAAAUCCUUUUCGGUAUUAUCUCUUAAUUUUUAAGAGAUAUUAUUAUUAUUGUGUGAAAAUAAUCCAAAAUUAAUUAAUUAAUUAAUUAAUAAUUAUAUUUUUACAAUUAUAAAAACUAGUUAAUUUAUUUUUCUUUGAUGAGAAUACUAAUAUUUUUGGUAUGCCCCAUUUAGCAUAUUUUCUUAUCUUGUUAAAUACAUGAAUUGCACUCGAUAAUAAAUUAGUGAGUAAAUUUUACGGCUCUACAAAUACCCCUUUCAAAAAUUUGUUCACAUACACAAUUUUAUAACAUUCUAAGUAUUUACUUGAUACUUGUAAUCAAUGUAAAUGUGGUUUCACUUAUUUUUCAAGAAAUUUGUUCCUGCAAGGUGGAGAAUGGUUUCCUCAUUGCCUCCCAAAAACCUAAUCCUUUCUUUUAAGUAAUGAAUAUUUGGGUAAAUGUUGGCUUUGUUUCCCUUGCCCUCAGCUUUAAGUUGUAUCAAUUAAUGUAUAAAUAUUAUUUGAAUUACAAUUAUCCUAAAUUAUAUAGUCUAAUAAGUAAUAAAAUAUGUCAAUAAAAAUGUUUUUCUACAUUUUUUUUGCUUCAAAUAUUUUUUUUUAUUUUGAAAAAAUACAUAAAGUAUUGAGCUUGUUAAGCAUUUUUUUAAUUUUUUUUUCAAGUUUUACUCACUUAUUAUUAAAACGAGAGAAUAUUCAUUAACAUAAGUUUAAUUUAAUAGACAACUUCUUAUAAUUGAUUUGAAAAAAUGAAUGCAAUAUUUUCCACUUAUGAGGUUUAGAGUCUAUCAUAUUUUUUAAAAGUGUUUUUAGUUUUAAAAACAUUUUUAAAGUAAAAAAUAGGUAUUUGGUGAUAUUUUGAAAAACACUUAAGAGGUGUUCCUUUUAAUAAAAAAAAAUACUUCAAAAUUUUUAAUAUAUUCUUAAAAUACCAUUUUCCACUAUCCUCUAUUUCUCUUUCACUCUUUACUUCGUUCUCACUCUCCUCUUCCUUUUUCACUUUCUCUUUCAUAAAAAUAAUUUCUAAUUUCUUUUAACAAUAUAAAUAUUUAUAUAUUUUUUUUAAUAAAAUUUUUUGGUUUAUUAUAAUUUUUUUUAAUAAAUAACCCUUUUUAGUAAUUUAUUAUUAUUAAAAGUGUUUGAUAUAUUAUCAAAAAAUACUUCCACUAAAAACAAUGCAGGGUUGUUAAUAUACUUCCAAUUUCCAAAUACAAUAUAUACUUUAGAAUAUCGGUCUUAAUUUUUAUUAAUGAUAAAUUAGAUAUAGUUACUUUUACUAGAUGUUAAUCAAACGUUAUAAAAUAAGAGAAUACUUUUACUAAAAAUACUAGCCUCCACUGAAAAUACUUCAAGAAGAAGCGCAAUCUUAUAUGACAUGUUUAUGCCCCAAAUAUUUCGGUCAAUUUAUAUUCAAAACUGUGAAUCAAUGGAAGAAGUUAAGUAAUGAGUCUGGGGUCCUAGGAAUCAAAGAAGGCUGGGAUGUGGAGGAGUGGCGGUGCUUCUCUUCAACCCCACUGAUCUCCUUCCCCAAUCUUCUCUCAGCAUCCUUGGCCUUUACUUUCCAUCUCAGGUAUUUUCCUUACCUCUUUCUUUUUCUUCCUUCUUCAUUUUUAAGUUUCAUAUAGAAUCAAAUUUCCUGCUUUUCCCAGAAAAUUUCUUUCUUUUCACCAGUCCUUACUUUGAAUUGGUGGUUUUUAUGACAGGACCAUUAGAAGUGGCAAUUUUUGGAAUGGUAGAAAUCCAAAGCCCACCAAGUUUCUCCAUCUUCAACUUCUAGCUUGUUUUAAUUUUAAGAAAAUUUUGAUGUCUUUUGUAAGUUAUAAUAUCAAUUGGGUUGAUAACUUGUUUGUUCUUUGAUGUAGACUAUUUUUUAACGUUGAUGCAUGCAAGAAUACUUAAAAUAUUCUACAUAUCUUGAUGCUACAUGGCUAUUGGAUCAAACCACGUUUGAUUACUAAUUACAGUAAAAGGAGUCCAGAUUUCCCUAGCCAGUUGUAUCUCCAUCUCCCCCUGCCUUGACUGCAACUGCCAUUGAAAUCUGUAGAAGGGGAAUCAGAAUCUAAUUUCUUCUUCUUAUAUCCAUCUCUACCAGAUGUGGUGAGACCAUAGGGUGUGAGAGGAGAAGAGGGCUUAGAGGGGGUUUCCAUCUGUCUGCAAGCGAGGUUUUGUUAUUGUUUUUUUCCUAAUGUUUGGGUAUGUUAUGGUGUUUGUUGAUGCCUUAUUUGGCUAUUUCUAAGUAGAGCUUUUAUCCAGAGAAGCAAAUAUUGACCAGAAGGAUUAAUCUACAUGGUGGGUGAAGCUCAAAGCUCCCUUCUCCUCCAUUUCUGAUCAAGUAAAACAAGGGUAAACUGAAAAGAAAAUCCAAACAAGCAAAAGAAUCUAAAAUGACAAGCACUUGAGUCAAGAGAAACCAUUAGAGCCUGUUACUUUUGAAGGCCAAUCAUUAUUUCACUCUAGAACUGCACCCAUGUUAGAAUUUUGACCAAAGUUCUUAGCACGGAAGCCAAAUUUCUUUACAUGAAGAUUAAGCAAAGCUGGUUUAUUGCCCUCUUCAAGUACCCGUAAAAAUAACAAUGUUUUCUGACAUCUGUUUGUUCAAAGAAUGAUGUUCAGCCUUCUCCGUUUCUAUAUUGAUGCUGCACCAGCAAAUGAUGAAGCCAAAUCAAGGUCAUUGGGAGUAGGAUUGGAAGAAGUCAUUCAACAAAAGAAAGUCAAUCAACAGAGAAACCAAAAAGAAGGGAUGAAGCAACAGAAUCAAUCUCAUUUGGAAAAGGAUGGUAAGAAGCUCAGAGUUGAAAACAGCAUAGUUUUCACAAAUAAAUACAUCUACAACUGCAGGGAAGAAACAGAGAAGCAAAAACAUAACUGUUUUACAUCAAAGAGAGACCUAAAAUUCAAGGAGGAAAGGGUGAAAAUGAAAUCACAUUGUUUUGAGAUAAGUAGGGGGAGCAGAGGAAGUGGACUGACUUUGGAGGUAAUUACUAGACAUGACUCCUAUUACCAAAACAAUGUUUUUCUUUGAAGAAUUUUUGUUUCUUCUUGACGAUGAUCAUAGCUUCCAGGCAGAAGAAAGAAAAAAGAAUCUUUCCCAAAUAAAUUUUCAGUUCUAACCAAAAUUCAUCUACUCUCAAACGUUAUCACCUGUUCCAGUUUUACUUCUAGUUUUGUCAUGUCACCAGGAAUCAUGAAGAAUAGAAACCCAUCAAUUUUUUUAUCUUGAAAUGGACCCCAAGUGUAGAAAAGAAAUUAGUUGGAUCAUAAAGAAUAAGAUGAUUGCAAAUUGAUGGAACCAAAAUGAUUCUUGGAGUGUACAGGGAGUAGCACUUUUAUCUGGAAACAGAAAGACAGGAUAUUGGAUGGAUGACAUUAACUUCAUAAUCCAGAGUUGAAAUAAGGCAUGGUUUUGGAGCAUCAUUGUGCUUAACUGGAAAGAAGAGUCAGAAAAAUAAAGGCAAAGAGAUGAAGUUAAAGCUGAGAGUGAGAAAAAGCAAAAGGCUUAUUAAUUUAUGUAUGCUAUUUUUCUUUCUUAAUCAACUACUGGCCCAUGAUUAAUGAUGAUCUCAAAGGUAGGCUUUUGAUAAGGAGCUGCAGACUCAUCAAACAGCAAAGAAGACGCAAAGGGCUUGAGCUUAAGGAUGGGUGAAAGCUUAAGCAUUGAUGCUAAACUCUUCAUACUGCUCCUUAUCUUGCAGUGCAGUUCUUGGAAUAAAUAAAUAAAUAAAAACCUCUAUUAUUAACGAAGAACCAUACCUUGAUCUUGGAUGGAGGGAAACUCCUCUUAUUCCUUCAUGGCUCAUGGAAGCAUGGAAUCCAUAAGUACUUAAUUGUUCAUAAAAGCAUGGAAGUUCAUUAAAUUUGAACUUCUUUCCCUCUCCAGGCUCAUACAUACUCUUUUGACCUUCUCUGAAUCCCAUCUCCCCUUCUCUUAUCACCUCUUUUUGGCUGAAUUUCAACCCUUGUUUGUGUGAUAUCCUAAGAGACGUGCCAUGGAUUGUCUGGGCUCACUCUUAGGAAUUGCCCCCUGCUUGUGUGAUUACGCUGCCAAGCAUUCAGUUUACAUCUGCGAUCUGGAAGAUAAUCUUGAGGUAUUGAGAAAUGCAAUGGUGGAACUGAAGAAUGUAAGUGAAGAUGUGAAGAGAAGGGUUGAUCUUGAAGAGCAGCAACAGAUGAGGCGUAGAAGUGAAGUAGAUGGCUGGCUCCAAAGAGUAGAAGAAAUGGAGAAUGAAGUUACUGAAAUUCUGCAAGAAGGUGAUGAAGAAAUCCAGAAGAAAUGUCUGGGAUGUUGUCCCAGGAAAUGCUGUUUGGCAUAUGAGCUUGGAAAGAUUGUGAUAAAAAAGAUCAGUGAGGUGACUGAACAAAUGAACAAAGGGCAUUUUGACGCUGUGGCAGACAGAAUGCCUCCAGCUUCAGUGGAUGAACUGCCAAUGGAGAACACUGUGGGCUUAGAUUUUAUGUAUGAGAAAGUCUGUGGCUACCUUCAAGAUGAACAAGUAGAAAUUAUUGGACUAUAUGGAAUGGGGGGUGUUGGAAAGACCACCCUCUUAAAGAAAAUCAAUAAUUAUUUCCUGACAACAAAUCAUAAUUUUGUAGUGAUAUGGGUUGUUGUAUCCAAGUCUGCAAGCAUAGAAAAAGUUCAGGAAAUAAUUCGAAACAAGCUACAAAUUCCAGAUGACAAAUGGAAAAGCAGAAGCAGCAAGGAUGAUAAAGCCAUGGAAAUAUGGAAGGUUUUGAAAACAAAGAAGUUUGUGUUGUUAUUGGACGAUAUCUGGGAGCGUCUUGAUCUCUUACAAAUGGGGGUUUCUCUUCAAGAUGAUCAAAAUAAGUCCAAGAUAAUAUUCACAACCCGAUCCGAGGAUCUGUGCCACCAGAUGAAAGCGCAGAAGAGGAUCAAAGUGGAGUGCUUGGCACCAGAAGAAGCCCUGGCUUUAUUCCAGGAGGAGGUGGGAGAAGAAUCAUUAAAUUCUCAUCCAGAUAUAACAAGGCUUGCCAAAGUUGUUGCUGAAGAGUGUAAAGGUUUGCCGCUUGCCCUUAUUACCAUCGGACGAGCUUUGGCUUCUGCAAAGACUCUCGCACGAUGGGAGCAGGCCAUAAAAGAACUGAGAAACUUCCCAGCCAAAAUUUCAGGUAUGAAAGAUGAAUUGUUUCACCGUUUGAAGUUCAGUUAUGAUAGUUUGCAAGGUGAUACCAUCAAAUCUUGUUUCUUAUAUUGUUCAAUAUUCCCAGAGGACUGUGAAAUUAGUAGUAAUAAACUGAUAGAACUUUGGAUUGGGGAGGGGUUCUUAGCUGAAGCAGGGGACAUAUACGAAGCACGUGUUCUAGGACGUGAACUUAUUCAAGUUUUAAAGCUUGCAUGUCUGUUGGAGCCUGUAGAAACUCAGGAGUAUUGUGUUAAGAUGCAUGAUGUGAUCCGUGAUAUGGCUUUAUGGAUAAGUUCCGAAUUUGGAAGGGAGAAGAAUAAAGUUUUGGUAUAUGAUCAUGCUGGCUUGUUUGAAGUACAAGAAGUUGCAAGAUGGAAGGAAGCUCAGAGGUUGUCACUGUGGAAUAUAAGUUUCGAGGAAAUCAAAGAAGUCAACGAAACCCCAAUACCAUGCCCCAAUCUCCAAACUUUUCUCAUAAGAAAAUGCAAAGAUCUGCAUGAAUUUCCAACUGGGUUUUUCCAAUUCAUGCCUGCCAUGAGAGUUUUGGACUUGUCAGGAGCUAGUUCAAUAACUGAAUUGCCUGUUGAGAUAUACAAACUGGUCUCCUUGGAAUAUCUUAAACUGUCCCAUACUAAAAUAACCAAGUUGUUAGGCGAUCUCAAGACUUUGAGAAGAUUGAGGUGCUUGUUAUUGGAUAAUAUGUAUUCACUCCGAAAAAUUCCAUUGGAAGUGAUAUCAAGCCUUCCAUCAUUGCAAUGGUUCAGUCAAUGGUUUAGCAUCUACAGUGAGCAUUUGCCUAGUGCGUUUGCAGAAGCAUUUGCAGGAGAUAAUGUACUGUUUGAUGGAGGUCGUGCCUUGUUGGAAAAGUUGGAAAGCUUGGACCACAUGAGUGAUAUAUCCAUCAACCUAUACACAUGCCUCUCCAUCAAUAUAUUAAAGGGUUCCCACAAGUUACAGAGAUGCAUAAGGCGGCUAUGCCUCAAAGCCUGCGAAGAUUUAACCUCACUUGAGCUAUCGUCUUCGUCUUUGAGAAGAAUGAAGCACCUGGAAAGCCUUUUUGUGAAAGAUUGUCUUCAACUGGAAGUUGUACAAAUCAAAGUGGGAAAAGAGGGGAGGCAAGGAUCUGACCAUAACUUCCCCAACCCAAGCUUAGAAAAAUGGUUCCACAGCCUACAUGAAGUAUGCAUUUGGAGGUGUCCAAAAUUGUUGGAUUUGACAUGGCUUAUGUAUGCUCAGAGCCUUGAAUAUCUCAAUGUUCAGAACUGUGAAUCCAUGGUACAAUUGAUAAGCAGUGAUGAUGCAUUUGAAGGAAAUCUCAGCCUAUUCUCAAGACUCACCUCACUGUUUUUGAUCAACCUGCCAAGGCUACAGAGCAUCUAUUCACUGACCUUGCUCCUUCCAUCACUGGAAACAAUCUCUGUGAUCGAUUGUAUGAUGCUAAGGCGGCUCCCUUUCGAUUCAAACACGGCAGCCAACUGUUUAAAGAAAAUCAAAGGGAAUCAAAGCUGGUGGGAUGGCUUGCAGUGGGAGGAUGAAACCAUCAGGCAGACCUUCACCAAGUAUUUUUCAAGAUGGCAGUGAUUCAAGAAAGGAGACAUCAUACCAGGCAGCUGAGGUACUGUAGGCAGUGCUACUGCUUAUCUGUAUAUCUGAAUGCUAUGUGGGCACAGGAUCCAAAUGUUCCAUUACUGGCUAUGUGUAUAUUCACAAAGCAAAUCAACUUCCAUGUUCCAAUUUUCAAGAUUUUGCAUGAACAUUUCCCAAUUUUUACAGUUUGUAUAAUUCAUAUCAAUGUACUUUUUAUGUGUGAGAUGGAGUACAGAAGGAGGCAAUAUUUAGAAUGGUUUUUUUUUAUUAGACAACUGUGAGUUUCAUGUUAGGAUUGAGCCUUAUGGGCCACUAUGGUUGGCGCUUAGCACUUCCAAAGGAAAGGCCAGAGGCCCAGGAUUGUGGCCUCUCAAUCACACCAAUUGUUUAUUUGUUCCAAUAAAGGAGGCAUCCUCAGGAAUUGAACCUAGAACCAAACCCUUAAGGUCCACCUAAAUAUCAAUCUUGGAUUCCAUUGAUAGAAGUCUAUCCAACAACCUUCAGAAAGGGUUGUUUUAAAACCCAGUUGUUGUCAAGGUCUUCGAACAAAGAGUCCUUCACCAACUGAGGCAUCACCCAAAGGAUAUCCAAACUAAGAGAAGGGAAGAUACCACCAAAUGUGUGGCUUCUGACUAUGGGUUAGGAUAUGGUUGGAUUAGUCUUCCUUCAACUGACACAAACUACAAUGAUUGAUUAAACCAACCUCUCCUCUUCAACUAGUCAAAUUGCCAAAAUAUUACUUCAUACUACCUUCCAAGCAAACAAACCCAUUACAUACAACAGUCCUCCAACACCAAAUUCCCUUGUAGAAAACACUAAGAUAGCUCUAAGAAAAAAAGGGUUAAAAAAGAUUUGACAGAGAAAUGCUAAUUUGGUAUACCUAAACAGCAAACAGUAUGAAGAGCAUGCUCUCACCCCCCACCAGCUGAAUGAUAUAGCAAACAUUUCUACCAUCUCCUACUCCCAAUCAUUGAAAGUUGUCUAGAAGCGGGGGGUUUAAUCACUUGAUUGUUAGGUUGGCAAUAGUGCGGACUCCUUGAAUUACCAAGUAUGGUGAACAAAUAAAUUUAUCAGACAAAAAAUCAGAGUUCAAAAACAAAAUUAUAAAGAAACACUCUAAUGCCCUUUACCCAAGCUUCCUGCGUUGAUCAAAUGAUUGCUUUGAAGGGACCUUCAGAAAAGUUAUUCCAACCUGGAGCAGGAAGAAACAAUCACUGAAUAGAUUAAUAUUUUAUCUAAUGGACAGCCCUCUCCUCUACUUUAACAAAAGUAAAGAAGCUGUCCCAAUUAGUUCAAAUUUAUUUUCCCUUUUUCCCCUGCAACCAAACAGAAUGGAAAAAGUGAAAGUUAUGUUUUUGGUCUUGAAGAGUAGGUAGAAAAAAAAGGAAAGAAAAAUGGUAAAAAAAAAAAUCAAAUAUAAUUAAAAUUUUAUAUUUUUAAAAAUCAUUCAACCUUUAUAUCCAAUUUAAAUCUAUUUUUUUAUUUUCUUUCACUAUUUUUUUCUUUUAGCUUUUUCUUUAUUUUCUUUUCCUCGUAUUUUCUCUUAAAUUUUUUGCAGCUAAAUAUAAUUUCAGCAUUAAGAUAGUGGCUUUGAUGUCUUGAAUUCAAUUUUUUUUCAUUUUCUAGACCAGGUGCAAUUAGAACAUGAUUUGCAAUUUUCUAUCAAAUAAAUCCCCUAAAUUUAGAUCGAGAACAAGAAAUUAUAUCGUCAAAGUCAUCGUAGUCAAAAACCAUUAUUAAAUUAUAUCAUAAAAGAUAAGUUCAUUGACAUGACACAAAUGUUAGUCCUACAUGUGUUACAUCACAAUACUAUAAGAAUAUUAUACCUAAUUGUUUGUUACACCUCCCGCACAAAUCUAUUAUAACCUAUCAUGCCAAUUUCAAACUACUAAACACAUGAAAAACAUCAUACAAAUUGGUCAUACUCCACUCACCACCCCUCACAACCCAAGUGGUAAGAAAAAUAAAUAUAAACACAAGAAAAUUAUUUGUAGAAGAAGACGUAUCGUCAACAUUACUCUUAUAUUUAUGUAUUAUAUCUUGAAAAAAAUAAUAAGUUGGUUGAAAUUUCAGGACACGUAAUGCUUCCCCUCUAUGUCAUUUUCAACUAAACACACGAAAACACAUUGUUAUUUCAUUAUCAAAAGAAUUUUAACGAAGCAAGGAAAUUCUUUUUUUUUUUUCAUAUGACAUUUUUUUCAAGGUUGGAUUGUGUGAUGGAAUUUUUGAAAUAAUGGAGGAGAGAAAUAAAUGAGAAAAAGACGACUAAAAAUUUAGUCAACAACUAAAAUAAAAAUUCAACAUUUUUUUAAAAAUAUUUUUUCAAUUUUUAAAAUUUGUUAAAGUAUAAAAAAUUUGAUAAUAUGCAAAUCUUUUUAAAUAACUUUUGCCAUAUUUAAUUUUAUUUUAUUUUCUAAAAUUCAAAUUUUCAUUUUUUGAAUUAAAUUAAAUGAAAUACUAUACUUAUUUAAGAGAGUGUAUGACUUUGCUUCGUAUUAAAGUUAAAAAAAAAAUAUUUUUAAUAAAAAAAAUUAUUUUAAUUUAUAAAUAAACUAAUCUUCACCUAUACUUUACCUUCUUGUUGAAGCCAAAAAUAAAAUAUACGAGAUGAUAUGAAACCAGAGUAUCAUUAUUGGCAAGAUUGUGUCACUCCAUGCUACCAAGGCCAUCCAUGAUUAAGACAUGGACAUAAAAAUUAAUAGAGGAGUCAUUGUCAUGAAAUACAGAGGUGGGCUUGACUCUUGAGGGAUCAAUGCAUGUGGGUCAUACACAACAUGAUACCCAACGGGUGACUCCAACCAAGGAGAGCUGGCCAGUGAUUUCUCUUCUCAAGUGUUUGCUCAUUUUUCUUUAUGUGAGAGCACUGGAUUGGCUGGCUAAGUAAGAGGACCAUAUGAUGAGCCUAAUCAUUGGCUUGGAAUGUGCUUUAUGGGUCAACAACGAAGUAUGGGCAAGUUUCAUCUUCCACUAGGUCUUGGGUCUUGUCCUGCUUUUUUUCAUCUUCUCUUAGGAAUUUUACCACGUAUUUGUCCAAAGAAUAGAGUUUUUUCAAACAAAAAUUUAAGGGCAAGUUUGUUAACUCUUUUUAAAAAUAAUUUUUUGUUUUCCAAUGCCAAAAAUAAAAAAUAAAAAUAAAUACACCUUUAAUAAUUAAAAAAUAAAAAACUGUUUUAUAUUCUUAAAAACAAAAGAUAGAAUGUCUUCAAAUAAUAUUAUUUAAUUAUAUAAAUAUAAAAAAUAAUAUAUUAUAUGUAAAAGUUAUUUUUAAAAUAUGAAAAUUAGAUUAAAAAAUUUCAAGUUUUUAAACAGAUAUUUGAUUUACAAAACAUCACAUAAUAUUUUUUUUAAAUUGUUAUAGAGAAUCAUUUUUUAAAACGGUUACCAAAAAUGUGUAAGGAUAUUUAGGAAUAUUCUUAAAAAAUGGUUUUAUGAGGACAAUUUUUUUAAUAAAAAAUGUUAUAUUUUAUAAAAUAAAAGUCUAUUUGAAAAUGAAAAAUAUUAUUAAUCUAUUUUUUUUUAUGUUUUUAAUAAACACCUAUUUUCAUAAUUAGUUUUAAAAAAAAUUGUAUUUCAUCAAAUGUGAUAUGGAGUUUAAAAAUUUUCUAAGUAUAUUCCAAAAUGAUUUUUCAAUCUCUUUUUUAUUCUAUUUAUUUUAUUUUAUUUUAUUUUGAAAAAAAUGAAGUAUUACAUUUUUCCUUUAUAUAUAUGUCCAUUACUAAAGUUAAUAAUGAAAAAAGGAAUUUUAGUAAAGUCUCGUUUGGAAAAACCCUUUUUUUUUUUUUUGGAUUUUAUUAAAAUUCAAAGUAAAGAUAACAUACAAUCAUAAAAGAUGGUUUUGGCAUUGCCAAAGAAAAUAAUUUUCUGCAUAAGUCAAAAGAGAUUUCAAUAAAAAAUAAUAUGGAAUUUGUUUUUCUAUCAAGCUUUUCUUUGAAGCUUUUUUCAAUUAAAUUUAUCCAAAUAUAUUUUCAAUCUCUUGUUGAUUUUUUAAGCAAAAAAAACAAAACAUUUCAUUUUCAAGAACUAAACUAAAUUAUGUAUUAGUAACAUUUUAAUAUUUAUCAUAUUUUACCUACUCAUACUUAAUAUUUAUUUGAAUUUUAUAUUUUUUUUAAAUACUCACAACCUCAAAUAGGAAGAUAUAAUAAACCCCUUAAAUGAGUAUUAAUCCUUAUAUUUUGGAUGAGUCCAAUAGAUGUGGGUUUUUGUUUUAGUCCCAAAAAUAUCAUUUAAGAAAACAUAAUGUGAUACUAUUUAGUAAUUUUUUAGAUGGUAAAUCGAUAAAUUUUGAAUAUGACAACGUGGAGUAAAAACUAUUCAUAAAACUCCGUUUAGGGUAUUUUGUUGUGAUAUUAUAUGUUGGUAAUUUUGUUUUUUUUUCUAGGAUAGGAUUUUUUUUUAAAUAGUAAUUUACUCUUUAUGAUCCUUUGAGCUCUUAGCCUAUAUGUAUCCUUUUAAAAUGUGUUUUAGGAUUUGUUGCUCCCAUCCAAAAAGAUCAUAACUUGUUAUACUAUUUCCAAAAGUCAUCAACAAUUCGAUUAACGAAUUUUGGAUUGUUAGAGAUACAUACAUCCCCUCGGAUGUUGAGACAAAUUCAUUAAAGGGCUUGAGAUAUUCUGUCAAAGACGUAGAUCUUAAUAUAGGUGUUGGAGAGCAAGUUUUAGACAGAUUCUAUUAUGUAAAACUGUGUAUUACAAUCUUCUAGGUGAGUUUUAAAUCUCAAAUCUUAAACUUCAUGACUUUUUUAUUCCACAAUUAUAUAAGAAUUUUCCAUGGAAAAUCUUUUAUUUUUAUUGUGAUUGAUUAAUAUUUUUUCUCAAAUAAUUAAUUAAAAUUGAAAUAUUCAACUCUUAUAUUAAAAUCUUUAAAAUUCACCCAUUCACCCAUUCACCCGUAUUUGUGUGUUACUAAUAAAUUAAUUUAUAUUUAAUAUUAACUAUACGAUAAGAUUAUAUAAACCUGCUAAAAAAACAAAAGAGUACCAACUUAAAAAAACUUGAUUAUUUAAUUUUAUUUUCCUUUAAAAGAAAAUUAUUAUUAAAAAUGUUGAUUUUUUUUAGUCAUUUAUAUGGAUGCUUAGCCUUGAAGGAAGGAGAAUCAUUUUUGUUUUGAAAUUGAUUUAAUUGUUAAAGCAUCCAAAUUUUUAUAUUAGAAAUAAUUACAAAAAUAUCGUUGACAUGUCUUUUGUUCAUAUCAUAUUUAAGAAUGCAAAUUAAUUGUCACUUUCAGAGACAUUUCCUUAUUUGACCAAAACUCCAUCAUGAGUAAUUGACCUUUGAAAUUAUAAUUAAGAUGAAAUUUUGCACUUAAUUUUUUUUUUUUUACUUUAUAAGAAUUAUAUUUAUAUUUUGAAUAAUAAAAUUAUGAAACUUUUUUUACAUCCUAUACUAAAAGCCCUAUAUCUUUGUUUUCCCUUUAAACUUUGUACAAUCAAAUGGAAAAAAAAAAUUAUAUAUAUAUAAUGUUUGGUUUUAAUAAAGUAUUAAAGAAAGAAAACAAAUAUUUUUUUUAUAAAAAUAAGUAAAAUAAAUAUGAAAUAAGAUAUAAAAAUAAUUUAUUGAUUUUAAGUCUUUUUUAUUUUUAUUUAUUUUACCUUUACCUUUACUUUUCCUCCGAUUUCCCUUAGAUUCUUGGAUAACAAAUAUAGUUAAGGAUGACAAGUCGCCCCAUUCCAACCACAACCCAUUUAUUAAAAAUAACUUUCAUCUCCAUUCCAUUGAAAAAAUUAUACGUGAUAGGGUAGGGCAGGUAUUUGAAUUUCUCAUCCUUACCCUCUCUUUUAACUUUUUUUUGAAAGAUUUUAAAAAUUUUAAAUUACAUUAAAAUAAAUAUAUUUUUAAUAAUUAAAGUAUUAGAACUUUUUAUAACUUAUUUUAUUUAAAAAAUAUUAUUAUUAUAUAUUAAAUUAAAUUAAUUUUAUUAUUAAAAUUAAUUUUAUAUAUAAUUGAGGUGGGUACUUAUUCGAUUUUAAUUUAUUUAUUUAAAUUUUAAAUACGUCUUAUUAUACAAGGAAGACGAAUACCCAAAAAAGAUACGUUGCAUUAUCAUUCCUAAAUAUAGCGAAUAUAUUUUAUUUUAUUUUUUCACUUAUAAAAAUAUGUAUUUUUAGUUUUUUUUUCUCUCUCUCUCUACUUCCCUCAAACAUGGAGAAAAAUUCGUAUAUAAUUUGUCACACACCUCGACACCCACCCCUUAGGGUGGGGCACCCCAUUGGAAGGCUACCCUACACAAAAUUCCAACUCUAAUUCAUCCAAUAACAAAAUUUAAAAUAAUGACUUGUCACUUCACAUAACUCCACUUUAAAACAAUAUUAUUUUAAUUAAAAAUAAAUUACGGUUACAAUUACAAUAUCUUUUAAAAAUAAUGAAAUUUGAAAUUUGAAAAAAAUUAAAUACACAUGGUGUGACACAUCACACAUGUGUACAGAAUAAUAAUUACUGUAAAAAUCUAAGUGGAAUUUGCCUUUCAGAUAGUUUCCAAAUCAGCAUAAGGAGGUGGAUGUUAAAUAGAGAAAAUGGAGGCUUUUUCCCAGAAAUUACAGAGGAAAAGGGAGAUGAUUGGCUCUUCCUCCAACCUCUAAACAACCUGAGUGAAUCUCUCAAGACUCAAACCUACCAGUACUUGGGAGUUGAAACUUUCCUACCUUCCAAACAAGCAUCCCAGAAACUGAGAGAAAGCGACACAAAAAGGCCUCAGCAAGCAAACGAUACCUAACGGUCCUCGCGUUGAACUCCCCCAAUCAAAAUCCAUCCUCCCGUUUCUCCCUUUUCCGAGCUGUGCUUUUUCUGUCGUCUGGGUUUGAUCGUGUUUUCCCCAAUUUGUCGAUUUAAAUUCGGUGAUCGUUGUUUUGGAGCGGGUGGAUUGGGGUUGUGAUGGGAAUGCGUGGAGGUUGCGUGGAUUGGGAGGGGAUCUGGUUGGUUGAGAUGGGGAAAAUUUGCGAAUUUUGAGGAUUGAGGGGUGGGUUUUGAUUUUUUGGGGGGUGUUUCUUUUUGGGGGCGAAAUGAGCGCGGCAAAGCCGGCGGUGCCGGUUCGGGACCUGGUGGAGGAGGCCAAGAAGCGGUUUGUGUUUCUGGCGAUAUGCGUUGUGGGUCUGUCAUAUCUCAUGUCUUGUAAGUGUUGAUCGUGUGGAAUUGUGUUUUUGUUUUGAUUGAUUGUUGUGUGAUCGGGUUAAGUAAUGUGGAAGGAAUUGCUGAGAAAAUGCAGGAAAAAGAAAAUAAAGUAUUCGACUUAAAACCCUUUUAUACUUUUCAUUGUUUGGGAAUUUGAUUAGUUUGCUCGUUAAAGGUGAGUUCUUAGUGACCCAUUUAGUUGGGAAUUUAAUUUUCCUUCUUUUCCUCUGUUUUCUUGCCUACUCGAAGGAGGGGUGGCUGUUGCUCUUACAUUAAGUUUGUAGAUUUUAUCCGAUUUUGUGAUUUGUUAUCUGGUGUCCAGGGACUAGUCUUAUUCUAUUCAGUUACCAAAUUGAGGAUAGUUUUGAUUUAUUUGGUGUUUAACUUUAUUUUUUUCUAUUAUGAUUGGAUUUGUUCAGGAUAUUGUUGACAGCUAUGAUCAAUUUUAUCCUUCAAUUUUGGAAACUUGUGUCCUUUUGUGUAAAGUGAAUAGAAUAUAAUUAGAUUGGUUUUGAAUAGCAUGAAGCACUGGCAUCAUUUUCAUGCAGGAGUUUGCAAUUUAGGAGAAAUGAUGUUUGGUGUUUAUUGAGAUCGAUUAGAGCCAGUUUGGGAUUUAGAUAUUAUCCCACAUUACUUUCAGAUUCAUACUUCUGCUUUGGGUAGUACUAUUGAUUCUGUUGAAUUCUUUCUGUUUCCUUCCUGGAUGCUUGGCAAGGUGUUGUUGCCUGUCUCUUGGUUAUUCAAUAAUUAGUGCCCACAACUGCUAUGGGGAACUGGAGCCUGUUGUUAAGUGUAGAGAAUUUUAGAAAAACAAAACUUUUCUAUCAGCAUGUGUUUUGCCUGAGAUGGGAAGUUUACAAUUUUGCCACUUGCUCGUCAUGUCUGUGUAACCUAGUGAUGAAAACUAUUCUUUCCCCAGUCAAGUUAACAGAAUGGGCUGAUAUGUUUGUUUGCUGAAAUUUUUGGAUGCCAUUUGAGAAUGUUGGGCAAUGAUUCUAAUAAAGAAUGAAAAUGACCCUUCUGUUCUCUUUCACAGUGAUUUUUUGCACUUGGGCUUCUUACUAUGAUAGGGUUAGUAUGAACACUGUGAUGUAAAGCCCAAUUACCGCUGAAGCACACAACAUUAUCAACACUACCCUUAACAAUGGUUCAUGCAUAUUAAGACAUGCCUGACCAGCCCAAAAUAUCACACUGUGAACUACUCCCUUCUGGCAAUGGGUCAGUCUGUUGUUCUCCAAUUUUUGCAUUAUUGCAGAUAUCAAUGCUUGAAUGAGUUUAUCUUAGUGGUCCUCAAUCUUUGCCCCUUAAGCCCAACUUGAUUAAGUUGGCUUGUGAUCUUUUAAUAUCAACGAGUCACUCCUAGCCAAUCUCAACUUGUUGGUUUGUUUAAACCCCUUAGUUUUUUGGUUGACAUGAAAUGUCAUUCAUUAAUUACUAACAUGCCUCCAUAACAUUUUUUUCAUUGUACAUACUAUCUAUAGUAGGUUUUGUCCAUCAAUAAAUGAAUACCAUUGGGAAGAUCUGAUUUAACAUAUUUAUUUAUAAACUUGUAGUUUUCUUUUUUUUUUUUUGAGGAAAUUGGCGAUUGAAAGUGUUUCAUAUUAGAAAGUCAUAUGAGACAAGAUAACAUCGUCAUUUGAAAUUCUCAUGUAUGCACCCUAUCCGAUGGUGCGGGCACAACACCAUACAUAUGUUUUUAGCCUAUUGGUUUUCAAUUUAUGUCCUACCCUUUAUGCAACAAUGAGACUCAAGGACAUCAAAUCAUUGAAGAGAGUGAGAUUAAAGAUGGGGUGGCACAAUCCUUUUAGUCUCUAUUGUUUGAGAAUGGGGAUUGGUGGCCUAGUUGUUUGGGGCUAACUUUUGAUGUUUUGGGCACUGAUGAGGCAGCUUUGCUAGAGGCCUCGUUUUCUGAGGAAGAUGUCUUCAAAGCCCUCUCGGAUCUUAGUGGUGAUAAAGUUCCAAGCCCAGAUGGUUUUUCCUUAGUGUUUUGGCAAGUUGGGAUUUUUUGAAGGAUGAGGUGAUGUGUUUCUUUAGGGACUUUAAUGAGCAUGGUAGAUUUGUGAAGAGUUUGAAUGCUUCUUUCUUGGUUCUUAUUCCAAAAAAAGGGGGAGUUGAAGAUCUUAAGGACUUUAGGCUUAUAAGCUUUGUGGGUAGCCUUUACAAGUUGCUUGCUAAAGUGCUAACAGAUAGAUUAAAGAAGGUUGUGGGUAAGGUGGUGUCUUGUUCCCAAAAUGCUUUUGUGGAGGGGAGGCAAAUUCUAGACGCAUCUUUGAUCGUUAAUGAGGCUAUUGACUUUUUGUUGAAGAGUAAUGCCUAUGGUCUAAUUUGCAAGCUGCAUAUUGGGAAGAUCUAUGAUCAUGUCAAUUGGAAUUUCUUGUUGCCGGUUCUUAAUCAGAUGGGUUUUGGAGAAAAGUGGAUUAGGUGGAUCAAAUGGUGUAUUUCUACCAUGAGCUUUUUGGUCUUUGUUAACAGUUCUCCAUCAGUAUUCUUUGGAAGCUCUCGAGGCUUGAGGCAAGGGAACCCCCUUUUUUCUUAUUUAUUUGUGAUUGUCAUGAAAGCCCUUAGUUGCUUACUAAAGAGGGCUAAGAUCGGUGGUUUCUUGUUGGGAUGGUGGGUGAGAGGUAGAGGUGGGGGGGAGGGGGGUGGGGAUUUUUUCACAUUUGUUAUUUGCUGAUGACAUUUUAGUUUUCUGUGAGUUGUCUCAAGAUCAGUUGACUUACUUAUGCUGGUUGCUUAUGUGGUUUGAGGCCAUUUUUGGGUUGAAAGUUAAUUUGGAAAAGAGCGAGCUAAUUCCUAUGGGAAGUGUGGAGAAUAUUAAAGAAUUUGGCCAAGAGUUUAAGUGCAAGGUUGGUGUCCUCCCCUCUUCAUAGUUGGGUCGUCCAUUGGGUGCUUCUUUUAAGUUUGUCUUAGUUUGGGAUAGUGUAGAGAAGAGGUUUCAUAAAAGACUACUAUUGUGGAAAAAGGCAAUACAUUUCCAAAGGAGGGAGACUUACCCUAAUCCGUAGCACCUUUUCUAGUAUGCCUAUCUAUUUUAUGUCCCUUUUUUGUAUUCCGGGGGUAGUUAGGUUGAGGUUGAAGCAAAUUCAAAGGAAUUUUCUCUAGGAAGGAGUAGACCUGGACUGGAAACCCCAUUUGGUAAAUUGGGCCAUUGUGUGCUCAAACAAAAGAAAGGGAGGUUUGGGGUGAGAAAUUUGUUGUCCCUCAAUAGAGCCUUGCUUUGUAAAUGGAAUUGGUGUUAUGCAAAAGAAAUGGGGGCCUUUUAGCAAAAAAUAAUUAGUGGAAAAUAUGGGGAAGAUGAUGGCGGGUGGUGCUCUUGUGAAGUGAGCAUGGAUUGAAAAAUCGGAAAAUGUCGCCGAUAUUUCGGAGAAAUAUCGGUUAUCGGGCGGCAUCGAAACGAUAAUCGGCACCGAUUAUCGAUCGACGGAAAAAUCGGCCAAAAAUCGGCAAAAUCGCCGAUAUAUCGGCGAAAUAUCGGUGGAGAACCGAAAAAUCGGCGAAACAUCGGCGAGUGGAGGCACGCGCGGAGAAGAAGGAGGUGGAUGGAAAAAAAUCGGCAAUUAAUCGGCAAAAUCGGCGAUAUAUCGGCGAUUUUUUGAAAAAAUCGGCGAUUUUUUCAAAAAAAUCGGCGAUUUUUUCCAACCAGAUUUCACCCGUGUAAUUUAAUUUUUUAUAAAAAAAUUACUAAGCAUGAAAGGAAGGAUUCCAUGUUGGGCCUGUCUUAUGACAUAGCCCACAUAUCCACUCCAAUUACUGUGGGCUUUUUUUUCAGCCCACAAGACCAUGCCAAGACUUUGCUGAGGAUGACUUUUAUAGGAGUCAUUUGACUCCUUGUUCCUCUCAUUUUCCGAUGUGGGAUUGCUUAAAUAUCAAUGAAAAAAAACAUAACAAAACUCCACCAAAAGGAUUUGAACCUUGGACCAAUCUUUUACUAUAGUCCACCUAGGACACCACUUGGCUAUAUGUGUUUUGUUAUCUAAUAUGCCAAACAAAACAAUAUAUAUUAGAUUUUAAAUUAUAAUAUUAAAUAAAAAUAAUAUAAUAUUUUUAAAAAUUAUGAAAUUAGUUUAAAUUUUCAUUUUUUUAUAUAUUCACAUUUCAAUAUUAUACAUAUUUCAUUUAAUAAAAUUUAAAAUAUUAAUAUGAUUUAAUUUGAUAAUAUCAAAGAUAUAAAAUAAUAUUAUUGAUGUUUAAUUUAUUCAUAUAUAUUUUAAAAUUUUUAUAAUUAUUUUUAAUUUUAAUAAUAUAUUUAUGACGUCACCUGUUCGAUCAUCGGUCCGAUUCUGAAAACAUUGAUUACACUUAUAAAAUAACUUUAACAUGUAUAUUCUUGCUUAUUUUUAUCAUUCUUUGGAUUUUUCUAAGCAUUCCCAUCAAUUUUGGAUAAUUUUUGUCUCAUCGAUAUUUGAUGAAAAAUAUCCACCGAUAUUUCUCCGAUAUUUCCGAUAUAUCCGUAAAAUCCAAGUACCGAUAUAUCCGUAUUUACCGAUAUUUCAAUCCUUGGAAGUGAGAGAUGGGUAUGAAGUAGGAUUAUGGAAAACCAUUCAGAAGGAUUGGCACAUUUUGGGUAGUAGAAUUGCUUAUACAAUGGGUAAUGGAAGGGUGAGAUUUUGGAUGGACAAGUGGUGUGGAGAUGAACCGCUAAGGAUAUCUUUUUCCUUAUUAUUUGCUCUUGCCAUCCCCAAGGAGGUUUGGUUCUCUUCUUUUGAUGGGGGUUGUUGGGCACCCUGCUUCUCUAGGCGACUCAAUAAUUGGGAUGUGGAUAUUGUGGAGUGGUUCUUCUUAAGGUUGCAAGGGUGGAGAGUGUGCAGGGAUGAGGAGGAUAAGUUGGUGUGGACAAGGGCGAAGAAUGGAAAAUUUUCUGUUAAAUUCUUGUACAAGGAGUUGGAGCCAGGAAGACAAAUGGAUUUCCCAACAAGUGUUAUUUGGAACUCUUGGGUCCCGCCCAAGGUGGGCAUCUUCGCAUGGGAGGCCACAUGGAAUAAAAUUUUAACUUUGGAUCACACUCAAAGGAGAGGGUGGGUUGUGGAAAACAAAUGUUUCCUUUUGUUGCAAAGAGGAAGAAUUGGUUGACCACAUUCUCAUCCACUAUGACAAGACAAGGGUUGUAUGACAUCUCCUAUUUUCUCUUUUUGGUGUGUCUUGGGUUCUUGCCUUUUCAAUGAGAGAGACGCUCAUAGGUUGGCAUGGGUCUUUUGUGGGUAGGAAAAGGAAAAAGGUGUGGCGUGCUGCUCCUUUGUGCCUUUUUUGGACAAACUGGAAGGAAAGGAAUAGUAGGGUGUUAAAAAACAAGGAGCACUUUGUUCAUAGGAUUAAACUUAAUUUUCUGUGUAAUUUUUAAGUGUGGUCCAAUUUGUUUAUAACUCUUGACUCUUCUUCUAUUGCAGAUUUUGUGGAUUGGUUAGGGUCUUGUUGAGGAGGUGUCAUUUUUUUUGUUGUCCUUUGGUUUUUUGGUGGCGUCUUAGGCACCCUUUGUAUACUCCAUGUGUACUUUGGAGCGCUUUUCUGGUGUUGCUUUUAUUAAUAUAUGUUCUCUUUAUCUAUCAAAAAAAAAAAAAAAAAAAAAAAAAACAAUGAGAUUUGGUGCCUGGGUUUUGACUUUCUCUGUCUCACUCUGAAAAA
This 113202-nucleotide long non-coding RNA is filed under the name Vitis vinifera (wine grape). RNAcentral's name for it is "long non-coding RNA (VVIN_LNC002764)". Lineage: Eukaryota; Viridiplantae; Streptophyta; Magnoliopsida; Vitales; Vitaceae. The record is from RNAcentral.